GCCGCUGCCCUCUCCUAAAUCCAGGCCGCCGGCCAAGCUCUAUUACAAAUCCGCUGAGCUCCAACAACCAAAAAACGGGCUGCAGCUCGGGAUUGCAUCCUCGGAGCUUGCAGCCCAGCUGCUGCACCCCUGCUGCCAUGCGAGCUAUGGCCGUGAGGGCUUCCAAACACGCCCUUAGGGUUUGAGGUUUUAGGGAUUCUUCCCCCGUCCAUCGCCGGUCACAUCGCCUCCGGGAUGCAAGCGAGGCUGGUCGCGGUUGCCCACGCAAAGCCCAAGCGGCUGUCGCCCGCCAGCGAGUUCUGGUGAUGGUGGCACUCACUGGGCAUGGAGGGACAUGUGGUCCACUCGCAAUUCGGAGAUGGUGAACAAGGACAUCACCACCAUGAUAUUGUUUCAGUGGCUGAUCAGUUAGAGCUGCUUCCUGAGCUACAGAUAAUCUGACGCAUCAGCAAGAGACUACCUUUUCUUGAUUAGCACAAAUUGGAUAUAGCAGUUUCUGCCAAUAUUGCAACUCCAAUCCAACAACCCAAUAGGAGAAGCGAGGGUAUGCUUAAAGGUGCCUUCUCACCAGUGGAAGUGUCUUCAAAUAACAUUUUAGGUGGGCCUCCAGUUGGGUACAGUAUUCAACACUUCAAGGAGAACACAAGCAGUCUUCAGCUUUCUGCUUGAGAUAAGAAUUGAUGAUAAUACAAACUGCACAGCACUUGCUUCUUCCUAUUGAAGAGCAACCUUCCCUUCCACAUAUCGUGUACAUUUCUGCAACAGGCCCAGCCCCCCGUUUGCAUUGGAUAGUAGUGCGUAGGUAGACAUUCAUCCUGACAAUUGCAAACAGUUCUUCCGUAACGAAAAUGGCUGCACCAUUUUGCCAGCACUUCCUGGCUUCCUGCAAUUUCCUAGCGAUCUUCCUCUUGUUCUUGUUGUUGCACGUAAAUUCUGCUCUGAACUGAAGCUUAUGUGCUCAUAUAUCCACGUUGACACAAUGCCAUGUUUUGGAGGUGGUGGCUAUGAUUGCUUCGAUUGCAUCAACGAUAAAAGUUCACCGGGCUCUUUAACAAGAAGCACUAAAUCACUUGUUGAAUUAUUCUCAGCCAAAACAAUGAAUUAGUAGCUAUUUUCCAAAUAAAGAUCUUUAUUUUCUGAGGAACAUGUGCCUUCCAUACACGACCAGAUGUCACGAGCACCUCUGUUAGCUCUGCUGCAUUGACCACCAUUUUCUUUCAAUAAUUCCACAUUCUCAGCCAGUAUAUAAGCACUUCUCACUGUGAAUAACAUGCUUCUCCGGUUUCCAUGCAAUGUAAUCCCCAGAAGGGUUUGUUGGCAGUCUGAUUGAGAGAAUAGCUUCUGCAUCAUGGGGAUAAAAAAUCUCACGAAUUUGCUGCUCCUUCCAAGAACGUGAGACCGAAUCAAUAGAUCAGCCACUACUUUUAAUCAGUUAGAUUUUUCUGAUUUUCCUCCUUAUGUUUACAUUGGCGAAGUAAUCCAAUUCACAUUACAUACAUUUUUAUGUUACUGUUUUUGAACCAAACAUAUCCUCGCUUUCUUUGUGCGCUGACUCUCCUUUCUGCACACAGGGGCGGGUGAACUCGACAGAUAUGGCGGUUGACAAGUGGGUGACAGUGGUGGAGCACUCAAAGGAGAUGGUGGGCGAGAAGGCGGCGGCGGCGGCUCGAGCGGCCCAUGAGUCGAAGGAGUACAGGAGGUCGCUCGUGGACAUCGGCCUCACUCUGUUGAUCGGCGUCGUAUUCAUGCUCCUGAGUUUCCUCGUGCCGGAGAUAUCCAAGGUGUGGCAGAUUCUGUGUUGGCAGACCACGAUGAUCUCUUUCGCAUGUGCCGUGUUCUUCACCUGGAUCCAUCUGAGGGAUUUCCAUCCCAAGGUGGAGUCAUCUCGGGUUUGAAGAACUGGGAGUGGAGGAGACAAAGGUUGCUGGAAAAUGUUGAACUGAAGCCUUGUCACACAAACGUAUUUGGUUGAUGGACCUUAUUCUGGAAAUGUACAGAAGAAAAAUGAUUCAAAUUUCUUCUUCAGCUGAACAAUCCAUUCAAGAAUCAGUUAGACGUACCGUGAUUAUUCUCCACAAGAGUACUGCAAUGAUAUUGUUGGUGGUGUUCUAAAUUGACCUCUUUUUCUAUUGAAGGAUGGUUCAGCUGCUUUAUUUAUAAGUAAAACUAUAGCAUUAUUUGAUUCAAUGAUGCAGAUUUGUUGUCUUGACUUGGCCUCAUUUUCGACACCCUGUAGUACAGUUCAUUUAUAUGCUGCUGCACUUGGCAAUCUCACACUAGAAUUUUUUCUCAAAAAAAAAAUUAUCGCCACUCGAAAGAAGCAAACAACAAAAAUAAAUGUGGAAAGUAUUGUUUUUUUUACCAAGUAUUGUUGAUUGGAGUCUCUGCAAUUUCUGUGGUUUUGUGCUAAAAUGCCUAAUUCCCCAUGCUUGUUAAUAAAAUGUAAAGCAUAUAAUUUGUUUUUGUUUUUUACAACUUCUGGAUCUGAAUACUGACUUUUAAUUGCAUUGUUUGGCUAAAUCUGUUUCAACUUCAUGAACUCGGCCGCCGCCUAAUCAAGCACGCUGGCGGACGAUGGACUGCAGCAGGGAGAAGGUGCCAGGGGCAGCACCGUCAGCAGCAGCGCUAUUCACCACUGGUCACUCCACCGCCAGCGCCUCAUCCAAUCAGUGCUAGCUCAUCUGCUUGUGCUUUUUCAGAGUAUUCCUUCUAUAAUUCAUUCAUCUGCUCUUUGUUUUUUCUGGUUGAAAUAAGUUUAUAGGCGACUGAAGUUGUACAGCACAAAAUUAGUGGAGUUACAUCAUGAAAUUAGGGAUCACCUGGUUGAAUAAUUAUCUGCUCUUUAUUAUGGAUAAUUGCAGAAUGUAUUACGUACUAUACUCUUGAAAUCACAGUCAUAUAUACUACAGAACAGUAGCUUAGCUUACCCAGUGCGGGGUUAUUUUCUCAACCUGAUCAAGUCUAGAAUUUGUAGAUAGUUGUGUAUUUUGCUCUUAGGAAAGUGAUGGCUGUUACUUCCUCCGAUCUAUAAUAAGUGUCUCGGGUUUAGUACAAAUUUGUACUAGGCUUAGUUUAAAACCGCGACACUUAUUUUGGAUCAGAGGGUGUACAAUUAGAAAACUUGCAAUGGCUAUUUAGUUUAUUAGAACACUUGUGUAUUUUGUCCAAGAACCAAACAUGGGUAAGAAAGGGAAGAUGUUCAGUCUUGUCAGGAGUGUGUUGAGCUCCUCCGAUUCAAACUGGACGCAAGCUUGCUGACAUUAAUUGAAGGUUUUUAUAAAGUGAUAAAUCACACAUCAAUCCUACUCUGUUGUUCCAGUGCAGUUUUCUUGGUCGUGUGAACUUGUAAAACCUCGCAACCUUUUUGUGUUUGAUGAAUUUUGGGUUCCAUGAACAAAGGUAUAUGUGUUUGGCGUUACAUUGGUUCUUUUAUGCAUUGUCUGAUUUGUGCUCAUUACUUGGUCUUCUUCCUCGUCGGUUUGGUGACGAAUCAGCGGUUCGACAACCUGUCUUGCAAGAGGUGUGUCCUCGGACAAAGUCCGUUCAACGAUCUUAAAUUCUCAUCGGUUGCGAUGAGCGACUCACGCGCCUAUUUAAAACCUAUGAGGUUAGUGCAUAUUGUGCAGGUCUAGCCUUCACCCAUUUGAUCACCAGAGACAUGGAGAAAUUUUAAGAUACGGACGACGGACCUUUAGAUUUUUACUUUAAAGAAUCUUGAUGUGAAUUUUAGUUUCAUUAUGGAUCUUUGUUGUCGGUUUUUAUUUCAGUUUUUUUAUUCUUUGUACACUGUUUAUUGAUUCAAUAAAGCCAGAUGUCUCUUAAAAAAACUCAUUCUGAUGUUUUGUUUACUGAUCAAUUCUAAAUUUUAGCAGUAAAAAUGAAGUUCUCCCCGGGGAUUAAGUUAAUGAUGCUUUCCUAAUCUCAAGCUAACUCACAAAUAUAAAGGGAUUUGACAGAAAUUUAAAUCAACUAAAAUUAACUAGUCUUUUUGGUAUUUCCGUGGACCUUAGCAAAAACUUGACAAAAACUUAACUGAAUCUACUGAACUAAUUGAAGAAAAGGACACUAACAGAGCAGAUCAAAGCAGUGACAAAGAGAAAGAUUUGGAUAAAGCAAAGGGUUUUUGGUGAAGGUAGAUGAACUAGGAGAUCUAGAGGAAAGUUGACUGCAAGAUUUGGGCAAGGAGAGAAUUGGGAAUUGGGAAGAAUCGCUCAACAGAUCUAAGAGAUAGCAGCAAGGUUUUAGACAAGGAAAGAUUUCUUGAGGAAAAGAACAUCACAUGGAGAACAUGUUUAGAAUAAGCAACAUGACAUGAAAAAUAACAACACACAUGAACAUUAACUUGACAAAAAGUUCAAAUUUAAACAUGAUCAACACCAAAAAUUCAUGAAAAUAGUUUUAAAAAGGGUACUGAUCAUUUACAACCUCCCAAACGGCAGGCGACCACAGGUCCUAUUUACUUUGAACUUUGAGCAUAUACAGUAUACAUGUAGCCUUGGGUCCCAGAGAAAUCUGGAUAUGGUUCAUGAGAAAGUGUGCUAUACCUUCACAGAGGUUCUUGCUCUUUCUCUUCUUCUUUUUUUCUGAGCAUGAUUUUUUCGAUUCCAACAGUUUCUCGUGAGUUAUGUUUUCUUUUCUUCUCCCAUUACAUGAUGGAUACGAAUUGAUCAUUCGUUUUCCUUUUUGUUUGACAAAUCGUGGUUCCUAACAUUACUAAGAGAGAAUCGUGUAGUGGCAAGGACCACUACACCAUUGCCUCCUUGUCUGAAGAGCGAGAUGAAGAGCCAAAGCAGGUAUCUCUUGCUCGGCGCUAUACGACCAACACUCGUCAAUCAACAUAUCAAUCUGCAACCCCACUUGAUGAUCAAACACCACGCUGCAGACGCUACCGUCGGUGGAGACCGAGGACAGGAAUAAAUCCGUGAAUUUCACUAAAUCCCUAGACAAGUCACUCAAUCGCUUGUGAGCACCAACAAUGGCUUACCUCAAAAUGGAAAUAGUGUAAUGUUUUUGGCUAAGGCAGCAACGAAGAGUCAAGAGGGACGUAGACAGCUGAAAUGUCAACUCCGAAACUAUAGCCUACAAUAUUUGCAAAGUCGUCGCAUUAUUGUUGCUUGUAUGACCAAGACUCGCGCGACUACAUUCCCAGACCAUAAUCGCCUUAUCGCGCCCGUAUUGCAAUUCUUCAGGCCUGAUCAAUCCAUCAUGGAAUGGUCAGCUCCCGCCUGCUCCAUCACUGUCCUGAUCCUUGUGUCCUUCCUGCCGUUGCGAGCGUCCGACGACCGCCUCCUCCCCAGCAAGCCGCUCUCCCCUGGCGCCACCAUCGUCUCGGACGGCGGCGACUUCGCCUUGGGCUUCUUCAGCCCCUCCAACUCCAGCACUACUCCAGCGAAGCUGUACCUCGGCAUAUGGUACAACGGCAUUCCCGAGCUCACCGUGGUGUGGGUCGCGAACCGAGAAACCCCGGCCACCAACACCACCAAUUCCUCCUCCGCGCCCACGCUCUCCCUCACCAACACCUCGAGCCUCGUUCUCUCCGACGGCGGCCGUGUCCUUUGGACGACGACGCCUGAGACCGACGUGGCCGCUGCUCCAGCGACGGCGGUGCUUCUGAACAGCGGCAACCUGGUCCUACGCUCGGCGAACGGCACCACGCUGUGGCAGAGCUUCGACCACCCGACGGACACGCUCCUGCCGGACAUGAAGAUGGCGAUCAAGCAGGGCGCGCGCGCCGCCGGGCAGCGCCUGGUGUCCUGGAAGGCGCCGGGCGACCCCUCGCCCGGCCGCUUCUCCUACGGCGGCGACCCGGCCACGUCCCUCCAGAUAUUCCUGUGGGAGGGCACGCGCCCCGUGUACCGCAGCGCGCCAUGGACCGGGUACCGGGUGAAGAGCGAGUACCAGUUCCAAACGAGCAACACCAGCGCCGUCACCAUCUACCUGGCCGUCGUCGACAACAACGGCGGCGGGGAGAGCUACACGACCUUCAGCGUAUCGGACGGCGCGUGGAAAACAAGGUACGUCCUGGCCUACUCGGGCGAGCUCCAGAUCCGGAGCUGGAACGCCAGCUCGUCGGCGUGGGCCGUGCCGGGCCAGUGGCCCACCUGGGCGUGCGACCGCUACGGCUACUGCGGCCCGAACGGGUACUGCGACGAGACGGCGGCGCCCACCACCCCGGCGUGCAAGUGCCUGGACGGCUUCGAGCCGGCGAGAGGGGAGGAAUGGGACAAUGGGAAUUUCUCGGCGGGGUGCCGCCGCAAGGAGGCGCUGCGGGGUUGCGGUGAUGGCUUCGUGGCGUUGCCGGGGAUGAAGCCGCCGGACGGGUUCGCGCUCGUGGAGGAGGAUAAGUCGCUGGCGGAGUGCGCGGCGGAGUGCAGCAGCAACUGCUCCUGCGUGGCGUACGCGUACGCUAACCUGAGCAGCGGCACGUCCAAGGGGGGUAUAGCAAGGUGCUUGGUGUGGGCCGGGGAGUUGGUUGACACCGGGAAGCUAGGCUCAAGCCCCGCCAGCGACACGCUCUACCUCCGGCUCGCAGGCUUGGACGCAGCACACGGUACCAAUCCAAUCUCUUCCCUCCUCAUUCUCUAUGUUAGUCUUUUUUCUUCUGAUGGUGACUAUUUCUAGUUCUUUUCCUGGGCAAUUAGGAGGGGAGAAAUUUUCUACCUAAAAAUAUUACUCACUCCGUUUCAUAAAGGUUUCAAGAACACGAGUUUAAAAAUAGGGGUAAAGGGCAUAGAUAGUCACUUCAUAAUUAAUCCACAAUCCAGCGGCCAGUCUAAAAGCCCAUAGAUAUCACAAAAGUUCCUCCAAAGAGAGUUUAACCAUUACGGACAAAAAUUGUUGGUUCUUUAUACUCCCUCCGUCCCAUAUUAAGUGACGAAAUAUUACAUGUAUCUAGACGCUUUUUAAAUAUAAAUACAUCCAUAUUGGGCAAAGUUGAGUCACUUAAUAUGAGACGGAGGGAGUAGUAAAAAAACAUAUAUAACUAGGCAGUUACACAUUUGUGAAAUAUGGGCAACUUCCCUUUUAGACAUGUGCAAGUGCGCAAGCGAGCAUGUUCAUGUACAUUUCUACACCCAGAGAUGCACAUAUAAUUGUGUGUCUAGAUAUUAUAUUGUGUCACUUGGUUUAGAGAUAUAAACUCCUCCCUACGAUACAUAAAAUGUGUCGUCCACUUAGUACGAAAUUUGUACUAACAUUCAGUACAAAAUGGGCGAUACUUUUUAUGGAUGGGAGGGAGUAGAUUUUCAAUGGCCUGAAAAUUAGCAAACCUGUUAUUUUAUAAGAAAUGCCCACGGUGCAACUCAAACACAUGCUUUAAACUUGUAAACUGGACCGUUCAUAACACUUCGCUUUUAUGCUAUGGUGCAUGGACAGGUACAAGAUCAAAGAACAAUGAAGUGAAGUUUGGAUUGCCAAUUUUAGGAAUUAGUGUUCUGAUACUGGGGUGCAUUUUUCUUGCAUGGCUGAAUUUCAGAGGUACGUUAAAUUUAUAUUCCUCUAGGAACUGCCUAUUCGACCUUUUUGAAAUAUUUGAGUUUGUAUAUUGUACCCUCGUGCCGCAGAAUAUUCUAAACCCCGUGAAUUUGCAAAUUCGCACCAGAGCCUAUUUAAGCAAUGUAGUCAUUGCAAUUAAUAGAUAAGACAAUAAUUCCACAUGUUAGUGAUGUCUGCUUCUUCUUCACACCCCCUCAUCCGGCUCCCCCCUCAUCUUCUACUGGGUAGAUUUCUGUUAACAAUCUAAGACAUGGCUCUCUCGUUGCUUGACCAUGGUAUCCUUGGUGGGGGUCUAGUAUAGUAAACUAGUAACACUAAUAUGCCAUGGUGGUUUUUGGUUAUGUGAAUUUACAACGGGUAUACAGUGGACAAACACUAGCAGUUAAAUCUGUGAAAUAAAAUCUUAAUUUUUUUAUCUUAUUUGUUAUGUGUAUGAUAUACUCAUGGAUGUCGGUUACUGAAGCAGGCAAGAAGAGAAACCAGGGAAAGCACAAGAAGGUAACAGUGGAUGGUUCAAGUGAACUUGAAUUUCCACUUGUAAGAUUUGAGGAAGUUGCCCUAGCAACACAAAAUUUCUCUGAAAAAUGUAUGAUUGGGCAGGGAGGCUUUGGUAAAGUUUAUAAGGUAAUUUGUUCUAUAGUAGUAUCCUCUUAUUCAUUCUAAAUCUGUUUAAGUAACUUAAUUGACUUGUUCAUAUGAAAACCAAAAUGCAUGUUUUUCCUUAACAUUUUGAAGGGAACACUAGGUGGUCAACAGAUUGCCGUCAAGAGGCUAAGUAGGGACUCUCAACAAGGGACAAAUGAGUUUACGAAUGAAGUAAUUCUCAUUGCCAAAUUGCAACACAAAAAUUUGGUUCGACUCCUUGGAUGCUGUGGCGAGGCAGAUGAAAAAUUGUUGAUUUAUGAGUACUUGCCUAAUAAAAGCUUAGAUGCCACCCUUUUCGGUAUAUUCCAUCAACACCACCAGAAUUUCCUAAAAUAACUCAACAUGUUCUCUUACAUAUUUUCUUUUGAUAGAUGAUUCAAGAAAACACUUGCUGGUUGGGUGACUCGGUUAAUAUAAUCAAGGGAGUGGCAAGGGGGUUGCUUUAUCUCCGCCAAGAUUCAAGGUUGACCAUUAUUCACAGAGAUCUCAAAGCUGGAAAUGUUUUGCUAGAUGCAGAGAUGAAACCCAAGAUAACCGAUUUUGGCAUGGCAAGGAUCUUUGGUGAUAACCAGGAAAAUGCAAAUACGCAAUGUGUUGUCGGAACAUAGUGAGUAAUUAUUUGAACCAUUAACUUGUAUUAACUCAUGGUUAAAUUCAAACCCCAUUCCCCUAACUGUUGCAAGUGAAAUAAUCAAGCAGUGGCUACAUGGCUCCCGAGUAUGCAAUGGAAGGUGUCUUCUCUACCAAGUCAGACGUCUAUAGCUUUGGUGUGUUACUAUUAGAGGUUGUAACCGGCAAAAAGAGAAGCUCAGGCAGUCACACCAUGGGCUUUCCUAGCCUCAUAAUCUAUGUGAGUAAAUACUCCCUCCGUCCCAUAUUAAGUGACUUUUUAUUACAUGUAUCUAGACGCUUUUUAGGUAUAGAUACAUCCAUAUUUGAACAAAUUUGAGUCACUUAAUAUGGGACGGAGGGAGUACAUGUUUUAUUUUAAGUGCCAAAUUAAAGAAAGAAAGUAAGCCAUGUUUCUGAAAGAAAAGGGUUAUUUUCUACAACUCAUAGAGGGCGUUUCAUAUUGUUUCAGUCGUGGAAUAUGUGGAAGGAAGGGAAGGCAAAGGAGUUGGUUGACUCAUCUAUCAUGGACACCAGUUUAAUGGAUGAAGUCUUUCUUUGCAUCCAUGUGUGUCCAGGAAAACCCAGAUGAUAGGCCGCAUAUGUCAUCUGUUGUGUUCGUCCUGGAGAACGGAAGCACCACGCUUCCAACCCCCGAUCUUCCCGCCUACUAUGCACAACAACGCAUUGACUUGGAGCAAAUUAGAAACGAUAUUCUGAACUCCGUGAAUACUUUAACUCUUACCAAUAUUGAAGGGCGAUGAAAUAAUUUGUCUAAAGAUGGGCUAGCCCACGUGUAUGAGCUUGUAGUCUAGUGGUGGAGUGAAAUACUGAAAUAUUUCCUUCCUAUCCAGAGUACAAAAGAGUUGUUGUACUGAAUCUUCGACACUUGUUAUGGAUCGUAUGACAUCAGUUCAGAAAUGGUUGUUCAGUCAUCACUUAAGUUUCAGCAGUGACCUGCAUGCAACACAGCAAACUACGUUUAUCAUGUGCCUCUGGAUUUAUUUAUUUAUUUAUUUUUUUUUAUUUUUUUGCAGGGAUGUGCCUCUAGAUGUUCAUGCUUAAUAACAUGGGUAUUAAACUAGCUGAGAGCUCAGAACUAGAACAAUUGAGGGGCUUGAGGAAACAUCGAAGGAGCACGCUAUAAUCAAAGCACAUAAAUUUCUGCACUUUACUUUUUGCCUCUUACACAAUGCCAAGCAAAGAGCACACGCAGGGAGACUGGAGUGGAGAGGCACGAAGGCAGAGUUAAGAUACCUAACUUGGCAUCUGCUUAGUCUAAAUAAGCAUCAGUGCUUAACAAAAACCGGUUAAUUUUUUUAAGCACCCACCUAGGCAUCUUGCAUUGUACAUGCUCUUAGGGGGUUGGACCACCCUGAGAUUUUCUAAUCAUUUAUAUAACACGGUUAAAAAAAUUCAAAACAUCAAAAUAACUAAAUUAUAUGAAUAUUUUCACUGUUAGACCACCGCGGGGCGCGGGCGAGGGAAACAGAAUGAAGGGAAUGUCGAAGAUGGGCGACGUACAUACAGGUCCGAAGAAGAAGAGCAACAUACAUCAAAUAAAUACACGAGCAGAGUAAUCUAUAAACUCAGAGCAAAUGAAUUUUUGUCAAAGAAUUUAAAAACUCACACAAAAAAUUCUAAAUUUGGAUUAGUGAUACAAAUUAGUUCAAAUAUGGUUCAAAGAGGCUCACUUGGGACCGCAGCUUCUAGCUAGGUUUUCUCAUCUUGCAAAAUCACCACCGUGGAUAAAUCUCCUCCUGAUCGAAUCUCCCGAAUUGGUGACGGUGUUGUUUAAUCAAACUAGAGCACGGCGUCGAGACCGCACAUUAAUAUCUAAAUUUCUCAUCGGUCAUCGGUUGACGCACUCAACCAUGUCGGCCGCCGUCAAGACUGCGGGCGAGCAGUGAUCUGAUCGGUGUACCGUUAUCUUCGCGCCGAAGCAACCACCAAAGUUGAGGCCAUGGACGUGAGGCGUUUACUCGAUGUCCAUGUUGAUGUAGAGUUGCUUGACAUUUCCGUCCUAGUUCUAGUUCUAGAGUUAACUGAGGAUGCUUCUCUUGACGUUAGGCAGCGGGCCCUCAUGAACGACGAGGUGGAUAUAGGCCUCGAGGUCGUGGCAGCAUGAGGCAUCGGCAUCCAACCUAAGGUAUGUCGAUGCCAUGUUGUCAGCCUGAGCUCGCGGCCCAUGUUUGCGUAUCACAGCCUGUCGACAUCGGGAAAGAAGCAGCACAGGAAGACAUCAUGCACAUUCACCACAGGAAGGAUCCGCGCGCCUCCGCACGUUAUAUGGUCACCUACCUACCGCACGUUGUUGGCCACCUGCCUGCCAUGCUACUAAGAGCAAGAUUAAUAAUACAAACAUGUAUAAUGCUGGCUAUUAGCCCAUCAAUAGAAAACAUGUAUAAUAGUUAGCUAUAAGUAUGCACUAUUUUAUGAAUACAUUGCCCGCAUCUCACUCUCAUAGGAAGCCUAGGGGCAUGUGUGAUGCCACCGGCUGUUAGCUAGCAGCCCGCUUCUCUCCUCUCUUCCAUUCAACUCAACAAAAAUAUAGUAUUUAAAAGCUUACAACCUGCCCACGUAACCAUAUUGUACUUGCUCUAAGCUCUCGACUUGCUAUGGUUAGGGAAAUUGAGUACGAAAGAGCGUAUGCAUUCGAGUGAUCGUGUCGGAAAGAUGCAAUCAAUAUCAGCGAUCAUACGACUUGCGAAAGGAAACAAACACAUCCCCAUAUGUGGAGGAGGCCAAGGGUCUGUUUGGAUUGAGCCCCAGAUAGCCCUACCAAAAAAUUGGCAAGCUAUACUUGUUUGGUUUGCAGCCCUAGUGGAGCACCAAUUUUUUGGAAAACGAUUAGGCCACUAUUUGGUUUGCUUACAAGUACAGUUUCUGCAACUUUCAGUUCUUGAACGAGCAGAGAAGAACACCUCAAUCAAUUUAGAUCACUGAAGCAUGUAUAACCUGCUCCAAAUUCUCUUGCACUGGAGCAUCUGCACACCACUAGGAGCAGUACGCCUCCAUCGAUUUAGAAAUAUGUUGACCACAUCGUCGGGAUUUUGAGUUCUUCUCCAACUCCGGCCAACGCCCGCCGCAUCGAUUUCUUUGUUUUCCGGCGGGGUAAAGAUGGAUUCCUUGGGCAUCUAAAAUCAAAGACACAUAAUCUUCAUUUCCCAUCGAUCAAUUUUGAGUUUUGGACCCUGUAGCAUCACUCACGGGGAUGUUGCCGCCGGCCGCCACUUUCGCUGGCCGUAGUUUGCACAGCCGGACAUGCUGAUGCCACCAACGUAUUCCUGGAGUUCCUCUGAUUCCGUUUUGUGCUUAUCCGUCAUCCCCGAUUGCCCCAGAAAAAAACGGGAAAACGCAAGACAUGCAAGAUUAGCGAGAGGUUACGACGAGAAAGAGAGGAGAAUGCGGCUGCCAAAUAUUUGGCGGAGGAUUUCUACGCCCUGGACUCGCCCGCGAGUUGGUGAAAAAGCACGGGCGCGCUCGGGCGAGAGUUGGCUCACCAAAUUAUCGGUCACAGUCCAAACAACGGCCAAAUGUCACGGGCGUACCAAUUUUUUGGUAAGGCUUGCGUUGGCCAUAAACCAAACGUACCCCAAGUACACAACAAAAUACUGAAUUGUGGGAGUAUAUGGGCUGGAGUAAUGGGUCGAUUAUUAAAAUUUUGGACUGAAUUGUGGGAGUAUAUGGGCUGGAGUAAUACAUCAGUUACAGAUGUGUGGACGUGUGGUUUUAUGCAUCAAUGGAGAGUUUGAAGAAAAAAAAAAUAUUACAAGUCUGGAGGACUUAGCCACAUGGAAGAAUAAUUGAACCCCAUCAUGUAGUAUCCUGUCCUCUUCACACCAUCACCGAUACUUCGGUCUUCCCUGCAAUACAUACGGUCACCACUGCCCGAUGUCAGCGAGUAGAUCUGGUCGCGCGGCAACUCCUUCUCCUUAUUAGAGAAGGUGGGGCGAGAGUAGUAGAUGUGGUUUCUCUCCAAACCGCGUCGUUGGACGCCCAACGGCACGUGCACCGCCUUAGACCGCAGCAGCCCCCAAAACAAGGCAUAGUUGUCGAAGCUCGUAACCUCUUCCCAUUUGCAGUCGCCGGAGUCAGCAUCGACAAGCUUGAAGACCUUAAAGAAGGCUUCGCGGUUAGGCAGCCACCGGGUCCUCACAGCCAUGGACAGUUUACCCUGUAGCUCGAAGAUGUGGCCGGCGUAUUGCACGGGUUCAUCCCGCCUGGUGGGGCCAUCACGCCUUUGAAUGGCCAGCACGUGUGUGGCUGUGACCACCGGCGAGCCAUCUUCCUCCCAGCCGAUUGUAAACUUGAUGAGCUCCUCAUCCGGUGCAAGAAGUGUUGGAAUUUUGGGUUAGGCCCAAGGUCCAAUCUGAAAUUAAUUCCUGAAAAAUCUCAAAAGCCCAUUCAUGGAGUGGAAUGAGGAAGUGGGAAUAGUCCCACCUAGCUAGUUUAGGAGAGUUGGAUCAAUAUAUAAGAUAUGUUGGUUCUAACCUCUUGAACAAGUGAGCAAGGUAAAUCCCCACGCGCGCUCAUCCUCCUCCUCCUCCGCUCGCCUCGCCCCACGCCACGCCACGAGUUUCGUGGAUCGAUUUGGUCGGUGCGGUGCAGGGUCGUGCUUAUCUUGUUUUCCAUCCAGUCGACUGCGUGCAUAGAUCGUCGGGAGAGCAGGCCUCUGGAACCCCGACCUUCGAGAUCCUGUCCGAGAGACUGUCGAUAAGGUUUUUGGGAAGCGUUCUCAUGCGACUGCUCGCUUCUUCACGUCCCUGUUUCAUCGGCAUCUUCAUCACCAAUGGCCGAUGACCUCGGAGAUCCUGCGGCUCAGACUGCCGCUCUAGCUCAGCAGCAGCAGGCUGCCCAACUCCAAGCCCAGGCAAUUGCUGCUGCACAGGCGCUGGCCGCUGCCCAGGAGGUAGUCAAGACUGCUGCUGCUGCCGGCAUGAACAUCGACGCCGCCGGACUCGUCACCGACCUCAACAAACAAACACAAGAAAAGAGUACAACACUGUACGUCUGCUCUUUCUUGUUGAUUUUGAUUAGUAGUUCUAUUAUUCAUGUCGUGAAAUUAGAUGAGUUUUAUUAAUGUGCGUUGCUAUUUAAUUUGUCUAGUUUGCAUGAUAUAAUAUGCUACAUGUUUUACACAUUGUUUUUCUGGAUUAAAUAUUCAUCGAAAUUACCUAAUUAUUCAACAAUCCAAAAACCUUAUUCGUGUAGCCAAUUUUCGAUGUCUCAAUUUGCUGUCGCAUUGAAACCACCUGUGUUUACUGGACUGCACUUUAAGAGGUGGCAGUAUAAAUGUCAUAUGUGGCUCGUGGCUAUGGGCGCAUGGUGGGCGGUACAACACGGGAAGACUCAAACAAUUGCUCCUCAACAGUUGUAUGUUGAGGCUUGUGUUGUAGUCGUCGGUGUGAUCUGUAGUAUGCUGGGAGAUAAGCUCGUUGAUGCUUAUCUACACUAUCAGGAUGCCAAAGAGUUGUGGGAUGCGCUCGAUGCUAAGUUUGGCGCAUCUGACGCCGGCAGUGAGCUGUACAUCAUGGAGCAGUUCUUUGACUAUAAGAUGGUUGCAAACCGAUCUGUAGUGGAACAAGCUCAUGGGUUACUGACUAUGGCUAAGGAACUUGAGCAAUUCAAGUGUCCACUACCCGACAAGUUUGUCGCCGGGGGCAUCAUGGCCAAGCUUCCUCCCUCGUGGAGGAACUUUGCUACUUCACUAAAACACAAGAGACAAGAAAUCUCUGUGGAGAACCUGAUUGGGACUCUUGAUGUUGAGGAGAAGGCGAGAGCAAAAGAUGCUGGCCCCAAAGGCAACACGCAAGAGGGUACGUCCACUGCCAACAUGGUUCAGAGGAACAACCACAACAACAGUAACAGCAAGGGAAAGGGAAAGGCAUUCAACAAUGCUGGUCCAAAAAACACUACCACUUUCAAGAAGAAGAAGAAAAGAGGCAACAAGGACAAGGAUCCUUACUUUGUGUGCGGAGGACUCGGCCACUGGGCGAGUAACUGCAAGGAGCGCAAAGGAGGACAGAUUCGGCAAAAGUUUGCUAAUUUGACCAUUGGUAACAAUGAAGAUGCAGGUGGGUAUAGUCAUUUAUUUACUGUAUUUUCUGUAUGUCAGUCCACCGAUUGGUGGUCAAUACAGGUGCAACUAUUCAUGUGUGUGCUGAUAUUUUCUUGUUUUCUUCAUAUCAGGCCAUCAGCUCCUCAGUGACGAUGGGGAACGGCGCUCAUGCUUCUGUUCAUGGUGUUGGCACGGUGGAUCUGAAGUUUACUUCGGGAAAGAUCGUGCAGCUGAGGAACGUGCAGCAUGUGCCCUCCAUUCAGAAGAAUCUUGUUAGUGGAUCCCUCCUUUGCAAGGACGGAUUUAAGUUAGUGUUUGAGUCCAAUAAAGUUAUUGUGUCUAUGUAUGGACAAUUUAUUGGUAAAGGUUAUGAGUGUGGAGGCUUGUUCCGCUUAUCCCUUUCGGAUUUUUGUAAUAAGGUCGUGAACCGCGUCAAUUGUAUUAAUAAUGAGUCUAAUGUUUGUCAUUCAUGACUUUGUCACAUUAAUUUUAGUUGCAUGAUGCGAUUAGCAAAUCUGAGUUUAAUCCCUAAAAUCACUGUGGCUAAAGAUUCGAAGUGCCAAACUUGUGUGCAAGCGAAGCAGCCUCGCAAGCCUCACAAGGCUGCUGAGGAGAGGAACCUAGCACCAUUAGAACGCAUACAUUCUAAUCUUUGUGAGAUGAACGGUGUAUUAAUCAAAGAUGGAAAACGUUACUUUAUGACUUUCAUUGAUGAUGCGACUAGAUUCUGUUAUGUGUAUUUAUUAAAAUCAAAGGAUGAAGCAUUGCAUUAUUUCAAGAUCUAUAAAGCUGAAGUCGAGAAUCAACUUGAGAAGAAAAUUAAACGUUUGCGGUCUGACCGCGGUGGAGAAUAUUUCUCCAGUGAGUUUAAUUCAUUUUGUGAGGAACAUGGCAUAGUCCAUGAGAGGACACUUCCCUAUUCGCCCCAGUCAAACGGGGUUGCUGAGAGGAAAAUCCGCACGCUGACUGACUUGGUCAACGCCAUGUUAGACACUGGUGGUUUAUCCAAGGCAUGGUGGGGGGAGGCGCUAUUAACUUCGUGUCAUGUCCUAAAUCGUGUUCACACAAAAGAUAAAGUCACCCCAUACGAGCUAUGGGAAAAGAAGAGACUCACACUUUCUUACUUACGGACUUGGGGUUGUUUGGCGAAAGUCAAUGUGCCAAUUACCAAGAAACGUAAGAUUGGACCAAAAACCGUUGAUUGUGUCUUUCUUGGCUACGCACUUCGGAGUGUUGGCUAUAAAUUCUUGGUUGUAAAUUUUGGAGUACCUGACAUGAGCGUUGGUACAAUUAUGGAGUCCAGGGAUGCUACAUUCUUUGAGAACAUAUUUCCCAUGAGAGAUAUGCAUAGCACAUCUAGAGAGGAUCAUGAUGUACCUGCUGAACCCGUCAGUUCAGAGGAACAUCAGGAUCAUGGUGUAGCUCCUGAACCCGCCAUCCUAGUGAAAAAUCUUGAACAAACACUUGAUGAGAUUCCUGAGGAGUAUGACAAUGAAGCCCCUAUUAGGGGUAAGUGACAAAGGAUUGCUAAAUCCUUUGGUGAUGAUUUCAUUGUUUACCUUGUGGAUGACACCCCUAAAACCAUUAAUGAGACUUUUGCAUCUCCGGAUGCAGACUAUUGGAAGGAAGCCAUUCGUAGUGAGAUGAAUUCUAUCAUGGCUAAUGGUACUUGGGAGGUCGUUGACCGUCCGUACGGGUGCAAACCUGUAGGAUGCAAGUGGAUAUUAAAAAAAACUUAGGCCUGAUGGUACUAUUGAGAAGUACAAGGCGCGGCUUGUGGCCAAGGGUUUUACACAGAAAGAAGGUGAUGAUUUCUUUGAUACUUACUCACCUGUAGCUCAAUUGACCACAAUUAGAGUAUUACUAUCACUGGCUGCCUCAUAUGGUCUGAUCGUCCAUCAAAUGGACGUUAAGACAGCUUUCCUUAACGGAGAGUUGGACGAGGAAAUUUACAUGAAUCAGCCAGAUGGAUUUGUAAUAAAGGGUCAUGAAGGCAAAGUGUGUAAGUUAUUAAAAUCUCUAUAUGGCCUGAAACAAGCUCCUAAGCAAUGGCAUGAGAAGUUUGACAAAAUUUUAACAUCUGCCGGCUUUGUUGUAAACGAAGUUGACAAAUGUGUAUACUACUGCCAUGAGGGGCGGGGGUGAGGGAGUUAUACUUUGUUUGUAUGUCGAUGACAUACUAAUAUUUGGGACUAACCUCAAAGUGAUUGAAGAGGUUAAGACUUUCUUGUCGAAGUGCUUUGACAUGAAAUAUCUUGGUGUAGCUGAUGUUAUUCUGUACAUCAAGCUCGUGAGAGGCGACAAUGGUGAGAUCACUUUGUUACAAUCUCAUUAUGUGGAAAAGAUCUUGAGUCGUUUUGACUAUGCUGAUUGUAAACCUUCUACAACUCCUUAUGAUCCAAGCAUUCUGCUUCGAAAGAAUCACAGAAUUGGAAGAGACCAACUGAUAUAUUCUCAGAUUAUUGGUUCACUCAUGUAUUUGGCUAGCACAACUACACCUGACAUCUCUUUUGCUGUGAGUAAACUGAGUCGGCUCAUUAAGAAUCUGGGAGAUGAUCAUUGGAGUGCACUCGAGAGGGUCAUGCGCUAUUUAAAGGGCACAAUGAGCUAUGGUAUACACUAUACUGGGUACCCCAAGGUACUUGAGGGUUAUAGUGAUUCAAAUUGGAUAUCUGAUGUUGAUGAGCUAAAGGCCACUAGUGCAUAUGUGUUCACACUCGGAGGGGACGCUGUUUCAUGGAAGUCUUGCAAGCAAACGAUCUUAACCAGAUCAACAAUGGAAGCAGAACUUUCAGCAUUAGAUACAUUCACGGCUGAAGCCGACUGGCUUCGUGAGCUCUUGAUGGACUUGCCGAUUGUUGAAAAACCAAUACCAGGGAUUCUUAUGAACUGUGACAAUCAAACUGUGAUAGUGAAAGUGAACAGUUCUAAAGAUAACAUGAAGUCAUCAAGACACUUCAGGAGACGUCUGAAAUCUGUCAGAGCAAUGAGAAAUUCCGGAAUAAUAGCAUUGGGAUAUAUCCCAACGGCUAAAACUCUGGCAGAUCCCUUUACAAAGGGUCUAUCAAGGAAUGUGAUAGAAUCUGCAUCAAGGGAGAUGGGGUUGCGACCCACGUGAGUUACCAUGGCGGUAAACCAACCUAUGUGAUCGGAGAUCCCGUGAAUUGGGACCUGGGAAACAAGUCAUUGGAUAACUGAGGAGAGUGUACAUUCUUUAUCCCACUCCGUUGACGAUGCAUUACUCUCGUGUACUGUAUGGUAGGUUGUUAACUUAAUGUGUUCUAACGCGUUACAUUAAUUUGCAAGGGAGAUACUGUCCUACAGAGUAGUCUCUAAAGAACACACCUAUAUGAACCUGACUGUCGGUCGCAGUCUAUGAGAUUUAGGUGGUCUCUAGUAAGCUCAUGAAAAGGCCUGGAGAAUGACUUAUAUGCUCCACACCGCGGGAUAGCAUUCGGCAGCCUAAUACCAGACAACAAUUUAGUGAAGCUCUAAUACAGAAAACUGACAAUUCAAGAUUUGUCCAUUGUUCAGUUGUGUGUGAGUGAAGCUAUUUGUUUAGGUGGAUAUUCAACCUUAACCAGUCUCCACUGAAACGCUGAUAUAUCAAAAACAGAGUUUUGGAUCAAUGGCAAUUUUAUGUGCUUAUGAGAUAUUGUGGAGGAUUGUUGGAAUUUUGGGUUAGGCCCAAGGCCCAAUCUGAAAUUAAUUCCUGGAAAAUCUCAAAAACCCAUUCAUGGAGUGGGAUGAGUAAGUGGGAAUAGUCCCACCUUGCUAGUUUAGGAGAGUUGGACCAAUAUAUAAGGUAUGUUGGUUCUCAACUCUUGAGCAAGUGAGUAAGGGAAAUCCCCACGCGCGCUCCUCCUCCUCCUCCGCUCGCCUCGCCUUGUCACGACGCGCGCGCGCCGCGUUUCGUGGAUCGAUUUUGAGUCGUGCCGGGCCAGGCCGGGGCAGGGUCAUGCUUAUCUUUUUGGCAAUCGGAAUCCGUUCCGGACGCGUAACAAAUCCCGAUAAUUGCGGAGUCGGUUUUGGUUUUUUAAACCGAACCGAAGUCCGCCUACAUGCCGAUAUAAUAAGACGACCGCGACCGCGGCCUCCGGACGUAUGACGCCACAACCCUAGCCAUCACGGUCACGAUCCAAUCUCGCUGUUCGCCGCCAACUGCUACUCCAUCCCGUCGACUGCGUGCAUAGAUCGUCGGGAGAGCAGACCUCCGGAACCCCGACCUUCGAGAUUCUGCCCGGGAGACGGUCGAUAAGGUUUUUGGUGAGCGUUCUCACGCGACUGCUCGCUUCUUCACGUCCCUGUUUCGUCAGCAUCUUCAUCACCAAUGGCCGACGACCUCGGAGAUCCUACAGCUCAGGCUGCCGUUCUAGCUCAGCAGCAGCAGGCUGCCCAACUCCAAGCCUAGGCAACUGCUGCUGCACAGGCACAAGCGCAGGUGCUGGCCGCUGCCUAGGAGGUAGUCAAGGCUGCUGCUGCUGCCGGCGUGAACAUCGACACCGCCGGACUCGUCACCGACCUCAACAAACAAACACAAGAAAAGAGUAUAACACCGUACCUAAUCUGUUUUUUCUUGUUGAUUUUGAUUAGUAGUUCUAUCAUUCAUGCCGUGAAAUUAGAUGGGUUUUAUUGCUGUGCGUUGCUAUUUAAUUUGUCUAAUUUGCAUGAUAUAAUAUGUUACAUGUUUUACAAAUUGUUUUUCUAGAUUAAAUAUUCAUCAAAAUUAUCUAAUUAUUCAACAAGAAGGUCAAGGCCAUGCGCAAGGGUAAGGCCAUAGAGAUCACCGUUGCAGAAGGCUAUAUCUAUGAAAAUCCUCUUGCGCCAACCAGACUCCUGGGCGGCCCUGGCCCAGCCGCUGUGGGAGCCAACUUUGCACAGCGCGACGUUGAGCCAAUCCUCGGUGAUGGCGGCGAGCAAGCAGCCGUCGGAGGUGGGUGCUUGGGAAAAGAUGAGUUUCGGGAUGGUGUUUUCCCUAGGAUCGCCACCUGGCGCGAUCCAGUAGGGGGAAGGGAACAUGCUCUGCUUCGGGGAGAGAACCCACCUCAACGCCGGAGAAGAGGUUCACGAUCACGAGCUCGCGGUUGUUGAACGCCGGGACCCAGCCGCCGUCGUGGGAGCCAGUCAGGAGCUUCCUGGCCACCUUGCUCGGGACGCGCAAGACACAACAACUGUCCUCGUUGGGGCCGCACAGGUGCUUCGUCUCGCUGCGGCAGCGUUGGGAGAGGAGCAGCAGUGGGGCUGCGGGCUGCGCCGUCGGGAGGAAAGCCUCAAGUGGACCAUGCCGACGAGGUCGUCGCAGAGGUCGGACCACCGCGCUGACGAUUCUGUGCUGCCGUUCCCGGCGGUCAUCCGCAGAGGCGAUUCGAUGAUAGAUCACGUGUACCGUGGUAUUUGGCGAGUGUACCGACCUGUAAGUCCGCUAACGCAAAGCGAGGAGUUGGUACUAGUCUAUCGGCCGAACAUCAAAUCUAUAGCCGAAUAGAUUUGUUCGAGUAUGAUUGAACAAAUCUACAGCCGAAUAGACAAAUCCGACCGUUCGUAGGAUCGACAACUUUUGUUCUCUGAGAUAAACAAUCAAGGUCUCGUACAGGCUAUACAGCCGUCUUGGCGUUGCAGGCGCGGCCGCAAUCCAGCCAGCGCGUGCCGGAGGGGCCUCUCAACGGAGGACGCGGUCGGUCUGCCGGUCCAUCACGUUGGGCGUUGGGCGUUGGCCGUCACGUACUUGACUUGAGCGACAUGAGUUCGAUGGACGAUGCCUCCUCUUCAAGCAAAUACUCCGUACUUGUGAAAUGUGAGCUCUUAUUUCAGAUGAAAUGUUGUGUUGUCAACUUGUCAAGGUGCCGUGUAACGCCUCCUCGCUUCCUUCUUCCUCCUCGGGCUCACCGGGUGAGCCAAGCAACCCGCUCGCUGGAUGUCAGACACACUGAUCGGCUGAGGAAAUGCUGCUUUGCUUGCAGUUUUUGUGUUCUUGUGCAUCUGUGAUCUGCGUAAGUCACAGUGAUCGGCUGAAGCAAUACUCCCUUGCCUGAUUCCCCUCUUUUCCCUCUGUUUCAAUCUCUCUAUCCGUUCCCCUUUUUCUACAGUCUGUUGCGACAUGGAGGAGAAGAGUUUGAUUCGGUCGACACUGGGAAAUUUCAUCCAGAAUAUGAUUGGUAGGCCCAAGAAAAAAAUGGUUUCAGAAGAGACAAGGUGUUCUAUCAAAAUGCCAAUCAAAAAUGUGUUAUUUUGACUUAGUUUGACACUGAUGAAUUGGACUGCAAUGAAAAAGUACAUAUGAAAGAAGAAAAAGGUUGGAUAGUCAAAAAACAAAGUCAGAAUAUGGUUGGAAAAACUUAAUUAUCAUAAUCCACCACAAUGCUGCGAAACCAACCCUUUGUCUAAGACAAAGAAAGAUGUGCACAUUUUGAUUGCUGAUGAUCUUGGCUAAUUUUUUUUAAAUAAUACUAUUUUUUUAAUCAUUUUUAAAAAUAAUACGUGUUUUUUAAAAAUUUCAAAAAUAAUGCGGCCUCGGCCUAGGCGAGGCCGAUUGAGCUCAGUCGGCCUCGGCCAGGCCGACUGCAGGCCGCCUGCUCAGCCCGCGAGGCCCCCACGAGGCAGUCGGCCUGGCCCAAGCCGACUGAAACCUAGGCCAACUGGCCCAGUUGGUUUCGGCCAGGCCGACUGGAUUCAGUCGGUUUGGGCCAGGCCGAUUCGAAGUAAUUCCAUUUUUUGUUUCGGAUCCUUGCGGUCUUUUGAACUAAAAUACUCAACUUGGAUAAAAGUAACACACCGAAUCCGAUCAGAAGUAAUUAGAUUUCGCCGCGAGUUCGUGCAUGAUCAACGCAUACACAGCCGAAGCUCAUUUUUGUCUCGAAUCCUUGCGGUUUUUUGAACUAAAAGACUUAACAACUUGGAUAAAGAGUAACAUACAUCGAUAAUUUGCUGGACAAUUUUUGUGUCGAUUCUUUGCGGUUUGUUUGAACUGGAAGACUUGACAUUUGGAUAAAUUUGGAUAAAUUAACAUACAUCGAUAAUGUGCUGGUUACAGAACCAAGGCAUGACUAAAUUAACAUACAUUGGUAAUACCGCAAUUGGACAUAAUUAAAGAUAGCAAAUACAUUUGAAACACAAGCACUACUGAGUCCACUUAGCCAUUUUCCGCUCGUAUCGCCACGUCCUUCUGCAGCCUUUGCCACGGCGGCCCUUUCUCUUUGCCUCUCCCUUUCUGCCUCACGAGCAUCCUUGCGACUUUGUUCCUCCUCUUGCAUCUCAAGUGCUUUCUCCCUGUUUUUCCUAAGUGCUUCAUCAAUCCAACGACGUUGUUCCUCCCUAUGCUCUUUCAUCUCUCUCUCUUGCUCCUCUUUCUCCUGGUCUGAAGCUUUUUCCACAUGCUUCUCCGCGUGGAAACACUGCCAUGCAUUUCGGGACCUUGUUUUGAUCUCUUCCACCGCCCAAUCCGGCAUCUCCGUGUCAUCCUCCUCGGCCUCUCGCCCUGGUCCGAGCAAGGCAAACUCAUCGGGGUCACUGGAAUAUUGGAAAAAACAGUAGUGGGAAGGAUGCUUGGAUGACUACCGGAGAUGAGGUAUUUAUAGGCUCUCAAACUCAUUCUCCCGGCACCGUUUCCCGCCUCGUUUUCCCGCCAGCGUUUCCCGCCUCCUUUUCCCACCACCGUUUCCUGCCUUUUUCCCGUCACUGUUUCCCGUCUAUUUGUAUCUUCUGUAACUAUAAAAGACCGUCCAUGGUAUUGAAGUGUAGUCUCACCAUUUCAUCUGGGAAGAUGUCGUCCGGCUUCCCAGAUGAUCGUAGAUUUUGGUCAGGUAUGUCCCGAGAGCUAUUGUGGUUAGCAGGUGAUUUCAAGGUAGACAAUAGGAUAGUUUCAUGGGACGAACUCAUUAGUAGUGACACCCUACUAACUGAGCUGAGCCACCAAUUAUAUAGGUGCAAUUUUCCAUUGAGGACUUCUGCAGAGAUACGGCAAGAACUGCUAAGGUUGCACGAAAGGUGGAAGAAGCACAGUGAACGUAAGAGUGAGUCAUACCUACAAUGGGCUAGAAAACAUCCGUGUUAUGGGUUGAAGAGGAGGAAUCCGAUGAAGAUAUCUUCAUGCCAAGCAAAACGGGUAAGAGUUCUUCAUCGUCCAAGGGGAAGAGUACUGCACCAUCGAAGCGAAAGAGCACAUCAUCGUCCAAGGGGAAGAGUACAUCAUCGUCCCAUGAAGAUAUCUUCAUGCCAAGCAAAACGGGUAAGAGUUCUUCAUCGUCCAAGGGAAAGAGUACUGCACCGUCGAAGGGGAAGAGCACAUCAUCGUCUAAGGGCAAGAGCACUUCAUCUUCGUAGAGUUAGAAUUAGGUUAUCUUAUUUUAAGUUGUCGAUUUUAAUUUCAGUCUUUCUAUUGCAUAUAUAUUUCAGUCCUGCCAUUUUUUAUAUGCAAAUGUAACUUGAAUAAGAAUGCGAAAAAUAGUAACAUGUAUCUCUCAUACAUAGGUAGAAAUAUGUCUCAUACAUAGAUAGAAAUAUGUCUCAUACAUAGGUAGAAAUAUGUCUCAUACGUAGGACCUACAUGCAAAUAUCAGGCACGGUGUCUGGGACGGCGUUCCGGGGGUGCCUAUGGCGUGGUCCAGCCAUACCUAUGAGGUGGCACAACGUUGCGCGGAGGAAUCACGGACCCAUCCUCACGAUACUGUGUAUCCUCCUGUGUGGGGUCUGGUCGCGGAGUACUGAACAUCCAGCUGUGUUGGAGAGAAUAGUGCUCUCCUCGAGCGUGAUCCUGCUCACUAUCCCACGAGGGUUCGGACAACGACGACUGAUGCCCGUAGGGUCCUGCAUGUGGGAAAGUACUUAGCAUUAGAAUUGUGUAGCAAUCAUGGUAAUGAACACAAUAGAUAGAAAUAUACAUACCCUGUGGCUGGGUCUGUGGACGAAACUCGAAGUUCAUCCUGCGACUCUGCUGGUGCUGCCACGCCGAACCUCUAGCCUGAAAAGAGGGGGGCUGCUGCUGCCACACCGAACCUCCAGCCUCAAAAGAGGGCUGCAGCUGGUGCCAAUAGUUGAAAGAAGACUGCGGCUGGUGCCACGACGAACCUCCGGCCUGCUCAGGAGGUGGUGGCCUGGGCGUCGACUGCUCUGGUAGACGUGGACGCGGGUGGUGUCGGGGGAGCGGUGCUUCCUGCUGACAUGGCCGCUGCUGGUGCGUGGAGUGACGAGGUGGCCGUACGGAUGCCUGGUGGUGAACGACGUCCGAAGUGCAGGUGCACGUGAUAGCCGCGUAAACAGAGCGUAGCUUCUCCUUCAUUCGUCUAAGCCAGGACUGGUGCGGCUCCCGUGGUAGUAGAAGUGGACCGGUCGAAAGCGAACGUCCAUACGCAGCGAACUCGGCCUGUAAAUUCUGUGUCAACUGAGCCUGCAAUUGGCACGAAGAGUAUUACAUAUAUAUGGCAAAGUACGUAACAAACACAUGCAUUAUGUUAAGAGAAGAUACUUACCGCGUGCUGUCUAGAGCCUGAAGUAGACUGGCUAGGGUACAUAUCUUGCAAACUCGGCUCGGCUAUCUCCUGGGGGUGAGAGUGCUGAAUGAUGCUCAAUCGGGUAGCUGUCAUGUACCUCUGCAAAUAUCCGUUGAAUAGAUCAAGAUCAAAGGCCUCCAAUGGCCAAACCCGUGUCGUCGCAGUCUCCCACUCUGUGACGUACGACUGAACCCUCUGCAGUCACUGAGUCAGGGUCCUGGUACUUCCCUUCCUGGUAAACCUGAGAUCGCAAUAGAAAGUUGAACAAUUAAAUUAUGGAUAAUUCUGGACGACAAUCAUAAAUUGCAGAACUGCACAUACCUGUGGACGAUCUGUGGAAGUGGAUCAUCCGUCGGUGGAGGAACGACCAACCGGCGUGCCCCAAACUACCUCAUGACCCUCUGCUGGGCCAUCUCCUCCAUGCAGACGUCGAAGAUGAUCUUUGAUUUUGUCAUCCAGUAAGCAUAAUCUCUCGUGCAGACCGUGGACAUCCCGCCAGGGUAUCUAUCAUCGAUGGCAUCUUGUGUGUACGGCUCCUAGACAACCGCCUCAGAGUGCAACACGUCGAACUGCUCGUUGAAUGAUGGGUAGCAAUUCCUGACCUGAUCGUGUGCAAAGCGUCUCUGUAAAAAAAAGAAGUUAGCUUCAUUCAUGGUUUAUGUAAACUAAUGUAUGAAUUUCACAUUCGACAUACCUUGCUACGUGUCCAAAUUGUCGCGAAAGUAGGCAGGUCGAUGUGUUCUAAGUCAAACAACUCCUGCUCAGGGUUAGGGUGAUCACCCGUAACGUCUGGUCGGCCGAUAGAAAACCUCUCCCACGACCAGAGCUGCAACAAUAAAGGACAUCCAAGCAGGGCUGACUUGGGCGACGCAAGCUGGCAAGCGUUGCACAUACCUCGGUACGUAGCCGCUAAGACGGCCGAACCCCAACUCCUCUGUGUGAUGUCGUCACCACAAGUUGCAUUCGCGAUCUCCACUGCAAUAGGGAUGUAGCGUGCGCUAAUGGUGGUGACGUGGUUCUCGGUGAACAUCACCUCCCGAGAAGCCACAUUAUAUAUGCCUCAAGGCUCCGAGUGAUCUGAGGCUCAGUCAUUUGGGUCUCUGUAUACCCAAACUUCUGAAUCUGCAUGCAACAAAAACCAAGUGUUAGUAAACCCAUGCAAGUAUAUGAGGUAUGCUCUUAGAUAUAUUAACUUAAAACACAUCGAUCUAACCUGGUAAUUAGGCAACCAAUCUAGCUUAGGUCCGUGAGCCUCCGAGGUAGGGGCUCAGCUCCGGCAAGAAUACCUUGAAAACGUAGGGAACAAAUUAACCCAUAGUUCCACAUAGCGUACAAAUUAAAACACAGGGCACAAAUUAACACAUACCUUGAAAGCGUAGUGCCAUACCCUCCUGCCAAUCAGCUGGUGCCUGCAACGGUCCUAUGGGAUCACCCACCAAUGGUAGUCCCAGCAGCAUCGAGACAUCCUGGAGAGUAGGAGCUAUCUCUCCCCAGUGAAAAUGAAACGUGUGUGUCUCGGGCCUCCAUCUGUCCACUAAGCAGCUCAGCAGCAAGUGGUCAAUUUGUAGCCGUGUAGAGUUGAAACCUCGUCGCUCACCCUCUACCAUUUCCGCACAAGUUGCCCCAACAAGUCGUGCGAAAGGUAAAAGGCCAGCCCACUUCAAACUGCAUAAAUAAAAUGGACAUGCAAGGGAUGAAUAAAUAAAAUGUAAAUGCAAGGGAUGAUUGAAUAAAAUGUACAUGCAAGGGAUGAAUAAAUAAAAUAGACAUGCAAGGAAUGAAUAAAUAAAAUGUAAAUGCAAGUGAUGAUUGAAUAAAAUGUACAUGCAAGGAAUGAAUAAAUAAAAUGGACAUGCAAGGGAUCAUUGAAUAAAUACCGCUGAAUCCAGGCAGGGUGUAUCAUCCAUUUUCCCUUAGGAGUGCGCGUGACAAGGGGCUCGACACUCUCAGGAUGCGCCACCAAUCGAGCAGCCUGAUGCUUACUCUCAAUCUCCGGAGAAAGCAAUGAUACUCUCUCCAUUUUGUGCCUGCAACAUUUAUAAACAAAGUUAGACAUACAAAUUAAAGUUAAGCAUAGUUAAACCGAGAGUACAUAUUAAAACAUAGUUGAACAAAGCGUACAAAUUAACACACAGUUCCACACAGAGUACAAAUUAAAACAAAGGGCACAAAUUAACACUUAGUUUCAGAUAGUACAAAUUAAAGCUUAGUUCCACAUAGAGUACAAAUUAAAACAUAGAGCACAAAUUAACACAUAGUUUCACAUAUAGUACAAAUUAAAACAUAGAGUACAAAUAAAAACAUAGAACACGAAUUAACACAUAGUUUCACAUAUAGUACAAAUUAACACAUAGUUUCACAUAUACAUGAUAAGCCUAGUUUCUUCCUCUCCCUCGUCGUCCACGUCUCCCUCUUCUACGGGCAGUAGCUCCACCAGUACCGAAAGUUGGACAAUAAGUGUCCCUGUGGCCAAAAUGGUUGCAUAGAAAACAUUGUCGUGACGGUCCUCCGGCUUCAGAUUCAUCCAUAUCAUUUCGGGUGCACCUGAACGGGCGUCUGCCUGUGCCUGUACGCAGUAGCCCGGGGUCAGGAAUGUACCGCCUUUCACCAGGGGUUACCUUGUUGAAAUUGCCCAUUGCACAAAACCCUAGCAUCUCACCCGUCCAUGUGCUAGGCACAGACUCUUUCAGGUAAUAGGGAGACACAAAUGAGAUUGCGUCCAUCCCUAGCUGCCCGCAAGCAACAAGUACAUGUGAGCAACGAAGGUGAAGCAACUUUGGUUUGUUGCAGGUGCACUCACACGUUGGCCACGCUUCAUUUCCAAUCUUCACCUCCUGUGUCCUCAAUUCAUUUCCAACGCCGAACUUGUCAGUUGGCAAGCGCACCUCAAACCUAUGUUCUUGAUUACCGAUGGCGACGACAGUAUGAGACGUAGCUUUUCCAUCUUCUCAUCCAUGUACUUCAUAAUCUUUUCACGGUACGGUGUAUUUGGGUUGUUCAUGAUAUGCAUUUCAGCUCUCUGGCGUCUAUCUCUGAAAUACUUCACCGUGCCAUGGAAAAUACCCUCGACGAUGGCUGUAAGUGGUAAAGCCCUAUUUCCCCUCAGGACAAAGUUGUAUGUUUCUGCCAGGUUAGUAGUCAUGACGCCGUACCUAGCGCCAUGUGUGUCAUGCAGCAAAGACCACCACUCCAGAGGCUUGUGCUCUAUCCACUGCUGAAAGUUUUUAAUCUGCCUCCCAACCCUUCUCCUAGUGCCGGGUGGGUCAAACCCUGGCAAGUCACAAAGCCCAACAAGUUCUUCCUCAGAUGGUCCUGUUCCAACUGCUGUCUGUGCAGCCACUGCUGCUACAUGUGCUGCUACCGCUGCGUUUCGUGCCGCUGUCCUCUCCCUAACAUGUUUCUUCUUGAACUCAUCAAGAUAACCACGUAUCCUAGUGUACUUCCAUUGUUGGUUCUGUUUGCAGAGUUUCUUGAAUAGAUUCAUAAGUGACUUGUUCCUGAACUGCGAGAAGAAGUUGGCCCCCAAAUGCCGCAUGCACCAACGACUCUGCAUGUCCUGCCAUGGAGUCUGUUCAUCAGGCUCAGGGUUUGUCAGUGUCCUUAUCACACUAAGUAUGCCUGCAUGUCUGUCAUGAAGGAUGCACACAUUCGGCUUAAUCAUGCACAAUUGCUCUCUUGAGCUGCCUGAAAAACCAUAACCAACUUUAAGUUUUCUCACCCUCCACGAAAGCAAAUGCGAGCGGAACGAUUUGAUAGUUGCCGUCUUGACCAAUGGCGGUCAAGAUCUGCCCCCUGUAUUUGCCAGUGAGAAAAGUACCAUCUAUGCAUAACACCAGUCGACAAUGAUGGAAAGCUUGAACGCAUACACCGAAAGUGAAGAACAGUCGUUGCAGCACCCUCACAGUUGGAUACUCUGAGUGCAGGAAGUGUUGGAUGUCGACAUAGGUGCCUGGAUUACGGGCUUGCAGUGUAUGGAGGAGGCGGACAACAGAGUCGUACGAGUCGAAAAACGAACCAAAUCUUUCCUCAAGAGCCCUCUGCUUAGCCCUCCAAGCCUUGCCAUACGAAAUGUUGUACUUAAACCUUACCCUGACCUUAUGCAUGAUGGCCUUCACUUCCAUUGCUUUGCUCUCCACUAUCUCCGUGUAAAGCAACCGAGCAAGAAGCGUCGACGAGAGGUUACGAUGGUCUUGAGGGAUACUGGGAAUGACACAUGUGUGCAACAUCAAGUCACUCACAACCCAAUCUGUGUCAUACUUAGGAACAUAGCCAUGCACCCUCCCGGGACAAUCUACUUGUUCACACUCCAUUGUAAGAUAUUUUUGUGAAGAGACUGUUGUUUUGAAAACCCUUUGCGUGGACAUUGCCCAAGCAAUUAUCGCAUCCUGCAGAUGUUUCUUGUCAGCAAAUCUGGCACCCUUCGCAAUGUUGUUCUGAUGAUAUUGUCAUGCAGAGUCGUGCCCAUCGUUCACGGUCAUAGCUGAAGAGAAGUGUUGAUUCCAUGAUGCAGGAGUCGGCACCUCCUCUUUGUCCGACUCAUGAGACUCAUCGUCAUAAGAACUACGGCCAUAUGUAUCUUCAUCCUCCAUCUCGUUCUGCAAGUGACCAUCUUCUUCGUCCGCAUCUGCCUCGCCAGUGUACUCAUCCUCUCCUACUGCCCCGGAGCUCUGGCCUGAUUCAUAACCACCACCUCCAGUAUUCGACACAGAGUUUGCAUUGGACAAGUCAUAAUUUGAUUCACCCUCGCCUUCAGCUGGAUUGGUCUCAUGAGCGACAACCUGGAUUAAGGCGACAGGUGUAGUUCCCCUUUUCUCGCAACUUUUUAACCAGCGCACCCACUUUGAUGUCCAGUCUAUCGGCCUCAAAACCAAAAAAAUAUUUGAACUUGACUUGGUCCACAAUGCUUGCACACGGGCGGUGUAUGUUUCAGGAUUGACCGCUAAACAUCCUACCAACCAUUCCUGCAACUGACUAAACGUCCAUGUUUGAGGGGCCGUUAGAUCCAACUCCACAUACUUAAACUGACUCAGGUCAGCUCCGUGCUCGGUUGUUAAGACAGUACCGGAACCGUAGUAAAAAACAAACUUCACUACACCGGACAUCUCUGAUGCCUAAAAAAAUGUUUAGACGCAUCAAAUACUAAGCAAUACGGCAUAUAAAAAAUAUUAUGACACGUCAAAUACUAAGCAGUACGGCAUAUUAAAAAUAUUAUGACGCGUCAAAUACUAAGCAGUACGGCAUAUUAAAAAUAUUAUGACGCGUCAAAUACUAAACAGUACGGCAUAAAUAAAAUCUAGCCUAAUCAAAACAUAUUACUACCGGCCAUACUAUUUGGACGCGUCAAAUACUAAGCAGUACGACAGAUUUAAAAUAUUAAUAGGUGUCAAAUACUAAACAAUACGGCAUAAAAAAAAUCUCGUCUAUCAAAACAUAUUACUACCGGCCAUAAUAUUUAGACGCAUCAAAUACUAAGCAGUACGACAUUACCCGUUGUCCAAAAUAAUGAGCACUACCAAACGCUAAAACAUACUUCUGGCAUCAUCACCAUUGCUCCAAUCAAAACAUAUACAUUGAAGCAGUGCACACGAAUCCUCAUAAACAUCAUGUGUCUAAGCAGUACACACGUAUCCUCAUAAACAUAUACAUUAUAAGAUAAAUACGUGAGAGAUUAGGAUUUACCCUUGAAGCGUGUGAACCCAACCUCGAGCAACCUCACAGUCACCCGAUGAGCACCACCACCUCCAAACUCCUCCAAACCACCACCAUUGCUCCAACUUUGCACCACAAAAUUAGCUCUACAUGGCCAAUGAAAACAGUAGAUCGAGGUGUCUUUGGGUGCCAACUAGGUAGGGGAUGCGAUUUUGUGGUUUAAAUGGGAUCAAAGUGCACUAAUUUGGGCUAGAAAAUGGGGCCAUUUGAGGAGAAAAUGAAGAACACAGAAGAGAAGAAGCUGGCUGGGAGAACGAGCAGAGGAGGAAGAAGCUGGCUGGGCUCACUCGGGCACGCACGGGAGGGAUGGGAAGGCAAAGUGAAAAAGGAAAAGGAAAAAGAUUCCGGCCCCGAACCCACCAUGCCGCUUUCGGCCACGACGAGGCCGACUGGCCAGUCGGCCUGGGCCAGGAUAACUGCCUCGUGGGGGGCCCACAGGCUGAGCAGGCGGCCUGCAGUCGGCCUGGCCAAGGCCGACUGGGCCUAAUCGGCUUGGGCCAGGCCGACUAGGCCCAUUCGGCCUUGCCCAGGCCAAGGCCGUAUUAUUUUUGAUAUUUUUGAAAAACACGUAUUAUUUUUGAAAAUGAUUAAAAAAAUCGUAUUAUUUAAAAAAAAUUAGCAUGAUCUUGCCGGUAGUUUGGUUUAAUGGAAUAGAAGGUAUUUCGUCUCAAAAAAGCAUUUAAAACAAACAUAAAAAUAAUAUAUCAAUGCCAAAUUUCUCAAGAUGGGUGACGUAGAGGGGAUGAGGAAUGUUCCCAAUCCUAAGCAUCCCGGCUAUCCCAGCCGAAAUACAAGCCUGUCCGGAGAGUACUCAUGAGUUCCCCGUUCGGUUGCAACAACCCCUGCAGGGAUUGAGUGGCGUUUAGAGAAAAUUGAACUAAACUGUCAUCGUUACUUCUCAAUCCCCAACGAGAAAGCCGUGCGAAAAACCCUGACAAUGAGGAUACACAGGGCAAAACCGAAGAAACAAGCCGCUACCGCGAAAACGAAACCCCUCCCGCUCCAACGACGCCGAACAGGGAACAUCACCUUGCGCCAGAGCGGGUAGGCAGAACUGGACUUCUUCGACGACCGGAGACAGGAAGAGGUUGCCCUGACAGGAACGGCUCGCGCAACGGCAAGCCUGCGUAGCACGAAGUCGCCCUCCCUGGCCAGCCCCACCGCGGCAAGCAAACUCUGCCGCCAGACGAGGGCUCCAAAGGUAACGCCUCCAAGGAGGACACGGCGUCCGAAGACGCCACCAUUGCCCGAUCCGAAAAACGCAUCUGAGCUUUCGCUCGGAGGCACCUCGCCUGCAAAAGGUGGGAUGUAGUAGGGCUGCACGAUGACGCCUUCAAGAAGGGAGCGGCGUCCAAGGACGCUGUCAUCGCUGGCACCAAAGGCGGUGCAGGGUUUUCACCCGCAGCCCACGCACCCAGCGUGAAUAGGGGCAAAAAACCUUCGCAAUGAAGAACUGACCAGAGGCCAGAGGCCACCAAAGCUCCGUGCGCACCGACGUAGGUCCGUCGACGCCAAUGGCCCAAACUAUCAGCCGCCAGGGCAUCACAACCGCCCCACGCACCGGCUUUGACGCACACUCGGCCCGCAGGCCCAAGCCGGACCCAAAACGGGCCCGCCCGCCACGGGCCAUCGAGCCGGUCGGGAACCUCCACGCACCGGCAAGUGCACGGCAAUGCUGCAACCACAUGCCGCCUAGCAGAACUGGCCGGCUGCCUGGGCCGGGCUCAUAUGUGAGCCCACGCCACCCAUCUGCACCCAGCAGACCAGUGCCGCCAUGCUGCCCAGCACCGCUCUGCGCCGACGGCCCCACGCGCCACCCCACGCCUCCACGCGUUCCCCGCCGUCAUCUCGCGCCACCAGGCGCCGCCUCGUCGUGGGAGAAGAGGAAAACGCUCCGCCGCCACCUUCCUUUGGCGUGCGCAGGCUUCGCCGGCACCCCCUUCGGCGGCAGCAAAGCAGGGGAAAGGGAGGAGGAGGAGGAAGACCGGUGGCGGCUAGGGUUUCAGGCAACACGGGGUAGGAGGAUGAUCCUUUGAUUUUAGUAUUUGCAUCUAGAUGUGGCCAAUGACUACAGAACGUACCCCAAUGCAGCAACUCAAUCCAUCAAAAAUAAAAAUAAAUCAAAGAGGCCGAAUAGAACAUGAAAUCCGAUAGAUCGAAUACGUUCAUAGGAUCGACACUUUGUGUUCUUUGAGAUAAAGAAUCGGAUUCCUAACAAUAUAUAGAAAGGGAUUUUGUUUUGUUUGUAGCCUUGUAUUAGGCAACUAGCCGCUGCUACUCGUAAUCGAUGGAAACAGAAAUGGGGAUGUCGACGGCGCCGUGGUCCUCCCUCCCCGACGACCUCCUCGGCCUGAUCCGCCACAGGAUCGCCUCCCCGCGUGACCGCGCGCGCCUCGCCGCCGUCUGCUGCUCUCGGCCACAGACCGGUGCCCGCAACGCACAAUCCGGCAGCGACGGCGCGACCUCUCCCGACUCCCACUCCCAGCUCGUCGCCUCUUCAAUCUUCUCGCGCUUGGCGCCUGCAACUCCGGCCAGCUCGACGGUGGAGAGGCCAAUCUGCACGGCAGCCGCAACUAAAGGACGGCACCAACUACCGAAUCAGGGGUAGGCGCAAGUUAGUUUCAGGUUGAGUUGUUGUUCAGAUCCGAGUUGUUGUCACGCUGUUCAGAUUUUGUUGUCGAGUUAGUGUUGCUGCUACUUCGAUUCAUGUUCGUGUGUAGCUUCUACUUGAAGUUUCUGUGUGACCGUGUGUACAGCGACAGCGUGUGUGAUUAUGUAUGUGAGGCUCAAUUGUACGUCAGAUUGCAGGUACGUGUGAUGCUAGUCUGUAUGAUUUGUCGAAUUCUGAAAUGAGAUGGUGCCGAAAUUUCGGAAAUUCCGGGUUACCCGAUACCCGAACCCGAAUUCCGGGUUAUUAAUUUUUUGCUCUAAUUUGGAGUGUUAAAUUUGGAAAUCCGAUUUUUUACUUACCCAAAUUACCCGACCCGAAUUUUCGGGUAAACCCGAACGCCCAGUCUGAUCCUAGUCCUUGUUAUUUGAAACAAAUAAAAAUAAUCAUAGCAGGGGUGUGGCCGGCCGGUACGUGGAUAUAUUUUGUAUCGUGUUUAAAGUUCCAACCGCACAUGUAUGCAUGUUACAUAUCGGAUUCCUUCUUUACUCCAAAAGGGAGAACAUAUCGGAUUCCUAGCUACUUAGUACUGCAGUAUAUAAGAUAAGGGAUUUGUUUGUACGGCGAUUAGCCAGUACUCGCAAUCGAUCGAAAGUUCGAAACACGUAGAGAGAUGUCAACGGCGCCGUGGUCAGAGCUCCCCUACGACCUCCUCGGCAUGCUCCGCCUCAGGAUCGCCUCCCCUCGUGACCGUGUGCGCUUCGCAGCCGUCUGCAAGCCGUGGCGUGCCGCCGCGCUGCUGCUCCCGGCGCCGCCUGCCGCCCCACUGCUGCUCCUCUCGCCGCGCGGCCGCAGCGGGAUGAAGCACUUGUGCGGCCCCAACGACAGCUGGGUCUUGCGCGUCCCGAAGAAGGCUCUCUACAAGCAGUUCCUCGGCUCCCACGACGGCGGAUGGGUAGCUGCGGUGAAUUACGACGGGCUAAUGAUCGUCAACCUCUUCUCCGGCGCCGAGGUUGUGCUCUCCGCAGACCAAACCACCAAGCUCGCCUCGAUCUGCUCUCCCAAGCCGUUGCCGUUCCACUGCGUGGGACACAGCAUCUGGAAGAUUGUCUUCUCCGGAGACCCCGCCUCCUCGGACGGCUGCACCCUCGCCGUCCUCAUGGGCGACCAGGCCCACGUCGCGGUGUGCAGAGUCGGCUGCCCGAACGGCGAAUGGGCCGUGCAGGCUUGGCACGGGGAGUCUAUCCAGGACAUCGCCUUCUGCAACGGCGAUCUCUACGGCCUCACGCUUGGCAGCGAGUCACUGAUCAAGUUUGAGAUCAGCAUGAAGCUGCAGGAACAAGAAGACGGCGGCAUGGCGCCGGUGCUCACGACCAUGGCUCACAAGCUGGCCAUCCAAAGGCGUGACGUUCCCACCUGGGAGCACGAUUUCAGGGCCUACUUCGCCUACAUUUUCGAGCUGCACGGCGAGCCGGCGAUGGCGGUGCGGACCCGGUGGCCGGCCAACCGUGAGCCUAUCUUCAGGGUGUUUAAGCUCUCCGCUGCUGCCGACGGCGUGUCUGAGCACAGGUGGGCAGAGGUGACGAGCUUGGGCGACUAUGCCUUGUUCUUGGGGGUGGCAUGGUCCAAGGCAGUGCAUCUGCCGAUGGAUGCCGGCCGGUGCGUUGCUCGUGAAGGCCUGGAGAGAAACCACAUCUACUACUCCACGCCUACCCGCUCCGAGGAAGACAAGUUGCCCGGCGACCAAGUGUACUCUGUGACAUCAGAAGACGGGCACCGUAUGUAUUGCAGGAAAGACCAGAGCGUGGGCGAUAGCGUUGGGAGAACAGGAUACCACAUGAUGGGUUGGCAUUAUUCUGCCAUGUGGCUACUCCCUCCAGACUUCUAGGUCAUAUAGUACUUCUUUUAGCUGAUAGGAGUCUUCUUUUAGCUGAUAGGGAGAUGACUCCGUCGAUCUUCGUACCAUAUUAUCAGCAUGAAUCUACGUGUGACUGAUUUCGGCCUGAAAGAGUAUCAUCAACCGUCCAGUGCAGUGAGCCGGCUUUCUUCUUGCAGAACACGUCGGAGCGAGAGAGAAAAAACUGUUUACCAGAUGACGAACAAACUGUGACAACCAUAUCAUAACACUGAAUAUAAUCUAUACAGAUGGUCCCCCCCUGAGGUUUGUACACACCGGAGUUUGUCGAAUUUCUGAUGACUGCGACUUAAUUACCGCUGUUGAUAAUACCCUCUACACACUUCUGCAAUCUGCAUGCUAUCCUAACUCCUAAGUAACUAAGCAAUUACACGACAGACUUGAAUCACAACGAUGACACCAGAUCACGGCACGGCAGAGCACCAGCAACUCGAAAAAGACCGACAAGAAAGCAGAAAGAUUCAGCUAAGUCCUUGCUCGGCGCCUACGAUACCCGUCACUGGAAUCAUGCGUCCAAAUGUUGAAUUACUCAUGAUGACAUUGGGCAUCUGCCCAAUCUGGUCAAUCAGCCGUAUGUGUUUGCAUGUGGCUCGUAACCAGCUGUGCUGUAGGUGCAAACAUGUUUGAUCCUGAAAAGGAAAUUUGGUAUUGGUUAGCAAUAGCCAACUUUAACUGGAAGAUACAAGAUGAGACGAACUCCUGUGAUUAUCAGUGUAGGUUAGCACCUGGAACAGCAUUAAAACCAUUCACAGUUUGGUGCAUGGCGGCCCGUGCAUGAACAUUAUGGCUGCUCUUCGUCUCAACAGCAUGUUCACCUCGGUCUAUUGAAACCUGUGGUAAUGAUCCACAUUGCUGGCUUGGUAAUGCUUGAGAAUCAAUCCUCUGAGCGGUGUCGGUAGAAGCACAUGACGCAGUGUGUGGAGGCCCUGCUGAAUGGCUUCUGCUGGCAGGAUCAUCAACAGUUUGCUGUUCACUCGACGCUGCUGUGCUGCUUGGUGGCAUCAUUGCUGUCGAAGAUGAAGUUGGUACAGGUGGCCGAAAUGUGUUUGAUGUUUCAAAAUCUCCUACCCACCCGCGACCAAACGUUAUUCCAGGAGGAAUGACCUGUUCAAUUCGCUUCGAUGCAACUUCCCAAGCGGCAGAACCAAGCUGUGCAGCAAAACGUGCCAGACUGCGGGAAUAGGACUGCUGCCACUGAACCCCAACCUGAAACAAGAAAAUACUGUGUUUAAGUGAGAAUGAUACUAUUUACCAUUCCCCAAAGUUACUGGGAAUCUGAAAGACUGAAACUAUAUUGAUAUAUCAUCGAUCUCUUAGGGAACAUGGCUUGUAUUGGACACUCAACUGGUACAAGAAUCUUCCUUGUUCCGUUGUAUGAUGUUGCCACUGGCAGCUCAUAUAUUGAACUGGAUGGUUGAUGAUGAUAAUAUGUGCUCCGGCGACUUUCUUCUACUAAAAGCGGCUUCUUCGCCAUUUUUCCUGACCAUUUACUCCCGGACCCUGGGACAUACGGAACAUUAAAUGAUGUCAGGGGGAAAUGGGUUGGUUGAAUCGGAAAGAUGUCCUUUAUUCAUCAGCAUCCCAUUGAAUACCCACUCAUUCAAAAUACAGAACUUUGGGGUGAUUUAAAAUAAUCAAAACCUGAGUAAUCUUCAAUGCUUUCCAUUUUGCGCUCGCUAGACCAAUUGUGCUCAUUGUUUCUAUUGGCAAAAGAAGCUUUCAGUACAUCUGCAAUUCUUCUUUGUAGAUCGAAUCCUGAGUGUGCAUGAUGUCCACUAUUUCCACCAGUAGCGAGUGCCGCACCAGGAAAUUCAGGAGGAGCACGUUCUGCUGGUGGUCUCCCAAUGUUUGGUUUGGCGGAGUUCUUUGGAGGCCUGCCUCUGCGACGUUGUGGCUUUGGUUCUUGCUCUGGUAGUGGUUCUGGCUCCGGCUUUGCUUUUGGUUUUGGUUUUGGUUCUGGCUCUGGUUCACUGGCAUCGCUAUCUUGCCUAAGAUUCUCAAAGUCCUUCUUAGCAACCUCUUGAAUUGCUCGUGCCUAUAAUACAUGAUACAUGAAUAUUACAUUUGCGCCAUAGCUUCCACAGAAACAUUGUAAUUCAUGAAAACAAGAAGACACAAUGCUUGACCUGUCGAUAGUAUAUUGUGUCUGGUGAGUUGUAGCACAUCGCAUUUGAGGUUAUCAAAAACACAUCAUCCUGUAAAUAGAAAGUUUGGGUUAGAGGUUACAAAAUGAAUGAGCAUAUAAAUAGCAUGCUGAAUAUGUGAAUCAUUAUGAGGAAUAACUUUGUACUAGCAUAAUAGUAAGAGUAUCACAACACAUUAACAUUACAAUAAGCUUUACGAACAAAAAGAUUGUGACAUCCUCCUAGCACGAGUAAGAAUAAUUCAUUCGAUAGAUAAUAAAAGUACACACCCAGCACGGCCUGUAAUGUUGAUUGUAGUUUAGAUACUAACAUACCGACUAUUUAACAGUGAGUCAAACUGCCAUUUCUUCUCGAGGUGUGGGUUGCAUCCCAGACCAUGGUUUAGCAUGAAGCAUGGAAUAAAACUUGAUGAACACAACAAUGUUAUUGAUAUAGAGGUAAGACUAAAUUGAAUGCGCACUGAAGAUGUAAGUAUACGAUGCCGGUUACAGCAUAUUUAGAUAUAGGUCCAACAGUUUCAAGUGGUACCAGAGAGGGUAGGAGAUAAGUAGCUACAGCAAGUAAAUUGGUAACAGUAAGCAUGCAUACCAAUCCCAAAAGUAAAAGUUCAGAUCUUCCCAUCUCAGUAAAUGCAUAUCUCAUAUUUCAAACUGACAACUUCGACCUCAGGUCCAACAAUACUUCGUUCGUGAGUACCACCACUACAUGAUUCAUUCGUGAGUACUACUACAAAAAGUGUUUAUAUAUUGGAAGUUGAACGUUCUGUUUACCCCAAAAGUAAGCUGCCUUAUUAUAUUCCUUUGGCCACAGGUAACAUGCAGUUUGCAGAGCAUGUAUAUCGCUUUUACAAAUGUAAUAGAACUAGGAAAUCCUGGAAAUGAGUAAUAAAUAUUGUCCAAGCGUUCACACAGCUGGUUUGUGUCUCUUCCUUCUUUUUUAUAAAGAAAGCAUCAUUUCGUAUUUCCUUAAAUAAUAGUUGAAGACAUUUUUACUUCACAGCAGGUGCUUUCAUUAGAUCAUAUUUUCCAUUAGAAAAAAAAUGGUCCAUUUACAGCUUUUCUUUUCUAAAACACACUUCUUCAGAAGAGUUAAUCAUUUAUUUACAUACAAACACUAUUUGUUAUGGAACUGUUUAUAGUAUCAGAUACUAUAGCCAAAUGACUUAAACAUCCUAGUAAUAAUUGGAUAUACAGAACAUAUGAAGACAGCAGCACCUGAUAUGUAACUAAAUAUAAACACAGCCCUGCUCAUAAUUUUAUACAAUUAAAUUUCUGCAAAUGGAAUCAAUAGCAGUAACUCCUGGUGGUGCAAGUGUUUCUCUUCACUUAUUACUAUAACAGAUACCUUGAUUCAGAUUUCAUUUUGCCUUUAAAGAAACUUGUUAAAUGAAAAUGUUGUGCUCCUGUCUUUCAUUAAGAAAAAAAAUCAGGUGUUCGGUACUUCAGUUUACAAGAUAUUUAUCAAAUGAAACAUUGACAGAAAAAACACCUAGCAGCAAAACUCACAGGUUUGUAUUAAAAUAUUUGCACCGCAUGUUUCGACUCUAAGAGAGUGAAUAUAUGUUCCUAAAAGGCAUGGUGCAAUGCUGCAGCAGUACAGAAUAUUUGCCCCGCAUGUUUCGACUCCAAAGACAGCAGUGGACAAGGUAUUUUUUACCAAGCCAGAAAAUGCCAUGGUUUUACUAUUUCUACUGGACUAUAAGAAUAAAGAACAUGUCUGUAAGGUACAAAAGGAGAAGAAACGUCAGCAGGGAAAAACACACGAGUGUGACAGAGAUGACGACUAAUCUAGCUGAUCAAGCAAACCGACAUAACCAAAUUACUGUAACAGCUGAUUUCCUACGAAACACUCUCAAUCUUCUGCCUGUUAAAGGAAAAUCCAAAUAAAAUAGAAAAAGGUGAAACAACAAAAAAACCAAAAGAUUCUACACUGACCUCAAAUUGCUCCAAGAUGGUAUAAGCCCCCUUAUCAAGCUUCUUGCGAACCGUCUGAAAAUCCAUUGGGUCCUUGACAAUAUCAUGGUAAUCGGGCAGCUGACAAUAAAUGCACAAUUAAAGGCAAAUCAGUCAGCUUCUGAAAAACGAACCAAGAAAAACAAGCUUUCAUCUUCAGACACAAACCUCUUCUGGAUCAACUGGCUCUGAGAAUACACCAUAUGUGUCUUUCCUGCAAGAAAGCAAGAAACAGACCUCAGAUAAGAUGUCCCGGAACUGUGAAUGAACUGGAAGGAAGAACAAGCAGAGAGCAUAGCAACUCACUUCUGUAGCCUAUCAAGGAUGAAGACCAAUAACUUUUUGUCCGGCAGAGGUGUCGUGGGACCGGAAUCUGACGGCUCUGUCGAAUGAACAAAUCCAUCCACCCACGAGCACAGAAACAAUCAGAGGCACGGGCAUUAAUUAAACAAGAACAAACUGGAAUGUAUCCACCACUACAAGAAUAAUUAAAAAUGACAUCCUUGUGCACAUUCGUCCAGGUAUUUUUUGCUUCUGAAAUCUGAAGAAUAAAUGCAUCAGAGAGCUAGGGAAAACCAACCUUCACGCCCAUCCGUCGCUAUCCUCGUCUUUUCUCCCUGCGGCAACAGCAGCAACAGAGGAUAAAGAGAAAUUUAAAAACAACAGGACAAAAAUAUCUUCACAGAAAAUCGAGAUGAGCGGAGAAAAGGCGCCAGAAAAAGUGGGGGCUUUCGUUUACCAGCACCAGUUACCAAGUACAGAUCCUAACGACGCCGGCGUCGCGAGAUGUAUAGCAAAAUUUGGCGCGAAAGGCAGAGGAAACCAGCCCAAAAAAAGGUACGCCUUUAAAAGCUUGGAAGCGAUCCACUUACAAAAAAAAUGCGCCAAUUAUUGCGACGCGAGAGAUGCGAUGGGUUUUUGGUUUAUCCGCCAAAUGAUUGGGAGAGGGCUCUCAGGUUGAACUGCGCAGCGUUGACUGCUGCACGACGGCAGAGAGAGAGGGAGAGGGGGGAUAAAUAAAUAGAGGCGCGCGGGCGGGCUUUUCAUGCCUAAAAUAGCAAAGAGAAUUCCUCGGGCGGCGCGCGGCGGCGCAGAUCCGUACGUUCCCGGGGGCAGAGCACUCCGAAUUUGGCGAAUUCCGCGCGAAACCGGCCGGAUUCGAGCGGGGAGUGCGCAGAUCGGGAUUGGGGAUGCGAGGGAAGCCCACCUUGGCUGAUCCGCCGUGGAGGCCGACGACGAGGCGGACCUUCUUCUCGCGGCGGUCGUCGUCGCCGGAGUCUUCGUCGGCGGCGGGGUUCCGGCGCGUGGAGGGGCGGCGCUGCUGGGGCGGGGGCGGGGCCGGUGGCUCCUCCUGCAGCUUCUGGAGGCGGAGGCUGCGCUUCUGGAGGUCGAGGAGCGAGGGGCGGCCCUUCUUCUUCCGCUUCCGGCGGCCCGGGGGAGGCGCCGACAUCACCGCGGCCGGCGGCGGCUGCUGCUGCUUGCCCAUUGCCCGCCCGGCGAGUACACUGCCCUUUUUUUUAUUUCGACGGGGCUUUACUUUUUUUUCUCCCUCCGUUGUGUCGCAGGGGGGUAUCGCGUGUGUUGGGGUGCGGGACGGGGCGGGGGUGGGUAGACUUUUUGGUGCGGCGGGGGCCGCUUCUGUGUUGGCUUUUCUUUUUUCUCGCUUUGCAGAGCACGUGAGCUGCGUGUGUUUCUGGGCCUUCUGAGUUCUGGCAGGGCGGAGCUGGGAGUCGUAUACUCGUAUACCGUCUACUCGCUGCUGUCAACUGUAUACUGAUGCAUGUAUGACGUACCCGGGCUGCCAGUCGGUGGCACCGUGGCACUCACCAGGAACGCGACGAUAUGGCACGUCCGUAUGGUUCCACACGGGACAAAUAUUCACUGCCCUGUAAAUUCACUUUCAAUUGUUGUGAAUAUUUUUGAAAAAUAGUUCCAAGGAUGUUCAUAUUGAUGUAAUAUUCAAGUUGCAAAUUUUGGCGAAUCAACAAGAUUCCAUCAACUGAUGGUUCAUGACGACAUUUGUGUAACUACUUGACAUCAUUAUCGCAAACUCAACAAGAGACCAAAUGUGAUGUAUUGAAAGGCAAACAACCAUUGCACCUCGUCUUCCAACAAAAUCGAUAGGUCCCAAUUAACAAGGAGUAACAAAUCCUUGGGCGGAGCGUGAGUCUGGUUGGGCGGCUCUUUUUUUCGGGGAAGUUGAGUUUUAUUGCUCAUGACCAAGAUUACACAACCAGUAGCCACGCAUAUUAGAUGGUAUAGUGGAUUGUUCCUUUCUAACGGAAUAUGGUUUUGCAGGUACCGACAUGAUCCUUAGGGAUGAGUUAGCUAGGAGCAGGAGCUGCCAUGUUACAACAUCGAGGAGUUUAUCUCAAUGUUUCGGAGACAAAUGUGUUUACAAACUAAAAAUGUGAGAUCUCUUAAAUAAGUCGUAUAUCUGAAAAAAGAGGAGUAUCAUUAUGCAAACAGAUUGUUGGAACGUUGCUAAAUGUAGUGGCAUGCAUGUAAUACAAAGUCCAUCGAGACAAGGCCACUUCAAAGAAAUCCACAGGCUGACGGGACUUGACGAAGAUUGGUCAAGGACAAAACAGAGUCGCAUUGCAUAUUAACAGAGUCGAUUUCAGGUAGAUCUGUUCGCCGCAGAUUGGUUGAACCACGUCCUGGUUACCAGAGUCACAAGGAUCCCGCUUUUCCUCGAAAGAAAAAAAAAUCACUGACUGCAAUACUUUUUUCUAAGCUUGCUUGACCCCUAAUCUACUGCUCUUUGUCUGCUUUUCCACCUGGGAUUAGCGCUGAUGUUGCUGGGAUAGUAGUAUUGAUGUGGAGGAAGUCCUUUCAGUUUCUGUUUCGGACAUUCAGUAAUCAAUUUCAGCAAAGUUCUCAACUUGCCGGUGUUUGGUUUCAGUAGUUCUCUGAUGCAGAGCAGUGAAGUUUCAGCAAAGUUUAGUACCCCCAGGUGUUUGAUUAUUAUUUUUUUAUAAGAAAGGUGUUUGAUUUGAUCGUACUAUUUGUAAUUGGUAGUUAAAGAUUUCAGGUGUUUAGAUUUACAUGCAUUAAAGAUUUAGCAAAGUGGAGUUCGAUUUCCUUCCACGGUUGUCUGUACUCUGUACACGACCUAAUUCUUAUGAUUAUUGUUUGCAUAUAUAUCCCUUCAAUUCACUCUACGAGAUACACUAGCCAGCAAUCGCACAUCCCAUCACACGGUGAUUCAAAGAAGAAUGACCUCUGGGAUGAUUCGCUACUCAUCGAGUUCAUAUCUCCUCGCUUUGCUUAUGUUCUUUUCUUCAAAAAAAAGAAGAUUUUAUCGACUUAUCGUAGUACUAACCCUACAACGUAACUUUCGCCCUCUGCAUCCAAAACGGCACAGCCACACUUACUGUUCUGAAGAUUGGCAUGAUACAAAGAGAAAUCCUAACACCAAUUUGGGAAUCUGUAGUUCCAAGUGGACAAUUAGUAUACUAAUAGAGGAAAGGUGCCAAACACACAAUUGGCGGAUAGAAGUUGAAACUACCGAUGGCCGUGCACUAAUAUAUCCCAAUAUACAAGUACAUCAGAUCAUCGGGGCGAGUAAAUUUCACAAAACCACACUUCGAGAAUAGGGUUUCAAUGAGCCACAAUUAUGACUAAUAGUCUCACAAAACCACACUUUUUCGGACAGAUCUUCACACAGAACCCAAAUCAGGUAAUUAAGAGCGUUUGAUGGUGUUUCUGACAAGUAGGACCCACAUGUCGGAUGCCAGGAUCGAAUCGGGAUUGUCCGGGUAGAUAGAGGAGCUUAACGGGUGUCGGGCAAAUGCUGACGUGGAUAAAAAAAGGGUUUGACCCGUCCGACCUGGCAUCCGACAUGUGGGUCCCACUUGUCAGAAACACCAUCAAACGCUCUUAAUUACAUGAUUUGGGUUCUGUGAGAAGAUCUGUCCGAAAAAGUGUGGUUUUGUGAGACUAUUAGUCAUAACUGUGGUCCGUUGAAAACCUAGUCUCAAGAAGUGUGGUUUUGUGAAAUUUACUCUAAGGGAGCUAUAAGACUUCUUCAUCAUGUAUUCGGCAAGGCUUAAGGGGCCGAGACGUCGUUUCUCAACAUUGUCGGAGAAGUCUGUGGUGGCAAUCUCCACUCUGCCGUCCUCAAGGUGAUGUAUGCGAAUCCCGCGCUUCUUCGACCCGCCGCCAACGUAGUAGAGGCAGUUGCCUUCAAUGGCGGGGAGAUUGUCGGCGUCGACAGACAGAGAGCGAUGCUUGCCAAGGAAGAUCGCACGGUUUCCGAUGCGCUUGACCGGCUGAUCCAGAUAAGUUUUACGGUCAGGACCAACCCUGAAGACCUGCACGGCGCCCAGCUGGUGAUCGGACAAAGACGGAGCGUUGUCGACGAGGAACGUGGGCAGCUGGUCCUUCUGAUCCGAGGUUCCGGCGACGACGACGGUGGUAAGCUUGGUCUGCAGCAUGUUACCGGAUGAGCACACGUCCACGGCCGCUACAGUUCCCUUCAUGUCGGCGGCGUAUGCCCGGCCUUGGAAGGCCACCGGGAAGGCCACCGUGCCCGCGAGCGAGAGUGACUCGAGGGUCGGCUUGGCGCGGCGGCCGGUGAAGGGGUUGAGGAGGAAUAUACGGAGGCGGCCCUUCGCCUCCAGGAGUAGGAGGCCGUCUGCUGUGGAGCAUGGGCAGGUGCAUCCAGAGGAACCGGCCCGUGUCGACGUGCAAGAAGAGGAGCCGGCCGUAGCGUUCCCGGCCAGCGGAUGAUCGGGCGUGAGUCGUCGGCUGUAGUUUGUGUCAUUGACGAUGCACGGGUCGUCGCCCGCGAGCUUGUCGAGCAUGACCCAUCGGUGCGGGCGGAACCGCGGGUCGUCGUCCUCGUCCGGGCCGCGCGGGUCGGCGGUGGCGGCGCGCCAGCCGCGGCACACGGCGCGGAGGCCGAUGUAGUAGUCGAUGUCGCUGGUGGCGAGGAAGACGUCCGCGACGCGGCUGACGAGGUCGGGCAACAGCUACGACCAGUCCGCCGCGGGCUCCAUUGUCGCCGUGUGCGUGCGCCUGUGGCUGCAAGAGUUUAUGGAUGGGCCUUGGCACUCGGACGGAGGAAGAAGCCAGAGCCGCCGUCACCUUCCGAGCGAUGGCAAACCCUGAAAACGGCCCCGCUGGCGUGGAGAUGAAGUAUGAAGGGGAGAACCGUCUUAUCCAGCUGAUUCCCCGCCGCGUGCGCCGUGGAAUCCGCCUGGAUCGCUGGGGGCGUUUCCAACUGAUCCCCCGCGGCCUUCCGUCGAAUCCGCCUGGAUCGGCCGCCACUUGGCAGGCCGCGAAGGAUCUCAGCCCAGGAAAAGCCCACGGCUCCAAGGCGCAAAUGAAAGAGGAGAAGAGAAAAUCGUGAGAAAACUCACUGGAGGAGAAAAAUGGCUAUAGUAAAAUUAGUGAAAUACCCAAUCCGGAAAAAACGUCUAGUGCUUCGCCUACUUCCUCAAACAAAAGAGACGCGCGAAGGGCAGAGCCUCAGCCACCCAGCAGUAAUAGCAGCCGUGGUGCCCGUUGAGAUUCCCCGCGCCGUUCCGUCGAAUCGAUCAGCCGCGCGCCCGGCGCCCCUGCACAUAUAUUAUACCCAAUGCCCACACCUCACAACCACUUGCUAACGCGCGCGGCGGUGACCAUGGCUGCGGUGGACUGGUCAUCGCUCCCCGCCGACGUGUUCCUAGCCACCACCGGUCUCGACUACUACAUGAGCCUCCGCGCCGCGUGCCGCCCCUGGCGCGCCGCCACCGCGGACCCGCGCGGUCCGGACCGGCGCUUCCAUCCCCGCCGGUGGAUCAUGCUCGAACUGAAUAUCCAUGUUUCAAGAGAUAUUGUUAACUCCAAAGCUUUCAAACUGAAUAUCCAUGUUUCAUCGAAAUAGGGUACAAAACUUUCGAGUUUGUGGAUGUUCAACCCAAAAUCCAUAACAUACAACGGUUCAGCCUAUUUCUUGAGUUGACAGUUCGCAAUUCCUAGUGGCAAUGAAUACAUGCUAGCUACUCCCCUUUAACUAAUGAAUACUUGGCUCGAAACCUCUCGACCAUUGAGCUUAAUGAGUCCAGCCGAGUUUGAUUUUGAACUGGUCAACGAAACAUUUGAGUCAAGCCGAGCAUAAUUCUGAGUUCGUUAAUAAAACAACUUUAACCACUCAAGCAACGAGCUACUCGUUUAACACCAUCCCCUCUUCUCCCCUUGGUCCAUGGUCCAUCCCUCUUUUUGACCUAACUCAAUAUCCACCCACAUUCCUUGACACACAAGCAAAACCACUCUUGACUCGCGUCCUCCUCUCAUAUGGCAUAUAUGUUAAUUUAUUAACGAUCGAGUUAAACAAACCAAUUUUGUAGUUAAAUUGAGUCGAGCCCAUGUCGCUUUUGAACAUGAUAUACUAUUAACGAGUCGAGCUAACUGUUGUAACUAGUGUGUUAUCUUAAUUGGUUCUACCAAUUCGAGCCAAGCUAACUACUCCCUCCGUUACAUAAAGAUUGGCACGGAUAUCCGGCUCUACUCACACGGACAUGUGGUCAUAAUGCAAAAGAUGCAAAUGAACAAUUCUGAACAGGAGAUUUGAAUUCAGAACCUUUGGUUAUGUGGCAUGUGCCUUUAACCGUGUGGAGCUAACAAUUUAACUUAAUCCGUAUUAUAAUCUCACGCACACUGUGCUUGAUUCUUCUUGCUUUGCUUCCCUUGGUGCGGGUGCACAUCUCAGAGCAUACGGACGGUAUAGAAAGAAGGUGCAGUGCGUCCCAGACUAACCAAACUUUUUUUUUGGCUAUACAAAAUGCACGGUUGUUUGUUGCACGCAACGACGAUUGUUCCUUUUGCCAAAGUAAAUAAAUAAGCAUCUCUCGUCGAAGAUCAUUAUUUUUCUAAUUCUCUACCUCGUGAAAGCUGGAAGUGGCCACGUCACCGGCAAAACUAACCAACGGUAAUAUCUCCCGGAAAAAUCCACCGAGCCAGCCCUUCGCUAGCGCCAAAGAAGUUCACCGCGCGCACGGCCAAAAUCCACGCAAGACCAGCGAAAUCUCGUGGUCUCCACUCUCUGCUCGCCCGGCGCGGCGAGAAGAUAAUCUCAUGGCCACCGCACGGCCACAUCAGCGAGCCACCGCAGCAUCCCCGUGAGGACAUUGACCCCACCCCAUCGCCCUCGGCUCAGACUCAAACCCAUCAAAAAUCCGGGCGCGCCCACGGUGCCAGCCACUCCGUGGCCAGAGCGCGGCCACCUCGGCAACCCCCAUCCGCCUUCCCGGCACCUCACAGCGCGCGCGCCAAUGGCGACUCGGCUUAAGAUUCCCCGUGGAUAAGGACUCGAUCGCGCGCGUUCGGGCCUCCUAUUUAAACGCCUCUCGCUCCCGCUUUACUCCACAGCAACAACCGCUCCAACACUUCAGUUCUCACUCCACAGCUCAGAGUCAGAGCUACUAGCAAUGGCAGCGGCGACCAUGGCGCUCUCCUCCCCCGCGAUGGCCGGCACCCCGGUGAAGGUCUCCAGGGCCACCCCCUUCGGCGAGGGCCGCAUCACCAUGCGCAAGACGGCCGCCAAGCCCAAGGUGUCCGCGUCCGGCAGCCCGUGGUACGGCUCCGACCGCGUGCUCUACCUCGGCCCACUCUCCGGCGAGCCCCCGAGCUACCUCACCGGCGAGUUCCCGGGCGACUACGGCUGGGACACCGCCGGGCUCUCCGCCGACCCCGAGACCUUCGCCAAGAACCGCGAGCUCGAGGUCAUCCACUGCCGCUGGGCUAUGCUUGGUGCCCUCGGCUGCGUCUUCCCCGAGCUGCUCGCCCGCAACGGCGUCAAGUUCGGCGAGGCCGUCUGGUUCAAGGCCGGCUCCCAGAUCUUCAGCGAGGGAGGCCUUGACUACCUCGGCAACCCCAGCCUUGUCCACGCCCAGAGCAUCCUUGCCAUCUGGGCCUGCCAGGUUGUACUCAUGGGCGCCGUCGAGGGGUACCGUGUUGCCGGUGGCCCGCUCGGUGAGAUUGUUGACCCACUCUACCCAGGCGGCAGCUUCGACCCCCUUGGCUUGGCUGACGACCCAGAGGCAUUCGCUGAGCUCAAGGUGAAGGAGAUCAAGAACGGCCGCCUCGCCAUGUUCUCCAUGUUUGGGUUCUUCGUCCAGGCCAUUGUCACCGGCAAGGGUCCCCUCGAGAACCUGGCCGACCACCUGUCCGACCCAGUGAACAACAACGCCUGGGCCUUCGCCACCAACUUCGUCCCCGGCAAGUGAGCUUAGUUAGCAAGCUCCAGCGCCUGCUCUAUGCUGAGGCGCUUGGCCGACGACGUCAUUGUUGAUGAUGGAUGCUGCUGCAUGUGUCGAGAUUGAGUCAGGAGUCAGGACUGAUAGAUGUUGCAUGUGAAAGUCAGAGAUGAGGAGUUGGUGUUGUACACUAAAGAUGGUGUUUGUGUAAUAUCCCUCGGUUAUUUGUGAGAUGAAUCCGGGCAUCUUUGUUCUUCUGCUCACUUGUUCAUUUCUCUCUCCUCUUGAAUGCGUGCUGUUUGCAUUAGAAGGAGAACGCCGAGAAAGCGCACCUCACUCGUUGCAUUGGUUCUACUUCCUCUGAAUCUGAAUGUGUCUGAAAGUUGUCUGAAUUUUCUGAAAGUCCAAGCCGGUAAGUUGUCUGAAUUUUCUGAAGUCAAAUUUCUAUUUAAAUGUUGUACAAAUCUUGGGUUCCUCCUAGUAAAAACAAACUAUGGAACACUGCCAACUAGUGCAGCUUCCUUGUGAAGAUGCUGCUGUACUACCGUCCCUGAAGAACGGUCAUGGUUAUGCUGUUCCUGGUGUUCUCAAGAUCGUCUCUCUUUGCUUCCAUCAGCGCGAGAUAGGCAGGCUGGUUUGGUUUCGGCAGCGACAAUGUCGACGACGAGGACCCGCUUCCAUUCUCCAGGAUGGACACGACGGCCGACAUGAGCGGCCUCCUGCUCGGGUCGCCCUCGACGCAGAGGAGCCCGACGUGGAUGCAGAGCAAAGCCUCCUCCUGCGAGCAGCUUCCUGCGAUGGAUGGAUCCACCAGGCCGCCUGCCUUUCCUUCCCUCCACAGGUUCCAUGCCUGCAUGAAACAAUCAAAUCAACCAUUCUGUGUUUUUUCUCUUAAAAUUCUGGUGUCAGUGGCUGUUCUAAUUCAGAUGCUCACAUAGACUAUGAGGCUUGGAAACUCCAUGAUGUCAUCAGGAGAGCUUAUCCUGACACCGCUCACGAUCUCCAGGAGCAGCACGCCGAAGCUGUAGACAUCGGACUUGACAGAGAAAACGCCCUCCGUAGAGUAUUCAGGAGCAAUGUAACCACUGUCCAGUGUCCCCACAAAGUUUUCAGAAGACGUGCCAGAAUUUUGUCAAAUGCUAAAAGCUAACUACAGCUUAAAAAGCAAAAUCUAUUUUUUUGUUUGUAAAUCUAGCUUCAGUAUUCAGAGUACUAACAAUGUUCCGACGACUCGCUUGGUGUUGGCAUUCUGCUGGUUGUCGCAGAAGAUCUUGGCCAUGCCGAAAUCCGCUAUCUUGGGCCGCAUCUCAGCAUCCAGCAGCACGUUGCUUGCCUUGAGAUCUCGGUGUAUCACUGUCAACCUCGAGUCCUGGUGGAGGUAGAGGAGCCCCCUCGCGACGCCCUUGAUUAUCUCCAGCCGCGUCGGCCAAUCCAGCACCGAUUUCCUUUCACUAUCUGAAGCAAAAAGAUCACAUGAGACCGUCAGGAAUCGUAUCAUCAUUUUCUGUUCUUUCUUUCUUCAGUAACUUGCUUGAGUUCUGAACAUAUAUACAUACCGAAGAGGAUGGCGUCCAGGCCUUUGUUGGGCAAGUACUCGUAGAUGAGCAACUUCUCUGCUCCUUCCGUGCAGCAGCCGAGGAGACGGACCAAGUUUCUGUGUUGCAGUUUGGCGAUCAGGAUGGCUUCGUUCUUGAACUCUUCUGUUCCUUGGUCAGAAUCCUUGCUCAGUCUCUUGACAGCAACCUCUCGACCGCUCUCUAAUGUCCCCUUCCGAAUGAUACAUGAAACAGGCGAGAUCAUGAGUAUAAUUCAGUAUUUCAGUGCAUCGAUCAAUGCUUCCGAGUUGAAAUUUAUUUAUUUUGGUAAACUGGAAGAAGAGAAAAAUUCUCAGAUAACUGAAAAAGUGAAAAUCAACAGGCCAGAUGAAAAAUCAUACUACCUUGUAAACCUUGCCGAACCCUCCACGCCCGAUCAUGAAUGCUUUGGAGAAGUUUCCCGUGGCGGCCACGAUGUCGACGAACCGUACGGAUGGGAACUCAAGAUCUUCAGCGUGUUCUCCUUCUCCGAUCUCAGUCGACGUAUUCGCGCUCCCGGGCACCAGCUUCUUCUGGCUCUCGGUUUUUCUCCCCUUUUCUGUAAAUUUUGAUGUCCCAAGCAUUUCAUCUCCGAUGAGCAUGGCAUGUUUAGAGAUACUAAUAAAAAGAGAGGAAGAUAAUAUAAUUGUAUGUAGCACCUCUGAACCUACAGAACCACACAAACAAAAUGCAUGCGAGCAACAAGACGCCGGCUAACACCGGCAGUGCUAUUUUCAAGGCAUUUUUGCUUGCCAUUGUACCUGCACGUGCAAAAAGUCAAAACAAUGGCAAAGUUUGGUGACACAAUCGAUUUCGGCCAAAGGGGCAAACUUCUUCUUUGAAUUCUGUUGAAAUCCAAUAAAAUUCUGGAAAAAAGUCCGGUAGUACUACUAAGAGCUGAUUUCUAUUUCAAUCUGGGUGAAAUUCAGGUACUGCUGGUUUUUGAAGUUGUAACUACCUGCGGAACCAGCAGGAGGAAGGGGGACGCGAAGGUAUAGCGUGUCGGCUAGGGAGGCCCAGAGGGGCCCAAUCAUCUGCGUGUCGACGAGGUCCCCGGCCCACAAGAGGCACCGCCUGACGUCCCCCUUGGCGCUGCUGCUCUGCAGCUUGGCGUACGCGUACGCCAUGCAGGAGCAGUUCCCGGCGCACCUCGCCGCGCACUCCUCGGCGCUCCUGUUCCCGCCGUCCAGCACGAACUUGUCCGGCACCUUCACCCCCGCCAUGGCCAAGAACCCACUCCCAUGCCCGCACGGCGGCAGCGGCUCCUUCCGCCGGCACCCCUUGGAGAAGUCACCGCCGGUGGCCCACGCCGGCUCGAAGCCGUCCAGGCACCUGCAAGCCGCCGCGGCGACGUCGCAGUACCCGUAGGGCCCGCAGUAGCCGUACCGGCUGCACCCGCUGGACGGCCAUGACCCCACCGUGGCCCACGCCGAGGCGCUGCCGUUCCAGCCGAGGAGCUGGAACUGGCCGGAGCUGGUGAGGACGAACCGCGUGGGGGCCGCGCCGGGGGAGACGGUGAAGGUGUUGGAUAUCUCGUCCUCGGUGUCGACGAUGGCGGUGUACACCACGGUGCCGGUGCCGCUGACGUAGCUGGCCUGGACGGUGUAGCCGUUCCACACGGGGCUGCGCCAGUGAGGGCGCGUCCCGUCCCAGACGAGCAGCUGGAGGGCGGUGUCCGGGUCCAUGCCGUAGGAGAAGCGCCCCGGGGACGGGUCCUCGGGGGAGCUCCAUGACACGAGGCGCCCGCCCUCGUGGGUCCGGUGGUUCAGCCAGACCUUCAUGCCCGGGAGGAACGUGUCGGCCGGGUGGUCGAAGCUCUGCCACAGCGCGGUCCCGUUGGCGGACCGGAGGACCAGGUUGCCGGCGUUCGUGAGCACGGCCAGCGCCGCGGGCGGCGAGCCGCUCGCCAUGCCGGUCGUCCAGACCGCGCGCCCGUCGGCGUCGGACAGGACGAGGUUGGAGGAGUCGUUGUCCAGCGCGAGCCUCGGCGCAGAAGUGCCGUUGGUGAUGGGGGUUUCCCGGUUGGCGACCCACACGACGGUGUUGACGGGGAUGCUGUUGUACCAUAUGCCGAGGUACUGUCUGUCCGGAGUGGAGAUGGACGGGGAGAAGAAGCCCAGAGCGAAGGCGCCGCCGUCCGACACUAGGGGCUUCCCGGGCGCGAGCAGCUCGCCUGCGACCAGCUCGUCGCCGGCCCCCGCGCACGGGCGCGGCGAAAGGAAGAAGAAGCAGACGACGGCCAGGGCCGCGACGACGACGACGCGGCCGGCAGCACGCGCCAUGUCCGUCGAUCGAUCGCGAUCGAUCAACAGCGUUGAUUGAGACGGGAGAAAGAACUCAAGCUUGGCAUUGGCAUGCAGCUAGUAGUAUCAUUUUGCGCUGGAUUGUGAUGUCUGUUGAGUCAGGUCGCGCGCCUUGGCCUGCAAGAAGUCUCUCAACUCCAUUGGAUCCUUCCUGUUGGUUGGAGUUGGAGAUGGACGUUUAUUCAGCGCUUGGACUGGACAGUCUUUCUCUGUGACGCGAUCAAGGCCAACAACUGCACAGUUGAUUUUUUUUAGGGAUGCACAGUUGAUAUCUUAUGCUUUUGGAACGAUGGUGCGACCCGAUUAACGCGCUCAAGUCGCAGGUAAAACCUACGGGUACCUAGACUCAGAACAUAUGAAAGAAAAUCUGAAAUUGUUCCGAACGUUUUAUUCAGUCAUUUGUUACACAAUAUGGAUUUAUUUCUGAAUUUGUUCAUAGUUUGGACCGGACUAGGUGCGACCUUGCGGAGUACGUUGCUCCGCAUGAUUGGAUGGAAAUCUACAAACCAUGAUGCCAUGGUCAAUCUCAUGAGUUACAGUUUAGACUUCAGAGCUGUGCGUGCGUGCAUAUGAACGCGUGCGCGGCGUGCCCUUCACCUCAGUCAACGCGCGCUUUGUCUUCUCACACAGCUUGUUCCUCACACUCUAACUUUGCCCCGACCGUGUUGUUCUACCAUUCUGUUUUAAAAGCAAGCAAACAAAAUUUGCCUUUGUAACAACACGUCAGAGAAGAAGAACAACAACACCUAAUCGCUGACGUAGAAUCACUUCUGUCGAGUUGGGUUUUGUCAUGUCCUGAAUUAUUUUACAGGUAUUUUGAUAAAAGAUGUGGCAGAGUAGGUAAUACAGACACAUUCUCUGUCACACAAAGGUACACCUCGAUGAAUUUUGGUUGGCCGCAAGAUAUAGACUACUCCAGUAUCUGGUCUUGUAAGAUUUAUGCUUGACUUCUUAUCAAGCAAGGGAUUAAGGUAAGAUAUGUGUUGCUGAAGCAAAAAAAAAAAUUGUGGAGGAUGAUAAGUGCACAUUCGGCUGUUCCUUCCUGAGCUAGUAUCUGUAAAGUUAAUACCUACUAAAUGCAUUUAACGUUUGCAAGUUACAAAUGCAAAGUGUCCAUAUCAUCGUUCACAUUACCAUCCACCCCAUGUAUUCUAGCCCACAAGCAAUCCAUUUUGGUGACUCCUACGACUCAACCUUUUAUCUCCUAAGAAUCUUUACCCACGUUGUAUAUAAAUAUUUCACCAAGUAUAAUAUCUAUGAAGUUGAUCCUCACUAAAAUGCAUUUUGUUUGCAAGCUCCAUGUGCAAAGUGUUCACAUCACCAUACACGUCAUGUGUUGUAGCUCGCAAGCAAUUCAUUGUGGUGGCUCCCUACGAUUCAACAUUUUAUCUCGUAAGACUUUUCACCUUGAUGUUGUAUGUAAAUAUUUCACGAACUAUCCUUUUUUUUAUGUGUGCGUUGUUUUUUCUAAGAAAUGCGAAUACUUCCUGAAGCUUUUUUUCGAUUUUCCAAAAUUUACUGUUCAUGUACAUCAAAAUUGCUCCUAUUCUUUGGAUGAUGAAGUAGUUUGGCCAUACAGUAUUCAUAUUUGUUUUGUAUUUGAUCAUAUUAUUAUCAUUUAUUCUUACGUCAUGUCUAGAUGUGCAAACAUAAUUUUUCGUGGCAGCGCGGGGAAUCAACCAGUUGCAUGUGUGGAUCCUUGAUCUACAAGCAAAACAGAUUGCAGAAGAAAAUCCUUUUUUCCCCGAAAAAAAGAUUGCAGAAGAAAAUGAAUAAAUGCUUUGACGAAUGGCUUGUUGUAGCAUCCCCGUAAGUUCCAGACGAUUGAAUAAUGCAAAGUUUUCGGAAUUCUCGUAGAUUUUGGUUUGGCAGUUGACAUUUUAGCUGUCCACGUCGGAGUUUUUUUAAGAACAGUCCACGUCGGAGUUGGGAUGCCACGCCACCGUCAGUGCGACUAGUCAACUAUACUGACUGAAACAUUAGCUAUACUGGUCCGGCCCAGUUUUUGUUUUUGAACACGGGCCGGCCCAGCUGGUCCAGCUCUGGCGCGGCUGAAUCGGAGGGUCAAAACGACGAGGCCCAAGGCCGACAAGACCACGACCCAGCCGCCACGCAUAGUGUGUGUGUUAUGAAGCCCACGCCCACUUAGCAAAGUAAUUGGGCCCAUCGGCAGACGGUCUUCUUUCUUUCAAGAAACAGAACCAUGCCAAGGAAUUAGGCCGGCCUCUGCUGAGCAACACAAGGUUUCGAUUUUCCUGUGGCGUGAUGGUCGAGCGAACGACCGAACGUGGCUCCAGAGCUUCGGACGCGGACCUCAAGGCCUUUUGCGUAAAAGAUGGAGGCAGGUAGAGGUGCAACACCGUGACCUUUAAGGUAUCUUUUAAUUCUCUUUAGUUCAAAUAAAUGAACUAGUUUUUAAAAAAUUGUGUCAUUUUAAAAUUUUAAUCCAUUUAGUUGAACUAAGGAUGGUCAAAGGGUAUCCUGAUGGUCGCAUUUUGCAGCUCUAGAGGUAGGGAGUUUAUAUAAAAAAACAGCUCGACCUGUCAUCCCACGAGUUUGAUAAGUGAUUGUGUCAGAAUGCGAGGUCAUAGGGUAUAAAGAUUGUAUAUGGACGUAUAAUGCAACUUUGAGGACCCAUGAGAGCAGAUUGCAAUAAAGAGAACUAAAUCAGACCGCACCAUCAAAUUUAUGGGUCACGUAUGCAUUCCAUCGUUCUUCCAAUGAUAUGAUAGAAUGAGUGGAAUCAAGUAGUGACCGUGUGCCAUCUAUAAGUGUGCUUUGCGGCUUAUAGUCUGGUCCAUGCUUGCAUAGAGCCAAAAGUCGCUGACAUGAUCAAGUUCCAUGUAAUCUGAACUUUAAAAAUAUAUUUUUUCGAACGGCUGGUGGCCGAACUUUAUUAAAAAAUCAGAGGAGUACAAGGCGGGUGCUUUUCAGAACAAAAGCAGGCGCCCGUGCGUUUAGCAAAAUGGAACUAUUAAUCUGGUCCAAAAUCUGUUUUCACCUUUCAGUUUCUAAGAAACAUGGGUUAGCAAAAUCUUUUCCUAAAGAGAAGGACGAUAUCUAGGAAGAUUGCAGUGGAAACAUGGCUUAACAAUGGGCAAUCAAUGUGCCAACACCAACACAGGUUGCUGAGUGUUUGAACGGACAACGUACGUCCAGCUCCAGCCUCCAGGACGUGCACCCACUAAGAUGUCAGAAACGAAAAAUUCCACACUAAACUGGAAUACGGAGUACUUUAUUCUGCUAUACAGGAAUAUUAAACCUAACAAGGAAUGAUGAAUAGAGAAAUAGCAAGAUAAUAUAUAAUAUACAUUGUACAAUAAGCAAAAUUGUGACAAUUUGGGAAUAGAGAAAUCAAAACAUCGACGACUUUUCUCGGCAAGAAAAACAUCGACGACUGGAAGCUGCAUGAUGACUUCGUCAGGCUAUUUCAGACUUGGCUCGAGUUGACAUUAAUUUGUUCCUCUUCCCACUUCGUUGGUACUUCCUUCGAUCCAUAUUAAUUGUCAAAAUCUUACAUGUAUCCAGACGAUUUUUAAGCAUAGAUACAUCCAUAUUUGGACAAAUUUAAAACAAUUAAUAUGAAUCGGAGGUAGUAGGAUAAUAUUGGUAUUCCGAGCCACGCGGGAGCUGUGGCUGAUUAAGUAGCAUUAGAGGGUUCAAACCUUGAAAGAAAGACUGCUAUAAAAAAUCCUCACGGCUGAUGUCUUGCCGGCGAGGGGCUAGCACAUGUGUGUUACCAGCAAAAAAAAGUGGGCAUGUGUAAUGAUUAGUGGCUAUCCUUUGAUGAUCACGUGUAACUUGGUCAAAAUUCGUUAUCGAGUUUACACUCGCCUGGGUGGAUAAUUGGUUUGUGAGAGGAUCUUACGGGCUUACGGCAUAUCCCGGAAACAAUCGACCCAGCACAUGCUAUAUGUCCUCGGGAGUGUUUGAAAGGAGGGACCGUAAUAGUUGCCAAAUCUUCGACGCGGCAAAGAUGAAUUGUGAUGAAAUAUAUUUCAAGGUUGUUUAUUGUUAUUUGUUUCGUAUCAUAGGUUGAUAGUUUUUUCUUAUAAAUUUGGUCAAACUUUUAAAAGUUUGACUUAAGACAAAAAUCAUAUGCUUUAUAAUAUGGAAAGAAGGGAAUAGCAUGCAUGACAAUUUUGUCGAGUGCGUCUUUUUUUGGACCGAUACUGUUCUGCAUAUCUUUUCUGAUAAAUAUAUACAACUAUAUAAUUGUAUGAUUAUUAUUUCAUCGCCCUUGUAUCUCAGUAAGAGUAAAAUUGUUCACAGAGUUCUGAAUAUCAACUCCGAUUUGCUCCAUUUCAGCGCUCCGCCGCGCAAAGUAUGCAGGGCGAUUAGGCACCGGCAAUGUUGUGCUUCCGUUCUCCAAGACAAACACUACGGCUGACAUGGCCGGCCUAUCAUCUGGAUUUUCCUGGACACAUAAGAGAGCUACGUGGAUGCAAAGCAACACUUCAUCCGAUGAAGAAGUGUCCAUGAUAGAUGAGUCCAGCAAUUCCUUCGUCUUUCCUUCCUUCCACAUACUCCAAGACUGCAAAAAAAAACAUUGCAUAUUUUUUCGUUUUGGUUGUUAAACAUUUUUCAACAACUAUGUUUGUAUUUAUACAACUUUAGAGUUCUUUCCAUAUAUACUCACAUAGAUUAUGAGGUUAGGGUAGUCCAUGGUAGCGGAGCUUCUCCGUUUGCCGGUUACAACCUCCAAUAGUAACACACCGAAGCUAUAGAUGUCGGACUUGGUAGAGAAUAUGCCUUCCAUUGCAUACUCAGGAGUCAUGUAGCCAUUGUUUGAUCAUUUCAUUUGCAAGAGUUAUAUGUUGAACGAGAUUAAUUUGGAUUUAUUUACAAGUUACAAUGAAAAUUCUACUCACUAUGUUCCAACAACGCGUUGAGUAUUUGCAUUUUGCUGGUUGUCACCGAAGAUUCUCGCCAUACCAAAAUCCGCUAUCUUGGGUUUCAUAUCUGCAUCUAACAAAACAUUUCCAGCUUUUAGAUCUCUGUGAAUUAUGGUCAAUCUUGAAUCUUGGUGGAGGUAAAGAAGUCCCCUUGCAACCCCUUUGAUUAUAUUAAACCGCGUCGCCCAAUCCAACAACAAUUUUCUUGAAUCAUCUGUGGCCAGAAACAAAUGUAAGAAAAUGUGUUUUAGAUUCGUCUUAGGAAAUCAUGACGUGUGUUGCAAGAGUAUGUACCAAAAAUGGUAGCAUCUAAGCUCUUGUUAGGCAGAUACUCGUAAAUCAACAACUUUUCAUCUCCCUCCCCACAACAUCCAAGAAGCCGAACCAAGUUUCUGUGUUGCAAUUUGGCAAUUAGAAUUACUUCAUUCUUGAAUUCCUUUAUCCCUUGCUGUGAAUCCUUGCUUAGCCUCUUGACAGCAACUUCUUGGCCACCUAACAUUCCCUACGGAGUUGUGUGGAAAUUUAUAUCCGGAUUUGUCUUGUGAGCAACUCAAUUUUACCGAUUUAAGAACAGAGGAUAGGAAACUACUAUCGAACUACUUACCUUGUAUACUUUUCCAAAGCCUCCUUGUCCAAUUACACACGUUUCAGAGAAGUUGUGCGUUGCUAUGGCAAUUUCCUCAAAUCUUACAAAUGGGAAUUCAUGAUCGCGUGGAGGGUUUCCUUUCCCAAGUUCAUAAGAGAUACUCAUACUAUCCAAUGUCUAUCAUCUUCUGCUUUCUCUUUUUCCUGUUCUUCCCUGCUCCCACAAUUUCAUAAACAUUUCAAUUCAGGAAAUAUACCUUGCAAUUUAAUCCACAAGAGAUGGUCAAAUGGACUUUAUCAUCAGGAAAUAACCCUAUACGUACUAAGGUACCUUGCAAUUUUAGCCAUGCCAGGAAAAUGCACAUGAGGAUCACAAUAGUACCGCCCAAAACUGGCAGAGAAAUCUUAACCGUGGUGCUGUGUUUACCUGUGCAAAACGUACACACACAUAGCACAUCGCACGAAAUAAAUGGAAAUACAUCUGUGAAAACAAGAAAUUCAGAUCAAGAAUUGGUACCAUCCGUUGCGUCCAGGCCUGCAAUGCGGAGAUAGAGCGUGUAGCUGCCGAGCGCCUCGGCGCCGACCUUCCCGUCGUCAAUCAGCCCGCCGGCCCACACGAGGCACCUCGUCAAGUUUCGCCGCGGCGACUUCCCGGCGUCGCUGCUGCCCAGGUUGGCGUACGCGUACGCCACGCACGAGCAGUUGCGGCCGCACUCCGCCGCGCACUCCUCCAGCGUGCCGCCCCGGUCCCCGCCGACCACCGCGAACCCGUCGGGUGACUUCAUCCCCGGCAACGCCAAGAAGCCGCCGUCGUUGCCGCACCCAAGCAGCGGUUCCUUCCGCCGGCACCCCUCCGAGAACUUCCCCUGGCCCCACUCCCCUGCGCUCGCCGGCUCGAAGCCUUCGAGGCACGCGCACGUCGGGGACGAUGGCGCCGCCGCCGUCUCGUCGCAGUACCCGUACGGGCCGCAGUGGCCGUAGCGGCUGCAUUCCGUGGACGGCCAGUGCGCGAGGACGGCCCACGAUGACGAGGCGGCGCUCCAGCUCUGGAGCUGGUAAGUGCCGGAGUGCGUCACCACGUACCUGGUGCGCCCGGCGCCGUCGGAGAGCGUGUAGGUGAGGUAGAUCUCGUCGUCUCCGUCGACGAUUGCCAGGUAGACGACGAUGGCCGCGGCGCUGCUGGCGUUGUCCUUGGCCGCGCCCGCCGGUGGCGGCUGGUACCGGCGCUCGCUCUUCACCAGGUACCCGUUCCACGGCGCGCUGCGGGCGACCGGGCGCGCGCCAUCCCAGAGGAACACCUGGAGGGACGUGGCCGGGUCGCCGCCGUAGGAGAAGCGCCCCGGCGAAGGGUCGCCGGGCGCGUUCCAGGACACCAGGCGGUCGCCGGCGCGCGUCCUGUACCUCAUCCGGAUCUUCAUGCCCGGCAGGAACGUGUCCGUCGGGUGGUCGAAGCUCUGCCACAGCGUGGUGCCGUUUGCCGAGCGGAGGACCAGGUUGCCGCUGUUCAGGAGCACCGCCGUCGCCGCCGGAGCUGCGGCCACGUCGGUCUCAGGCGUCGUCGUCCAAAGGACGCGGCCGCCGUCGGAGAGGACGAGGCUGGAGGUGUCGGUGAGGGAGAGCGUGGGCGCGGAGGAGGAGUUAGUAGUGUUUGUGGCCGGGGUUUCUCGGUUGGCGACCCACACCACGGUGAGCUCGGGGAUGCCGUUGUACCAUAUGCCGACGUACAGCCUUGCCGGAGUAGUGGAGUUGGAGGGGCUGAAGAAACCCAGGGCGAAGGCGCCGUCGUCGGAGACGAUGGUAGCGCCAGGGGAGAGCGGCUUGCCGGGGACGAGGCGGUCGUCGGCCGCACGCAACGGCAGGAAGAUCACAAGGAUCAGGAUAGUGAUGGAGCACGCGAGAGCCCACCGGUCCAUUGGUCGAUCGGACAGGCCCAAAAAACUUCUGUUGUACUGUACGUACGAGCAUGUGGAAAGGAAUGUAAUCCGCUAGUCGUACACAGUGACUCGUACUACUAUUUCGUUGUUGAUGCUGACAUGCUGUUGUUUACAAGCCUUGAUCGGACCCGUUCCAGCAUUCGAUCGCGUGGAUUACGAAAGCAGAUGGCUGAAAAAUGCAUAGUUCUUGAAUCCUGCGGUAGGAGCUCAGAGUGUUUUGGAUUUGACAUCUCAGCUGUCCACGUCGGAGCAGAGCGCGAUACGGCGAUAGUCAUCGUGCUCGUGUGAACCCAGCUGGUCAAACCGCGGCACGGUUGAAUCCAAACAAACUUUACCCUAUUUUUCUAGGGAAACAAACCUUUUAGCUUUGUAAUUGAGGCCCACGGGCCACGGGAAUUAAUGGCCCAGCGAGAGCUCUACCCAGUCACCCACCCACGUCCGGCCUAGUCGCGGGGUGCGGCCUCGCUGGUCGGUCGUCGCUUCGUGUAAUAUACUCCGAUUAGGCAAAUUAGGCAAAUCCGAACUGAUCUCCAAUAAGAAAGCCAAUCCGAACGCAUCACGUAAUUCCGGCAGCAGCUAUAUUUAGUGACUCCUGUAUGCAGCUCGAUCGAUGCCUUGGAUCUCUUGAUGCUCCCCAGACCGAUUGAAUCGCCUGCCUCGAUCGAAGAUACAACACUUGGUUAAGUUUGAUACUACUACCAAAUUAACGAAUUUGAUUUAGAUCGGAGAGAGAAGAUGGGAUCGUCGUCAAGAACAGGGAAUAACCGAGUGGAGGAUCGUCCGGAGGAGGAGGAGGACGAGUUGUUCGUGGCCCGUGUCGGCUUGUCCGUGACCUUUGUCGUCAUCUUCAUCCUCUUUCUUCUCGUCGACACGGGCGUGAUCAAUCCCGGCGCCCCCAAGUUUCUCAAGAUCUUCUAUGGGGUGACGGGGCUCAUCUGCCUGCUCGGUGCUGCCAUCCUCGUAGUCGACUGCCUGCGUGAACGGGAACACUGGCCGGCGCCCUUUCGCCGUACGCGCAUUGCCGGGCCCGCCGAUCUGCCGGCCUGCGACGCGUGUUAGUCUGCUAGCUAUAUUGCCUGCCCUUUUUUUCACCAAGAAGCUGGAGUACCUUUUUUUUUAGGUGUUCACCAAGUAGCUACCUUGCCUGCCUUGGUUCGGCUCAUCGAUCUUACCGUUAUAAUAGGGUUUUUUUUCGUGCUUUGCCACAGCCUUUAAAAUACACCGGUUACCAAAUAAUGUAAUGUUUGUGUGUUGCAACGGACAAACAAAUUUGAUCUAUGUACUUGUUUCCUGAUGUUUUUUAUUUUAUUUGAUCUAUGUACUUGUUUAUUGGUUAAGAUACAUGCGAAGUACGAUAUGAUGUACUCGUCUCAUAAUGAUCUAUGUAUUGUUUAUUCAUGAUUUUGAUUUUUUUUAUCUACGUACUUGUUUCUUGGUUAAGGUACAUAUGAUGUACGAUAUGAUGUACUCGUCUCAUAAGAGGUAUGGUACCAAAUUAUCACAGAUGUUCAUGCUAUGAUUUUUUUUAAUAGCUGUGAUGUACCAUACGAUGUACUCGUCUCCUAAGUGCAUAUACUCGAGGUACUCAAAAUCUGAUAAAAUACAUGCCAUGCACCAUAAUGUAUUUAUCCAUGUACCAUAAUGUACUUAUAAGGUAUAGUUCAUAUACUUACAAAAGGAAAAAAGUCCGAGUGCCUAACAAAAAAAAAAGAGAGAAGAGCAAAAGUUGUUAGGUUUUUUAAUUUAAAGCAAAAGACAUUAACCAAGAGGAAGAUGGAGAAGGCCAAACAUGUAGCCAGCACCGUGGGCGCAAAUGCCACCAGUGGCACCAUUUCUGAAGGGGCGCGUAGAGAUAAACAAAAACUUUUUCUACACGAACUCCCAAGAUCUAGCCGAGGUAGAAGGCCACGAGGAUUACCACUAGACGCGCAGUUGCGGAUUAUCGAUGCAGCGCCUUGAUGCAGUGCAGUCCCUCGAUCCGAUCCAGCCGAUCCAAUCCCGCGAUCGUCGAAGUGCUGAACGUACAGCACCUCUGCCGGUAUCCACACAUGCGAGGAGGAGCUCCGGCGGCGGACUGCUAGGUCCGGUGCGAUGGUUGGACUGAAUGGGGCUAGGGUUCUCAACGCAUGAGAGUGGCGAACCGUGCCCCUUAGGCAUCCCACGCCCCUGCUUAUAUACCGAGUGGAAGUGGGCUUCAGCACUUGUGGCCCAUCCACUCUGCGAGUCGAACUCGCAUUGUCAGUCCAUUUCCGGUUUGGGUCCAACCCGACCAAAUACUUGCUUCCGCUCUUAAGUGUGUGACCCCGCAGGCUCAUGGCGACUUGGACACGAUUGGAGUCCGACUCUCAAUCGAUCAACCUGUAGCGGCUCCUAGCAGAACGUGCCGACUCCCAAGUACCAUCGAGUCAUGACGACGUACCUUCCAAUGUGACAUACGUCUUAGUCCCUUUUGCCUCACGAUAUACCUUGUCGAACUAUAGGCGAUUAAUCGUCAUCCCUUUAAUAGUUCAACUCUCUUCUCGAUCUGUGAUAUGCGAUUCAUCCGACUAACUCUUAGUCGAUCGACCCAGUUAACAGUUAACCGAGUCGCGCAUGGCCAUGCUUCCCGAAUCAUAUCACUCGAGAGGGCCCAGAGAAUAUCUCUCCAGUCGGAGGGGCAAAAUCCCAUCUUGGUUAUCCACAUCACAUAGCUUGAUUCUCAGUCAACUCGAACUCUGCCUUUAUAACUGCCCUGUUACGGAACAACGUUUAACAGAACCUAAGUUGGUGAUCCACAACUCGGAUUGUGCGAUAACCUCAGGUCUAAGGAUUACAUUGAUUGAGACAUGCAAAUGACGACCUACUCGUUGCAUCUCAAUAUGGGUCAGUCCGACUCGCUAAACUCUUUAGCCGAGUCCGUGUAAGCUGGAAUGACAUCACCAUGCCCAUGACAAGUGGAACCGAGUCAUCAGCCAACUUUCACAUUAGUUUAGGUUAUGUGUUCAGCACAACCUAAAUGACUAAGGACAAUUUAGUAUGAACAACAUGAAUACAUAGUUCCACAAUCAAAUCACAUAUUCAAUGAUACAUAUCAGAUGUUCAAACAAGGACAACUUAAUAAUCUUUAUGAAUACAUUGGGAAUUACAUCAUACAUGAUUGCCUCUAGGGCAUAUUCCCAACAAUUUCCGCUUUACUUUGAUCGUCAGCGCUCUGGGCUGACGUCACGGCCUUGACGUGCGCGGUGUUUCAUGCACGUCGAUGCGUGUUAGGGUGGUCGCUGCACUGGUUCUUCGGAGGGUUCCAAAGUCCAUGAGUUGGCGUAUGGGAGGCGGUAACCAUCUUUCUGGUGGCUUCUCAUGGCGCCUAUAUAUGUAGAGCUGUUGUCGGCAUUGCUCUGGGCACUUGCGUAUUGCGCUAUGGGUUCUGAACUUCUGAUGGGUUGCUUGGCGCUGCAGAUGUGGAUCCGGCACGAUCGGCAGCAUUGGAGCGUCGGUGUCCUCCCUCUGCCCUAACCACGACGUCCUCCCUCUGCCCUAACCACGGCGCCCCCCCCCCCCUCUUCCCCAACCACGGUGUCCCCCGGUGGCCCCGUUGCUAGAGGUGAAGCUCCGCAGCUAAGGAGGUGCAGUCCGGCGACAUCCAGGCUGAGACUACAGGGAGGUGUGGGGCCAGUGAGGCCAGAACGAUCCACCGGCCGCCAUGUGCCUCCUCACGCCUUUUUUUUUUGAAAAAGAGGGACCCCCUCCUGUUUCCAUUAAAGAAACGAUAGUCUUCUACACAAAUAGACAAAAGUAAGAAAAAGAAGAAAAACAUUCAGCGCGAAGUUCAGAUCACCAGCAGGUCUAGAAAUGAUACUAGCAACAGCAGAGAAAGAGAAAACAUACUACAAUUCAUAGAGCUCCUAGUCAGUAGAUUCAGAUAAAUGUUCUUGCUGCAGCAAUAGUUCCUUCACUUCAUGUAACCUGAACUUCUCCUCCUCCACUACCUCCCUAGCGAAGGCAGAGACCAGACAAAGCAGAAAAGCAGAGACGGCGAAACUUCAGCCCGCCAUGAUGCGACGACAAAGAGGAUGCCAUCCUUUCGCUGUUUCAAAAAUUUCCUUGGCGACAACUUCAACCAGUCUUACCCCCCACCGCAGAAGAUUUCUGCUUGCUUCCUUUCUCUGCAGAACAGACCAAAGAUUGAGCCAAUAACAGAAUCUCUUAAUGAUACCAAAAGGAGAAUAUCUUAAUGAUAUUUGGUCAAAAAAAUAAUAUCUUAAUGAUACCAAAAGGAGAAGUCAAACCAGCAGAUCUACAACAGGCAUCAUUUCUAGUGUUCCAGAGUACCCACAGUAAUCCUGCAACCCCUACCAUAACCAAUUUCCUAACAUUGCCAGAAAAAGCCUGCAUCCAUCCAGUCCAAAUUUGAUCAACAGUAUCCGGCUAAGAAUUUAAAUUGAAAGAACAAUUUAGAAUAUUUCAUAAGAAUCAAGCUAAAGUACACUGGAGGAAAAGAUGAUCAAUUGAUUCAUCCAUCCCACAGAACUGACAUUUGGAAUCCCUUUUCCACCCUCUAUGCUGCAAAACAUCUUUAGUCAAAUCAAAUAUCUCAGCCUCCUCACGUCUGGCGCUGCUCAUUUUUUAGAUUCUGUUCCAUCUUGAUUGAUUCCUUAGUUCACAAAUCAAAGAUCUCAGCCUCUCUUGAUUGCAAUUGGUACGGCGACGGAGAUUUUUCCUCUUUUUUUAGAGCUCUUUUACGGUACCCCACAUUUAAUAUGAUCCAUCCAUUAGUCACGAUCUAAUGGCUAAUAUUGUCCGGUACUCCACUACAAGUUGUCUGGAGUACUACCUCAAGAAUAGACGGAGUACCACGAUAUGAGGGGCAAAAUCGUAAUCAUAAGAAGUUUUUUUUCUCUCGCGGAGUUAUUUUGAUAAUCCAACACUAAAUAUUGUGCCAAAACUCAGGCGUGAAUGUUUUGAUUUACGCCAUCUAAAAAAGUCAUGAACCGGAGAUGAACCCUAAUCCUGAGGAGGUGUGGCGCCAGGCUUUGAUCCAUCACCGGCCGGCGCAAGUAUGCAAGGGACGAGGACGCUCCCCCCGCCGGCGCAAGUAUGCUCGUCGAGCCGCCGCCUUCUCCGUUUCUGAAGACACGAGCAUCGCCGUCAGGGCGCGGACCAGAGCUAGGUUUGGUCAAAAGGUAAACUGGGCCAAACAGUAGAGAUCAGGACGGCGGCGGAGAGCGGGAGACACGACAGAGUGCGGCCUGCACACAGUGCCGAAGGCCAAGGGUCAGCACUGACGCUUGCUCCCACGGCCAACGGCUUGGGCACGCAGGAGACUUGACGAUCCACGAGACCUUGGGCUUGGUUGAUUGAAAGGAGUACGUGAAAGUCCAAGAUGACCUGCGGGUUGCGGAAAUGCCCAGACUGCCCUUGCAGAUGAACGGACAGAUUUGUAUGGUACUCCAUCUUGUGUUUUGGGAGUACCAAUACUGUAAAAACUCUUUUUUUUUAAUUCUUUUCUUACUGCCCUAAACCCAUGGCAAUGUUUCUACUUUCCAGUGUCUUAGUUUGUUGUGGCAGGUAAUACAAUCGUUCCACGUAUAGGCUCCUCAGUUAGCGGCUUAAGCCUCGGUAGACUCCGGCCGCCACAUGCCUACGCUGACGGCUGCAGCUUCUUGCGUUUUGGCGAUGCUAUAAUCCCUUCUGGUGCGGUAAACUCUUUUCUAGCGGUGCCGGUUUCUACCGGCGUGGGAUGGACCAAUCGUUCACUGCCAGCAUGCACCACGUAUCCGGACGCUAUGUAUAUCCUUCAGUAUUCAUUUGUUCCCUCAUUUAUUCAACGUGGUAAUCUCAGUCUGGGUCCCACCAUGUGCUAAAAGAAAAGGGAGCACCAAAGAAGAGCGACGCGGGGCUCUGGACCUCUGUUCGAGGCGUGACGAGCGGGGCCCAAGCAAGGUGCGGGGCCAGGCGGGCAGCGAGCCAGCGACGGGCGCUGGCGCUAGUGUGUGUGAGCAAAUUUGAGGAGGUCUGUACAAAUUUGAUGAAACUUUUCUAAUCCUGUACUAACACAUUUUGAGGUUUGUACAAAUUAUGUAAGGGUUCAAACCAACUCAGAUUUUGAUGAAACUUUGGGGGUUGGCUUAAGAUGGGAACAUCCACCUUCAGUAAACGUUUCAAAAAUUUUGUAGCAAAUUUGAAACUCUGAGAUUUAAAUAUGGUUUAAGUUAAAAGGGCUAGUAAACUAAUUUUGAUUGACGCGAAAUUUUGCAUGUGCUCAUCUUGCAUAUAUGUGAGUUUGUACAAAAAGUUACAUGUCAAAAAGACGAAGUAGAAAAGUGGGUUAUUUCACAUAGGUUUGAAAAGGGGUUUAGUCCGCGCGAGUUCUAAAUUGAUGCAACAAUAAUUAAUACAUGAGAUGAUUACAUGAUGCAUGCUUAAUCUUAAAAUGAUCCUAUAUUAAUCAUCACACUGUAGUUCUCCACCAGCUCGGUCACCUACCGAUGGCGCGCAUGCCGCGCUAGCCACGCACCGCCUUGUGUUGCCCAACAUACCAUUUGUAUAUCAAUUUUUGGGUCAUUACACUAUAGUUCUCAAAUUUGUCGAAAUAUACCAUUUGUAUAUCAUAUACCACAUACCAAUGAAAUAUAUCAUUCAAAUACCACAUACCAAAUAAAUAUACCAUGUACCAAUAAAAUAUACUAGUGAGAUACCGUUGCAAUAUCAUAUACCAUACGAAUGUAGUGUACCAUUUGUAUAUCAUAUAACACCGUAAUAUCAUAUACCACAUUACCAAUGAAAUAUACCAUUCAUAUACCACAAAGCAGAGAAAUAUACUAUUCAUACACCAUGUACCAAUAAAAUAUACCAAUGAGAUACCGUUGUAAUAUCAUAUACCAUACGAAUGUAGCAUACCAUUUGUAUAUCAUAUAACACCGUAAUAUCAAAUACCACAUACCAAUGAAAUAUACCAUUCAUAUACCACAUAACAAAUAAAUAUACCAUUCAUAUACCAUGUAAAAAUAAGAUAUACCAGUGAGAUACCGUUGUAAUAUCAUAUACCAUACGAAUGUAGUAUAUCAUUUGUAUAUCAUAUAACACCGUAAUAUCAUAUACCACAUGCUAAUGAAAUAUACCAUUCAUAUACCAUAUAACAAAUAAAUAUACCAUUCAUAUACCAAGUACCAAUGAAAUAUACUAGCGAGAUACCACCUAAUUUCAUAUACCACAUACCAAUAAAAAUAAUAAUAAUCUAAAAUAUUGCAUCAUGUCAUCAUUACUUAUAUUGGUUGUGCAUCGAUUUAAAACUUUGCGGUCAUCAUUCUUAAACACCUUUUCAAACCUUUGUGAAAUAAAACAUCUUCAACCUUGUCCCGUCGACCUAAAACUUUUUGUACAAGCUCACAUAAAUAUAGUUCGAGCCUCUACAAAAUUUCAAGUUAAGCGGAAUUACUUUAAUACCCUUUUUGAAUUAAACGAUUUUCGAAGUCACAUAAAUCCCUGAAUUUCAAACUUGCUCCAAAAUAAUUGAGAAUUUUACUGGAGGUGGAUAACACCAUCCUAAACCAACCCUCAAAAUUUCAUUGGAUUCGGACUUCAUUUGAACUUUCAAAUUAUUUGCAGAAACCACCAAACGUCUAAGUUCAAAGUUGGAAACGAAAUCAAUCAGGUGACCCCACAUGUCAUACUCUCACGUGUAACUUAUUCUCUUUCUCAGUUCUCUUCUUCUCUUCACAGCACGGUAGAAGAUAUCCAGUGCUCCCACCCCUUAGGAUGCGAGCGUGCUCAGUUUUCGAAUUUUUUGAUAUAAAUUGAGUAGCUUUGUAAGAUAUGUGUCUAUCAUGUCACAAAGUUUCAAAUCCAAAUUCAUCAUAUGCAUAGAAAAACAAAAAGGACAAAUCCAGAUGCGAGUAGGUCGCAAAAAGAUAAAAACACAAAAAGACAAAAUUUCUAACACUAUUCAUGUUUGCAUUUGUCUUUUUUUUUUCUCUCUGUGUAUAAUGAAUUUGGAGUUGAAACUUUGUGACAUGGUAGACACAUAUCAUAUGAACCCAUUCAAUUUAUUUUGAAAAUUUUGAAAACUUUUUAGAGGUGCUGCCGUGCAUUGGGAGCACGGUAACACCCUAAGGGGUGGGAGCACUGGAUAUCUUCUUCACAGCACGGCACGCACAGGAACUCAAACCGCAUCGCCACUUCCUGACAUCGCUCGCCAUAGCCCUGCACUGUGUGCCAAGGCCUGCCCAUCUACUCGCAUCACGCACUCUAGCGGACGUGUCAGCCGCGGAUCCCGCCGGAUCUAGAGAACAACGCGGCGGCGGCGCACUCCAGCUGCUCGUGAUCUUGGGAAGAACGGCACAACGGCGCACUCCGGGAAAGAAAUUGGGGCAGCCAUGGAUCCGAGGAAGAAUUGCGUGGCAGCUCGGUCCAGUGGCUCGCGACCAUUGGGAAGAACGGCACGACAGCGCACUGCGGGAAAGAAAUUGGGGCGGAAAUGGAUCCGGGGAAGAACAGCAUGUCGGCGCGUCGAUGAAGCUCCCUGCGGCAGUGGCACAGGUGGCGACGAUGCUAGACACCUCCGGCGAUAGGAGGGAGGGAACAACGCGAUGGCAGAGGGAGACUGGGAGAGAGAUGACAGUACGAUGGAAACCAGCCAAAAUAUCUGCUCCGUGAAGGACAGUGACAAACUCAAGUGGGCUGGGUAGCAACAAGUACAAUACAUCUUGCGACCGAACCGAUGUAUAAAUUUCCAUAAUUGAAAUACCGACUCGGGCGUGCGUUGAUCUCAUAGCGCGAAUGGACGGUUCGUAGGAUACCGGCACCGCUACAAUCGCCGCUUUGCUUCUGGUGCAGCUAUUUAUGUUUAUGAUUCAACUUGUAUUCUAUCAACUAUGCCUUCUCGCGAGUUUGGCCAUGCAAUGACAAUGUUGUUAUUAUAUACUGUCUUGGUGAUUUAUCCUAUUUGCCUUUUUCUCCAGAUAGAUUCGCAGAUUAUUGAGAAUGCGACAAAGUUAUAAAAAAAUGGCUGAAGUUGGAAUCUCAGUUGAAGAGCAUGAAGGACAACUCCAAGAUUUUCCAUCAUCCAUCCCAUUUUUGCCUCCCCUGGCUAGUAUUAAGCAAGGACGUUACUUGGUAAUACUUUGCAUGCAACGGUAUGGUGUGUCGAAUUUGAAACUCAUAAGCAGUUGGUUACUAUAUUUCUAGUUUUCUAUAAAAGAAUGCAGCUAAUCUGAAGGUCUACUAUGCUACUCUUCUCAUUGCUGCGUAAUGGUCUUGUGGAUUUCUUGCACCAAUUAUCCUUUUUUUAAAAGGUCCAGCAAACGUUGGCUUUCCAAUGCAUUAGCAGGCAGAGAUAAUUACAGGGUUUGCCCUAGGCCAAAGAGAAAAAAGGAGCGGAAACAAAAGAAAGAAACGAAGGUGGCCAGGGGAGACUGAGGAGGAUUUCAGGGGGGUUCCAGAGAAGUUUCCUGAGAGCCUUUGCGCCGACGAAAGCCCGGUCUUGCGCUUGAAAGUAGCGAUCUGACACAUGCCGGUGGCCUUGUCAUGGAAAACUCUUGAAUUGCGCUCGCGCCAAAUCGAGUGGCACACCAGGAUGAACAAGGACCCAAGCCCUUUGCUUAGGUUUGCACUGUAUGAUUUCAUGAGGCGGUCGUGGAAGUCCUGGAUCGACGUGGCCCCAUGGAUGGCCGUAGCAAGGGCACGACAGUUAGGCCAGAGUGCAAUCUCGCACCAGAGCAUGCUGGAGAACGAGCACUCGACGAAGAGGGGGAAGGGCGUCUCCAGGUUCCGACGACGGAGAGGACAGAAGUAGCAGUUGGGCCAGCCGCGCCGUUGCAGACGAUCCGCACACAAAAGACGGUUCUGAAACAGAAGCCAAGCGAAACAUUUGUGCUUCGGCGGCGCCCAGACGUGCUAGACGGUCUAGGGAAGCGAUGAGAGCGUGACGCCGAUAAAGUGGAGCUUGUAGGCGGAGCUAGAAGAGUAAGAGCCGUCUGCGGUCAGGGUCCAACGAAUGGCAUCCGGAGUCUCAGGCUGGAGGGAGAUCGCGUGCAGAUCACGCCAGGCAGAGAUGAACUCGUGGAGGGCGUCGGUAGGCAGGUCGCGACGCAAGUCGCGGACCCAACGAUGAUCGGUGACAGCUUGGACGAUCGAGAGAUUCUUGCAUCGGGAGAGGGCAUGCAGUUGCGGGAAAGCCAGCUGGAGCGGCCGUCCACCAAACCAGGUGGAAUACCAGAAACUGGCGGUAGAGCCGUUGCCGAUGGUGACACGGGUAGCAUCUGCGAAAGGUCGCGGUCAACCUCGUCGCAGGGAGUAGGCGUGCCGACCCAAGGCCGAUCCGACGCUCGCCACUCGAGCCAGAGCUAUAGUAGACGAAUGGCCCUACCAAAAGCAUCCAAAUUCAUGACUCCCAUCCCGCCGUGCGCAAGAGGAGAGCAAACCCUAGACCAACUAACCUUGCACUUGCCCCAAGCGAGCUCAUUAUCAUCAACACCCCAAAGGAAACGUCGGCGGAUCUUAUUGAGGGUGCUAAUGAAAUUUCGGGGAAGCUUGAGCGCGUUCAUGGCAAACACCGGGAGGGCGCUAAGCACAGAGUUGGUGAGAGCAUACGGCACCCACUGGUGCUAAUCCAUCUUCCCCGCCAACAAGCCAGGCGAGCACGGGCAUGAUCCAGGAUGUGUUGAAGGUGAGCGCUCUUGAUCCGUUUGAGGGACAUGGGGAGGCCUAGGUAGCGAAUGGGGAAAUCGACAUGUAUCCCAUGGAAAUGCAGAAGGACAUCGUCGAGGUUGGUAUCGUCGCAUCGGAUUGCGGCCACCUCACACUUGCCAGGAUUAAUGCGCAGGCCCGUGGCGAGACCGAAUUCAUGCAGCAGAUGGAGAACGAAGAGCACGUCGGUGCGCACAGGGUUAAGGAAGAUGAUGGCGUCAUCUGCGUAGAGGCCGCCGCGCGGAGCUGCUUCUUCAGGGGUAGCGGGGAGAGACCGCUGAGCUCUGUGCCGCGUUGAAAGAGGCGCUACAGCGGGUCGAUGGCGAGGAUGAAGAGAAGCAGAGAGAGCUGGUCUCCCGGGCGCAGGCCGCGACGGUGAGGGAUCGAGGCGCCGAUGGUGCCAUUGAGAAGCACCGAGGAUGAGGCGGUGGAGAGGAGGAGCGCAAUCCAGUCACGCCAUCGAGCCGGGAAGCCGAGUCGUUGGAGGAGUUCUAGAAGAUAUUCCCAAGACACGGAGUCGAAAGGUUUGGCGAAAUCGAGCUUCAUAAGCAGGGCUGGCUUUUUCCCGCGGUGGAGAGUGCACGCCGCGUUUCGAACGAAAAGGAAGUUGUCGUGGAUGCAGUGGGUCGUGAGGAAGGCGCUCUAAGAGGGAGAGAUGAGCCCCUCCAUGAAGGGGGACAGGCAGUAGGCGGGUACUUUGGAGAAGAGCUUGGCGAACGAGUGAAUAAGGCUAAUAUGGCGCAGGUCGUGGACACUGUUAAUUUGGGCUAUCUUGGGCAGCGAGAAAAUGAAGGCUGAGCUGAGAGUAGAGAAAUUUCCACUAGCGAGACAAUGGAGGUGGUUGAAAGCAGCAAGGAGGUUGAGCUUGAUAAUCUGCCAACAGGAGCGGUAGAACACGCGUUGUGAAGCCGUCUAGCCCGGGCGCGUUUCAGCAGGCGAGUCCCGGAUGGCGACCCAAAUCUCGUCCAUCGAGAAAGGGAGGUCGAUGCCGACCGGGGGAAGGGUCGGCAGGUUGAGCUCGGACCACGCAAAAGAAUGGGAGCGCGGGGAAGUCGAACCAAGAACGGCAGUGAAAUGCUGGAGCAGGGCCUGAGCUUUGUCGUCAUGCGCCACGUGCACACCGGAAUCGUUGGCAAUCUGGUGAAGGAAAUUUCUUCGGUGCCUAAAGUUUACCUUGAUGUGGAAGAAUCUGGAGUUGGCGUCGCUUUCUUUGAGCCAGACCCGGCGACGGCGGGAGCGCUCGAUCGCGGCGAGCCCAGGGAUCCUAGCUUUGAGGGCGCGGCGGAGGUGAAAUUCUAGGGCCGAGAGGAUGCAGCCUUCCUGAGCGACGUCGAGCCAUAGCACGAGUUCCAGAGCAAGGUGAAGCUGGAAGCGGGAAUCACUAAAGAUUCCUUUGCUCCUUUGACGUGAAUACGACGAAGAGGAUUGGCGGAGUCCACCUCCUGGCUCCAGGCCUCAAUCGUAGCAUCGAAGAAGCCCGGGUGAUGCGGCCAAAAAUUCUCGAAACGAAAGCGUGCUUUCCUCGGCAGCAAGCUGAAGCCGGCAAGAAGAAGAGGACAGUGAUCCGAGCGCGAGAUGGAAAGGGCGUGAACGGCAUAGGAGGAGAAGAGCGCGUCCCAAGCGGAGUUACAGAAGAAUCGAUCAAGCUUGACGAGGGUGGGGUGCUGCUGCUCGUUAGUCCAGGAGAAGUUUCGGUUGACGCAUCUCAAUUCGAAAAGCUCAGCCUGAUCAAUGUCCGCGCGGAAUUAGCCCAUGAGGCGACGACUAAGGUUGAGGUUGCUCUUGUCUCUUGCUUCGUAGAUUAGGUUGAAAUCGGCGAAAAUCAACCAGCAGGGUUCCCCAGGGCGCGGAGAGAUGACGGCCAUCUCUUGGAGGAAGGCGGGCUUGCGGGCAUCUUCGGCUGGACCGUAGACGGUGGAUAGAAGAAACGCUAGGCCGGAAACAUUGAUGGUGACGACGACCGUAAUGGAGAAAGAGAGGAUCUGGGGGUUGGAGAUGGCGACCACGUCGGGGUUCCAAAAAAGGGCCACGCCGCCCCACGUGCCGUCGGCGGGCAGGCACACGAAGGGCUGGCGGGAGGGGCCUGCAAUCUCACAGGCUAGGGAAGCGUCGAUCGCGGACAACUUUGUUUCCUGAAUGCAAGGGAUGCCGGCUUUGGCGUUGGAGGCCAACUCACAGACGGCCGCGCGGCGAGCCGCGUUAUUGAGGCCGCGGACGUUCCAGCAAACAAUCGGACAGAUGGCGUCAAUUUGGGGCGGAGCAUUGACGAAACGCGACAGAAACUAAUACUAGCACGAGUACACCCGAAUAUUACUUGUAGGUCCCUCGGGAUCCUUGGGGGACUCAAUCCCUUGCGUUGUUUUUGCCAUCGGUCUGCCCCGGUGGAUUUGUACCUUUAGUAUUCUAUCCUGGCCUCUAUGUAUGCAACCCGUAUUUCUGUCGCAACGGUCAUCUGAUCCAUCACAUUUAUGCAAAACAACUUUUUUGGUCCAGCUAACUCACGCUGCCACCGAUUUUGGCCCAGCUUCACAGGUAAACCAGAGGUCAAAUUUUGAAGCAUUAUGCAUAAUCUCCAUUCAAUUUUUUGGCACACAUGCAUCAAUUUUAAGCCGAACCAGUUCAUCAACAAAAUAUUAAUUAAACAUAAUUAGGAACUUGAAUCUGAACCAAUUUUGGAUAGAACUUGGAUCUGCGCCAAAUUUUUGUCAAUCAACAAAUUCAACAACAAUCCCCAAAAAUAAAUGUGAACAACAGAAGCAAACUGCAAAAGCUAAACUCAAACAAAAUCAAGAAAAUUUGCCGCAUGGCCACAGACAGUUAGGAGUUAAACUCAUAGAAAUCGCAUCAACAAAUCUUCCCGCAUGCCCACGGAAAAAAACCGAAACCAAAAAAAGUCUUGCAACAAUCUUGAAGCAGCAAAUCUUCAUCAGGGAAUCACGCAUGUGUGAAAACUUGCACAAAUAAACGCAGGGAAGAAAUCUUGCACAAAAAAAGAUCUUGCACCAUGGCCACGCAUGUGUGAAAACGCAGGGACCUAGCCGAGAACUCCGUGUCCAUGGCCACGAAGGGGCCGUCCGAACCUGGUCAGUUCACCGCCGGGAGCCGCUGGCGAGGGAGGAUGAGCAGGGGGAGAGGAUAGUAAAGGGGAUUUUUUGGGGAAGGUGGGGCCCAGUAUUUCGGAAUGGUCCAGCUUGCCAUCAUAAAUGGCCCAGGUCUCAUCGCAAAUGGCCCAGGUACACAUAGGAAAUGGCCCAGUAUUUACACUAUUCAGUACCGCAUCCUGGACCAAAUUUCAGAUCAUGAUGGGCCAAACGGGUGGACUGGAUAGAGUCCACCAAGGGUCCUGAGACCUGAAAAUUCAUUCAAAACAUACAUGGGGUGGAGACGAUCGACAGCCAAUAGCCCCAAACAGAUCGUUCUCCAAUAGCAAGCCGUCGAACCCUAACAUAACUACCAAAGGACCGGCAUGGGGCCGGCCGCCACCUAAACAACUAAGAUAGCAUAACAUGGGGAAACUACAAAUUAGUUCGCCGGCGAGGCGACGCUGGUGGCGGAGGCCUGAGCUGCGGCACGGUGGAGAGCGUUGCGGUCGAUCCUGGUAAGAACGGCGAGGCCGUCCACAUCAACUUCAGAGAGAGGCUCCUUGAAUCGCUGGAUCAGCGCAGCAGCGGCAGUGUCGGGGCGCUGGCGGACAGUGGAGGAGGGCUUCCCCGCCUGACGAGCGCUGCGGCGCGGGGUGAUCGCGGGCAGCUCCUUGGGCGGCCGCGGAAGCGGCGGCGGCGAGGCUCCGAGCACGCAGGAGGGAGGCACGGCGAACAGGGAGCGGAUGACCUCAUCAGUAGUCGUGUGGUCGUCGGGCGCGGGGGAGUCUGGGACGAGCAUGUCAAUGACGUCGGUGGUGGUGGCGGCGCGCCCAUCACCGACCGGCGAAGGGAGCCUGAGGGCCCAGACCGUGAUUCCCCGGCACCGCCGCCACGUCGGAGCUCGCCGGGAAAGAGAGUGGCGAGGCCACCACCUUGGCGCAGUACGAGUCGAACUUCGAGACCAUCGGGUCCGCGCCGCGCAGAGGCCCUCGAACUGCUCGGACGCCAUCAGGGAUCCUCGCUGGAGACGGACGAGGCGCUGGUCGGUGAAGCGGGGGCAGCCUCGGGCGCCGGCGGCGAGGGCGGUGACACAACCACUGCAGGCGUCGGCGCAGCCACCGCGGGAGGAGAAACCACGAACAGGCGCUGGGUAGGGGGGCCAUGAGCUAGGAGGGGCGGCGGAGGCGGCAGGAAUUCCAGAGGCUCAACCAAUAUACUACUGCCCCCUGUUUUCUUUUCCUCCCGUCUUAUUCACGAUUUCUCCUUCUCCGUCUUACAACCGACGCCACCAUGCCCGCAUGUCGAUCUCGACGGCGUCAUGAGCUGCCUACACAGAAAAAAAAUAGUUUGUGAUUUGUUGACCCGUAGCAACGCGCGGACACACCUGCUAGUAUAUGAUAAAAGUUGUACCCAUCUAAUUAAUCUCGUUCCUCUCUAUACGUACUCUCUCUUCCCUCUCAGGUCCAGCAUGCAUGUGGAAUUGAGAACGGUGCCUCUGACUCUGGAGACUGGAGAACGUCCUCAAGACUCCAACAAGUUUUGAUUUUGAUUUUGAUUUAGUAAAAGAAUAAAAAAUAUAUGAAUUGAAUUAGUUAUGAGUUUUUCAAGUUUCAACAAUCUUUGGGGUCGUCAAUAGCUGGUUCGAUUGAGUGGCCAGUGCAUUCCGCGCCUGUCUCUUCUCUGCAGGUUUGAUUGAGUAGCCAGUGCAUUCCGCAUUUCCGCGCUAGUUGCCAUGCAAACAUCUUCACUUUAGGAGGACAAUGGCACUUCCAGAGUAACGCCCAGUCAGGUCUCUCACACGAGGCACCAUCCCCCUGCUCAAUCAUCAUAAGGGGACGGAGUGAGCACCUACAACUGGAAAAGUACCGUAUGCUGAAAUUAAUUAGAAUAAAACUACUUCCUCCGUCCAAAAUAUUCCAAAACAAGUGACCGUGGAUUUUAUAUAAAAAUCUAUAUAUUCAAAUCAAAAUUACUUAUUUUGGGAGGGAGGGAGUACAUGAUUCCAAGGUAGCAUGGGUUGAUGUUGAUCUAAAAAAAAAAUCCUAGGGUGGUUGUCAGAUUCUAGUGUACAUUGUUCAAAAAUCUUGUCUGGUUUUUGCUUUCGUAUGAUUCAGUACUACUUCCGUACUAUGCAAAUACGGAUUAUAAAUCAUGAUGAUUGAACAUAACUAAUUUAGAGUCAUAGAUUUUACUAAAAAAACUUAGAACAAAGCUAACACGAUGAGUUAAAAGACUCGAGCUAAUGCAAAAACUGUUAUAAGCUCCCGUAUGAUUCAGUACUACUUCCGUACUAUGCAAAUACGGAUUAUAAAUCAUGAUGAUUGAACAUAACUAAUUUAGAGUCAUAGAUUUUACUAAAAAAACUUAGAACAAAGCUAACACGAUGAGUUAAAAGACUCGAGCUAAUGCAAAAACUGUUAUAAGCUCCCGGCGAGGAUCGAACUCACGACCUUUCGCUUACGAAGCGAACGCAAUACCACUAUGCUACGGAAGCUAUCAGUAAUAUGUUUUAAAGAAAAUUAAUUUGUAUUUUAUUUGUCAAGACCUUUUUCCCGUUCCCGUUCUUGCACUUGCAGCCAAAGGAUCAGCGGUUGCGGCAUGACAAGAUUUUUUUUAAUUGUAUUUUUAAUUGCUAACCACAUUUGCCAUGUGGUUAGUGGCAUGACAAGAUAGUUGUGAGUUUGACUAUAUAGGAGUAUAUCGCUCUGACGAUGCGUCACGCCGGUGACACGCAGUAGUAGCAGUCUAGCAGAGCACCCGACUGAAACGUGCCCGACAGUAGAGCACCGGCCGACCAAAUCCAGAUGAGUUUUCAUGCAGUUAUUAAAAAGGUACCACAUGGGGCACAUGGCAGCUUCCAGAUCCAACAAAGUCCAAAAUCAGUUAAACAAAAGGCAAGCAUACACAUACACAGAUUAGAACUUGGCGAGCACAUCGCAGAUUCUCCCGAUAGCUGCAGCCAGAAUGAGUAUAGGGAGAAAGGGAACGGACAUGUUUCCAACUCUCCAUCUUGCUGAAACCUCGGGUACUUCGGAGUCUUUUCAGAAGAAUACAAGAUACAGCUGUGCAUCGCAGGUAAACGAAUUACAGGUUCUAAAAGGAUUAACAGAAGAACUGUAAUAGUCUACUCUAUGUUUGCCAAAUAGUAAAAAAGGACCGGAAUGCUGUAGCCUGCUGACAUCGGCAGCUAUUGAAGACAGACAAAGGAUAAUAACUGAUAAAUGGAAUGUUUUGUACAACAGAAUUUCAGACUAGUCUCGCUAGAAACAAAUCAGAAACUUCCCCGACAGAAUGCCAGGGCAAAUCCACAAGCGCAAUCAAAAGAACAGAUACGGGCGCGGGGUAAACACAAACAAGCAAAUCUUUUGAGUAAUUACUAUUUUUGCUUCAGAAAUGAACAGUUUAACACCAUCUAUUGAGAUCUGAGACUUCAAACAAACAGCCACGGGUACUUUUGUAGGUACAGACAUAACAGAGUGAAAUAACAAUGGAUGACCAAGCGCCCAACCCUAUAAACUUGACUAGAACUUCCCCACUCCGAUCCAGGAAGGCGACAGUGACAUGAGCCAGACUAAAGCUACGAUUCAUUGUCCAUCCUAACAGCAACCUGAAAGAAAGGGAGGGACUAUGCUAAACUAAAGGCAACCAUCCAUCAGAGACACUAGCCAGGAACAGCAACAGCAAAGCUCCAGAGGUUUCCAUCCAGUACUGUGGCAGCUUGGUGAAAUCCGAUCCGCAUCACUCGUCAGCCUGCAUACAGGAUGUUUCAGACAUUCUCGUCAGUGAGGUGAGGUUGACUGAAAUUGUCGGAAAGGGAUUAUGGGGUGGGUGUCUCUAUCUCACCUCGCUCCCGUCAGCCUCGUCGUUAACCUCGGACUUGGACUUGUCCGAGUCACCAGACGCUUCCUGGCCUCCUGCCUGCAAGGGUAAAAGCACAAACCGCACAUAUGAGAACAAUGUGAUCAUCUCGAUUCUGACGACGGUGUUCGAUGAGGAGCUGAGAGCGCGCAUCGGUACCUGAGGGUUGUUGUAGGCGACCAUCUUCUUGUUGUACUCAGCCUUGAGCUUCUCGGCCUUGGCAACAAAAGGAGCUUUCUCCUGCGUUACAAACGAGAUAUGUUAGUCGGGCGAAGCUAGCACAAGGCAAUGGAAACACUGAACUGAACAGCUGUGAAAAGACGAGCAAAAGGGAAACGAAUUGUGCGGAACGGUAUCGAAAAUUUGAACGGGCGAACAAGAUGUUGCAAGUACUAAAAGUUUAUCACCAAUUAGAAUCGAAAAGGAGAUGGGUAAAUUUUAAACGAAAUGACACAUUUUAACAAAUUCACCAUAAAUUUGAACCACACGACCAGAACUACACAUCCAGUGGAUCCCCAAUUUGAACCUAACCCUCCUGGAACAAGUAAACCCGAGAUAUGAACGACAAAAAACGUAAACUGAACAAAAUUACAAAAUUACAAGUGACAUCAAAUCAGCAGACAAUGGAAUCAGAUCGAAAUCGCAUGACAUCAAAUGAGAAAACAAUGAAACCAGACCGAAAGAGCCAGCGGACCCUGCAGUUUGAGGAAACAACUUACAGCAUCGGACAGGGACUUCCACUCCGCACCACCGGCUUUACCAACCUGCGUCCCACCAAAACCAGCCGGUAUCAGAACGUAGAAUUUAAAUCGUCACAACGGUUCGAACGAGGGGAUGAACUCAGGCGGAGAAAACGAUCCUUACCACGGAGACUUGCUUGACGUCAGGGUGCUUCUCCUUGUAGUCCUUCCUGAACCCCUCCCUGCGGAAACGAAUGCAUAGCAAAAAUGUCGAUCAGAACGCGACACCACAGAGUGACAAACAACACGAAAACCAGAACGGAUCUGAGCUUACAUGAAGACGAAGAACGCGCUCGGGGGCCUCUUUGGCUGGUUCGGGUCCUUCUCGGCCUUUGUCUUCCUCACCGAGAGCCUAUGCCACCAACAAGUGCAAGACACCAAGAGCAAAUCGAAUCAAAACCGACGCGAAAUAGAGGCGAAACACUCGAACAGAACCACGGAAAUCGAACAGGUAGAGGGGAGAUCUGAUCAAUCAGACACUAACCUGGAGUCGCCGCCGCUGGACCUCACCCUCGCCUUCAUCUCGCAGCCUGCAACACCAAACCAACCCAGAUCUAAACCAUCAGAAACAGCACAACCGAAAUCACAACAGCAUGAAAUCGGAUGUUCUAAGAAACAGAUAUAGAUUGAUCUCGAACUCACGGUACCUUCGGAUCGGAGCGCGUUAGUGCUAGGUUGGGGAGAUGGGUGCUGCGUGCUUUCGACUACGAUGCGAUUUGGAGGGCUGGAGGACAGGAGGAGGGAGGCGAUUGGGGGCGGGCUUUAAAGGCGGGUGAGAGGCGGGAGUUUGCGCGGGGUUCCCCGAAAAAUUUCGCCACGUCAACGAUCCGCGCGCUCUUCUCUCAUUGGCCGUGCGGGCGAACUGCAGUCGGCUAGAGCUUCCGCUACACUGUUUGCGCUUACCCGCGGGGCUCCUGUCCAGCUGUCAGUCUUAUGGCCCACCUGUCAUUGGAGUUUGUAGGUUCUUUACGGAGUAUUUACGGUGUGUUUUCUCUGCCUGUGCUUCUCGGAUGGGGGGCAGUCUGGGCAGUUUCGAAGAGUUUACGGACGUGGUAGAAGUUUCCUGGCGCACGACUCAUUGAACCCGCAUUUAUUUAUUUCUCGACAGAACAAGGCCGUAUCUUUUGGUAUUCCUCGAUCGAGUGAUCGAGUCGGAUAUUGUACUAGGGAGUAUAUCGGAGUUAUUUUUAGAGGCUUACUCAUCCCGUUACUUAAAGAACGGCAUAUUAGUUUUCAUUAAGACAAGUCUUUGAACACAAAUUAUUAUGUUAAAGUGUUGUUUAUAUGACAUGAAGUACUUUCGAUAACGAAUUUAGCGAUACUAAUUUCAUGUCAUAUAAACCACACCUUGCCAUAGUAAUUUGUGAUCAAAUCCUUGUCUUAAUGAAAGCUAAUAUGCCAAUUUUUAAGGAACGGAGUGAGUACAAUGAAAAUACUCGUCACGUUGUCCGUAAAAUGUCCCAUGUAUCCUGCACAAACAUUGUUUUUGAUCUAUUUUACUCGUGCGAGAACAUAUGCUAUAUGAUCGACUCUCGUUCUUCUGCAAGGUGGUGUUUAGUACUACCUCCGUUCCAUAAUAUGAGACACGCAUGCAUCGCUAAAUUCUCAAUUUGAUUAAUUAAAUAUGUAUGUUUUUAACAAAAAUUACAUCAUUAGACUCGUUAUCGAAAAAAUUUCUAAUAAUAUAAUUUUUUAGUUUUUUAAUUAAUAUUUAGUUAGCUAAAUUGACGAUGUAGGAAAAUGCGAGCGUGCCUCCUUCCGUCCCAAAUUGACUGACGUAUUUUUAUACAAAUCCACGUCAGUUAAUUCGGGACGGAGUGAGUACAUUAGAAUGCCGGAACUUAGAGGAUGCUCUACGAUGCCAUUAAUUGUCUCUAUUUAAACACUGACGUAUAAAGUAAGUAGUAUCUUAUACUGUAAGUUAGUGUUUGGUGCAGAGCAAAUAGUCCAUACAUUUUCCUAAGGAAGUAUUGUAUUCUCUUUUGAGGAAUCAAAUAGAUUCAUGUAUUAUAGGAACUAAACAUGAGAAUGCAUGAUGCUCAAAUGUGGAACUAUUUUAUUACAUUUCACCAUUUUUUUAGCAGCCAAAAAGUACUACCUAAACAUCAAACGUGGUGCACCCGAUACAAACGAUAACAGUCUUGGUCCCUAUGAUGUGUUGUUGUGAUCUCUCGACCAUGACUUGGAUAUAGGUCUAUCGUGACAGUCCUCGUUGGCCUACAUUUCCUACUCCGUCAUCGAUGAUGCAUGUUUGUAUCGGGUGGAUUACACACAAUAUUAGAUUUCCCUUUAAGCAAUUCAUUACAAGCAAUUCUAGAAACUCAAGUCUUCAUGUGGUUGAUUCAUAAGAGAAGUUCUGACAAGCCACAAAUAAAUAUGUGGAAAUUUAUGAUUUUCGGUUGAAAACUCACCAAUAUAGCGAGAACCUUCCAUUUUUCUGGUUCAAGGCAUCAUAAACAUGGUGGCUGAGAUACUAUCAAAAAGGUCGAAACGUACUUGCUUUUCUAUUUCCAUACACAAGCUCUUCUUUCACGGUUAAGGCUUCAUUGACAUUGGUACUAGCCUAAGAUGAUGAUCAUGUCGUUUUUGGGUUUUAUAGCGUGGCAAUUGCAUGUGGAUGUAGUCAUAAUGGUUUCGUGUACCGGUGAUUCCACUUUAAUCGGCGUAAUGCUUACAGCUAUGAUGCGGUACAAUACGGCGCCCACUCAUUUAUAUAUUUUAAGCAACGGCCUCCUGACUUGCUUCCACAUACCCCGGAAUUCGGUCGAAACCGCUUCCUUUUUCCUUAUCUGCAUGCAUAACAAGACAGGGCAAUCAAUGUUCUCCAAACACUAUAUUCAUUCAAAAAAUUGGAACGAUUUAUCUCUUCAAUGGUGGAUUUGGUCCUCUAUUUGUCUUCACCGUUAACGAUGUGUCGAACUAUUAAGCACCCAAUUGUAUCUCUAUAUGAGGAUUCAUUGAAUCUCCUAGGGGGGCAACCAUGUCUAGGAGGUUUUUUAUACGGAGUAUAAGAACAUUACUCUACCCAUGGUGGAAUCGACGCUAUCUUUGUGCGUCCUCCUUAUGCGAGGCAGUAUAUCUCAAUUUGCUCAGAGAAGGAAGCUCCAACGCUCUCUGCAACUAUUCCGGAGUUGGUGCUGGCGCGCUCGAGCCAUCUUGCAGAGCGAGCUAAUGUCCUGGUCCCGGUGGCAGCUAUCGGGAUGCAACAGAGCUGUGCGGCCGAAGCAAGAAGGACGAUGGCCUUAAGGAUUUGGUUUGUAAUUUUAUACUCUAUCCUUAUUAUGAGGUGUUGAUGCAAGGUGCUCUCUCUCUGUAUUGUAUUCUUUCCUAUGCUAUGAUGAAUGAACAGUUUUUAUAAUUCGGGUGCAAAAUAGACACAUAAUUACUGAGAGCGGGUUUUUUGCUCCGGGUGGCAAUCACACCCGAAAUCUGAGCCGCCCACCUUGUUUUUGGGAUCUGUGCCCCUGAUUUUCGGUUUUCAAAAUACAUUUGCAAUACAUGGCAGUGGUGUACGUGGGGACCACGCACGUGGAUUCCAACCCCCCUUUCUUCUUUCUUCUGUCUGCCCUCUCCACAGCAAUGUCGCCUCCCUCUCCCCCCCCUUCUCUCUCUCACCCAACAGCCCAUGGCGGUCGGAACAGGGACCUCGACCGAUGCGGGACGGCGGCGUAGCCGGAGAUGGAGGCGGCCAUGGGCGUGUCCAGUUCAACAUCAAACGCGCCCUGGCUGGGUAUUCUCUCCCCCCCCCCCCCGGCCCCCGGCCAUCAUGUUCGAGCAAGAACUCAAGGGCGGCGGGACGAGGCAAUAAAUGAAGCUGCAAAUCGUCGGAGGAGGGGGAGGGCCGCCGGAGUUCAGAGCUCGGCCACGGUGUGGCCAUGAUCCGUUGCCGCAGUUCGGAGCUCGUCCACGGUGUGGCCACGGUCAGCAGGACGCGGACGCGUGGUGCUGCCGGCCCCUGCACGGGCACGAAAAAGCCGCCGGGGUACUGCCACCCCCACGCCCGAGCACAACUGCACCACGCCGCCACCGCCAGCCAGCACCCCCCCCCCUCUCUCUUAUGGCGGAGCUCGUCCAUGGCGCCGCCGACAUCUUCACCGAGUUCAUCUUCACGGGGUCCGGCUCCAACAACCUCCAACUGCAGCGUCUUCCCCAACUCCGGCAUCCAGCCGCUAGAAUCUCGAGAACGGUGGCUCGUUCUGGAGCCGGCCGAACCCCGACAACAUCCAUGGCGCAGGAGGAGCAGGCGGACGGGUUCUUCUAGUCGAAAUGGACAAGGUCGGAGUGGACAAGGGCAGAGCUGGCAGCGAACGAGAGCAGCAAUUGGCGGUCGCCACUGUCGGACGGGAGCAGGGGAGAGAAAAGUGAGAGAGAAAGGCGGAGGAGGAAGAUAGCGUGGGGGGAUGUGGGGGCAGAGAAACGCACAUGGUGGGCCCAGCACUGUUGAAGAAUACCAAAUUAAAAUGGGCAUACGGAUCCAAAUACAUGUAGGAGGAAGAUAGCGUUUACGAAUCUCAAUGUGCUUUGUAAGGUGCAGAUUCAGGGUGCGAUCGCACCCAGGUGCAAGAGGACAUUUCCCCAUAAUUACUGGCAUAUCGAAUAAUCAGCACAGCAGGUAGCACAAGUUCUUGUCAGGUAAUGUGAAUCACAUCUGAAAAAGUCAAACUGAAGCACAAGUUUAGGUAGAGCUUACCAUCUCAAGCAGAAAUUGAUAUUCAUGAGGCAAUUCAUUACUGUGGUUACAUCUGCCACUAACAAUUUCCAAGAGCAAAAUAGCGAAACUAUAAAUAUUUGACUUCUUUGUCACUUGUCCUCUGACUGCAUAUUCAGGGAGGAGCCUGGUAUCCUCUGAUAGAAGAAACGAAGGCAUUGAGAGAUGGGAAUGAACUAUGUUCCAUGUCCCAAACAAACUCAUAUACAAGGCUAUAUACUUAGAUUGUUCCUGCAACACGGGUGCUCACAUAGUCACAUGAGUUGCAUUUGGAGGAAGGAGCCUUGCUAACCAAAAAUCAUUCUAGAGGUGGGAUCCUUGUCGAAAAGAAUAUUGCUUCCCUUUAUGUCCCGCUGAAUUAUAGGAGGACGGAUUUCCUCAGGAAGAAAUGCAAGCGCUGAAGCCCAUGGGCAACAUCUAGAGCAAUUUUAACAAGAACUCUCCAACUGACGGCGCGGCGGGGGAUGGCUCGCGACGGGGGACGGCUCGCGACGGGGGAGGCUUCGCGAGCAGCGGCAGACGGCAGUGACCCACGCUUCGCGGGCAGCGGACGAUGGCGCCAUGGCGGCCUCUCAAGCGCACGGCACGGUGACUUUGCUCGGGGGCAUCCUAUUCUAAAUUUUUUCUUCCACCGAAAUUCAGGCCGAGCGUGUGGAGGAGUUCAACAUCUUCCUGUCAUGCUCUCAGCGGGUGCCGUGCUUAUGAUCUCCGGCCUUUUAUUCCACCGAAAUUCGCUGCCCAAAUGGUUCCAGAUAGUGUGCUGGCAGGCUGCGACCGUCUCCUUUUUUGCGGCCUGGCUCGCCGUCUGGGAUCACAUAAGACUUCGGCUCAGCCAAACUCCCUCUUCGAAAAGACCCAAACUGAAAACACAAAAGUUUACCUUUGUUUUUCCACAGUUCUUUUUCUUUUCUUUUCUUUUCUUUUGACAGCACAAAAGUGUACCUUCCACUUUCAACUAGUACUCCAACUCUUGUAGCUUCCCUCAAAAAAGUAUUAACUCUUGUAGCUUUCGGUUUUUUAAUAUCAAAACUGUUGAAGUUGUUGUGAUUUCAACCUCGACGUAUCCGCCACGGCCAUCAUUGAGCUCGCCUCUUCGCUGCUACUGGUACUACCUAGUGAGGCGGCAAAGCAGGCCAUGGAGGCGGUGAGUGAUGAUGCUGCCUGCAACUCAGUUUUGAGCAUUCAUCAGGGGUCAUACACAUCAAAACUAUCAAUCUCCAUUGAGAAAAAGGGAGGAUAUCCAUCCUUAAUAGAUAGGAAAAAAAAUUGUGUACGUAUCAUUUUUUUUACAAGAACACCAAUAAGAAUUGAAUUGAGCAUCUUUGCACUGGCAGAAUGCAAGCGUUACAAGUUUAGUUCCCCUUCCUAAGAUUUACAGCUCCAACACACACGACACAAGGCAAAUUAGCCAUUGUCCUGUAGCUGUCUUUUUUAUUUAUUUACAUCAUGCAUCUGACUCCCGUCAAAAUUCUCAUCUCACUCCAACUCGGCUAGCCCUCAGUGAGUUAGCAUCUCCUUUUGGCAUGCGAUGUGUCGGUGCUACUGCUACGGAACAGGCCUUCCCAGUGCUUCAGAGUUCAGAGCAAAGAGCAGGAGCCAAAUUCCAUCCUAUGAAUCCUCCAAGUUAUGCACCUCUUCUGGUCUUGUGGGUUUGUUCGUGCUAGGUAACCUAAGCUGCUCACAUAAGGCCCCAAAAAAUAUAAGUUGGAAAUUGUAUCUAUGAGUACGAUUAUUCGGCUACCAAUGAACCAACUUCAGGGAGUUGAUAACUUUUUGUACUACACAGAAGCAAGAUGAAAACUAUGCUGAACAUGACUACAUUUGGAAUACUGGGGAAAAUGAGUAUAAGCAAAAUGCAAUAGACACGGCAACUAGUGAGUGACCUUAGACCUCCUCGUGUUCAGUGGCACAGGAUCCUUCUUCAGUGGUUUAUAUGCAAAAGUCUCCAGAUCGAUCACCGGUGGGGGUGGCAUGGGGUUACCAGCACCUUUCUGAUUACUUGUAACCUUGACAUGAAAAUGGAUAACAUAUUAAUUUGUUAGUUUUCUAUAUAUACUUCAUUAGCCUAGGAUGUCAGUGAUAUAGGCAUAUGACUGAGGGAUACAGGUCUGGAAAGGGAAGCUACAUACCUGUUCAUUCGAUGAUUCAUGCUUGAUAUCCAAACGAUCAGCGAACAAGAGCACCUUCGUUUGAAGAGGACAGUUAGAUUGAUGUGGGAAUAGUACUAAAUCACAAGAUGCAUCAAAAUGUGCAAAUUACCCUGUCCAAUGAAUGUAGAUUUGAAGCAUCGGUUGCAAGAACUCGCACUCCGAGUGGCAUGGCACAAGCAUUUUCACAAGGGCAGAAAGGGCAUGUUACUGGCUUGUACACACAUCCAUCCUUCUCAGACCAAACGCCAGAAUGGUGAGCAGAACCUUGGCCACGGAAUUUGGUAAGGGUCUCUUGGUUGAGUGAGGAUGCGUCACACACAAUAACAUUUACCAUAGCUGGUGGCGAUGCCAUAAGAUCAUCUUGUGCGAAGCCAACACUUGAUAGUCCAUGUCUCAAAAGAUAUGUCAAGUAAAAAUUCGAGGGUGAUGACAAUGAGCAUGAAACAAGAAAGCCAUCCUUCUGUAAUCCGAGUGGUGUUUUACAUCUGCUGCAAUAAAUAAGAAGCUUGUUCCGUGCGGAUUCUUUUGGUGAAAACUCAACUGGCUUGUGGCAUCUUUCAAGCUUAAAAUUUUCACAUCUGGACAUGUUCAUACUUUUACAACAUAGGCCACCAGUUCUCUUCAGAUCUUCAGGCACUGUGAUGCCAGCACAAUCAGAAUCGCCGAAAGAUUUCGUUGAAGGAUUGGAAUGCUCUGUGUCCAUGCAAUAGCUUAUUGGAGGGCUGAACCUUCUCUUUUUCUGGUACUGUGAGUUUACGCUUCUGUUCACUGAAGAAUAUUCAUGCUCCAAAGGAUAAUCUCUAUUAGAAGUUCUUUCAGGAGUACCCACUGAUGUGGACACACAAGAAUGGUUUCUGUUUGCUGUUGUUAGCGAAGUGGACACAUUUACAUUUACAGCCUGAUCUUCAUCAUUGUUCAUCACUGCUGAGAUAUUUACCUCAGAAUGAUUGCUGGGACUAGCAACAGGAGCCUCUGUAAAAGUUUCUUCCACAAGAGCAGGCUGUUGCAACCUGUGUUCUGAUGGAUUAAAGAUAGUUAAUGUUGAGCACCUGCAAACAAUAGCAAGGCUAAAUAAAAUGGAAACUGAAUUACAUUAGAAUACUCAAGAACAAACAUGCCUGAAUGCAGAUAGAUUACCAAGACUUAGAAUCAAACUUCUCCAAGUCAAUAACAUCUGUAUUGACUUCAUAAUCCCCCCCAAUGUCUGCUUCACCUUCCAAGUUAUACUGAAUUUUGUAAGAGGGAGGGAGUUGGCAUGCUGUUGAAAGACUUCUGGGUAUGGGAGAGCUUAACUUCUUUGCUAGAUCAGAAGAUUUAGAAGAGAUCUCCCAUGCUUCUGAUGAUGGUGACGCAUAAGACAUACCAAUUUUAUUAUGGUAUACUCCUGCCAAACCAUCUAUUUUUGGAACCUUCAAACUUCCACGUUCAGUCUUUACCUUCUGAUUACUUUGCAGUAUUGAUUGGUUUAAGAAAUUUGGUUCUGGCCAAGGCAGUUUUCUUUUAUCGUCGUGCUUUGGAAGUAUAUCAGCCUCCAACUUGACAUUAGGGGACAUCUCUCGACCUCUUAUCUUUAUAUGCUCCUGAAGAGACCAUCAUUUAUAUCAGAUAGUCCAUCCACAUUCAGAAAAUCAAAUGCAUAAUAAUAUCAGUACCUCAGCCUUUUGAAAAAACUUCUCCAAUCCAUCCAUCGUAUCCUGGAAGCUACCAUAAUGCUUAAUCGAGUUCUUAAGCCAUUUUGAAAUGUGUACAAGGUUUCUCUCUUCCUGAUACCGCUCAUCUGUACAAAUAACAUAGUGGUUAUAAGUAAUCCUAUAUCAAGAACAGCUUAUUGCAUCCAUUAGAAUACACAUCACACAAAUAUGAAAACUACAAGGACCAACUUUCUGGCUAAUCAUACCAAUCAAAAUUAUGCCUCCGUAGUCAAGCUUAUGCCGAAUACAUCGACCUAGAAAACGACAAUAGUAAUUAGCCAUUUUCAACCUUAAUCACAACAAAUGAUCUACAAGUAAAUCAACAGCUAAAGUAUCAUACCAGCAGCUUGAUUCAGAGCACGAAAUGCUUGAUGACAGUACCAGUCACUCCCACUUAACAGAUGCUUUGAUGAUUUGUAGGAAUCAUUAUAUCUUUUUUUCAGCUUUACUUGGACAUCAUUUCUGAUUCAUGAAUAAAACAUCAGAAUAAACAUGGCAAAAGAAAUUGGACUUAUGUCUAGAAGAAAAAGGGUACUUACAUAUUUGGAAAUGGAAUGCCAACAAUGACCUUAAAUCUUGGUCAAGGAAACUGAUGCGUAUCAAAAUCAUUAACUCUCAUGUUCUAAUAGAAUAGGUGUAGAUGUGUAGUGAAUAAACACUAAUACCAAUCAUGCUACAGGUUACUAGGGCAAAAGUUUGGCAAUAAAUUGUCUAUGUCAUAACAGCAUGCAAUGAUAAGGAGAAAAGUAAGGAUACAACAACUCUAGCGUUGUCAUCAGAGAAGUCAAUUCCUUCAGAUACCUGAAACAAAAAAUCAGCAACUGCAAAGCAUAAGCUAAUGACAGCUAGUAUAUGCACACAACACCAGAAUAAAUGUAUAGAAUUAGCACCUUCCCACGACAAACUGCAAGAAAAGCAGCUCCUCCUUUAGCAGAUUCCUGUGAUGAAUUCUUUCUCACUCGAUUCUUCACGAUUUGUUUUGCACCACCUCUGCCUUUCUUGAGGGGAGCCUUGCCAAGGAUUGCAUCAUAGUAUCCUUUCAGGAUGGGCUCAAGUUCCUCGGUACUUCCUCUGGGCUCUGAGACAAAAAAUAUCUUAAAUAAGAAACCUGCAGGAAAUUGAAAAUUUAAACAGUGGGCCUUUUAGAAUUCCGAAGCAAUGAUAAACUUACCAACAAACACGGGCUUAUUAGCAUGCAAUCGUGCCCAUUGGCCUGUCUGAGCCCAACGAACUUUCAUUUUAUCCAGCAACUUAUAGCUAGGAAAAAACACUAGAGCGCCACCUGGAACUAUUCUGCAUAUUUCUUCUAUUGAAGCUCCAAGCUCGUCCUAUAAAAAUGAGAACAUUUUAUUUUUGGAGAAAAUUAUUUAUGUCAGAAUAUGACAACAAAAUAAUGACAAGUUACCUGGAAAGAAUACACAUCUGCAGUUUUAUAGCUGGCAUUCAACGGAUAUUUUGUUGGCCCAGAUGAUAUUACACUUGCAAAAACCUGCAUCAGAGUGCCACAUAGGCUGAGAAAAACUGCAAACAAAGUGGUUAUUUGGCAUAAUUUGGUGAUAUUUCUAUGCAUGCAAGCUCCAUAUCAUAUCCAGGUCAUAAUUUAAUUAAGGUCAGAGGCUUAGAGCUCAUCAGGCCAAAGCUUUUGUAUGCUGUCUGGAUGGAUAGCAGGGCAGCUGUAUUUCAAGUAGUGAGAAAUGAAAAUCAGUUCAAAAACUUUAUAUACACUAUAGGAUUAACAAAAAGCUGGACACCUGACAGGACUAGCUUAACUAGAAUUCAAAUAGGUUGGAUAAGAGGCUGAGGAAUGCACAGUAAGUUCAAGCCAUAUCAGUUAACUAAAAAAAGUGCUUAGCUUUCAAAUAGUUUGAAUCGGUCAACUCUUUUUAAUCACAUAUUGUCUUGCCAUUUAUCAGUAUGCACACUUUUUAAGGAUUACCAAUAUGUAUCAAAGUAAAACAAUCCAUUGCCAGUCUCUAUCAGACAAAGCUUGGGAAUCUAUGGUAACAAUUUGAACUAGAAUUUUCUGUUCUACUAUUACGACCGAAAAUCUAUUUGCAGGAAAAGGGAACCACAUUCCACAUUUUUAUCAGCUUACGUUAUGUGGAACAAAAUUAGUCUUAAAGUAGGGAUAGGAGAGACUAGAAAUGGUUACACUUUACUCAACUUCAUACCCAAUAGUUGGUAAAAAUCCAUCACCAUUUGGCUAUGCAGUACUUUUUAGCACAGCCGACUUGCAAAACACACACCUGAGAAUCAGCAUCAAUUACGUGAGGAGCUUCCAUGCAAGCGUCAAACUGGACACCGAGUUCAGAUGCAAAGGAGCCCAUUGGAGAGAGUGUGCUGCAGAGAUACAAAGUUAAGAGAGAACUGUAUAUUAUCUGUUAAUCUGUUAUUCUAGAGAAACUUUGAUGGGCUAUUUUAGAAAACUUCAGAAGUGGAUAACCUAAUUAUUUUAGCUUGGAACAAUUAUGCGACAGUUGGUCAUGUGCCUACAAGGUGAUGAAAACCCUGUUAAAUAGAGCAUGUCUAUAAGGCUGAAAACCCUGUCCUCAGCGAAAUUCCAGUUGGCACAAAUCUAAAAUAUAUUCACUAUUUCCAUGAAGUCACUCUUCUACAUAUACUUAGUUUCUCUUCUAUGUUCUUUUUUUUUUCAAAUUAAUACAUUCCAUCUUAUCAGAUGUCAUAUGUGGAUCAUCAAAGCGAUAUGCUGUUACAGUAAAUAAAACCACUUUCCUAAAAUUUCGAGGGGAAGUAUGAACUUGGAAACUUACCCAGAUGUCAAAAUUACUGAAAGGGUUAGAUCUGAAAUGCCUUGAAAAACAACAGCAGGACUGAGGCACCACAAACUCAUCACAGAUCUCGAUCCUAUGACAGAACUGCCUGCAAAUGGUGUGAUUCAAAAGUUAUGCAAUCAAACUACAUGUUACAUGUUGGAAAAAGGGAAAAGGAUUGGAUCAGACUAUCCAGUAUCCACGACUUUAUAGUUAAUCAAGCAACCGGAUUCGUAAUUUGAAGAACAUCUUAAUCUUAUGUAUACUGUGCAAGAGCCAAUUGACUUCAAUGACAUCAAGAAAACGUUUUAGGGAGUAAGCAUUACUACCUUCUCUUUGAACAAAAUGCUGGAAAGCAAGUUGGUAAUCAUAAAAAUGGCACCCAUUCCCAGCAAAAAAAUGGCUCAAUGAGGAGAAUAGACCUGCAAAAAUUGUGCAGUGUCAUUAGGUUAUUACAUAUGCUGGGGAUUAAAGGGGAAAAUGUGUGGCUUACUGUCCAGUGUCAUAACACCACGACCAGUUAAGUAUUCUCCAUCUGACUCGGUAUCCGAAGCAGCCUUAACUGCCUAAUACAAGAAGGUGAUAGAAUCAAGGUCUAAGUGGAUAAUUUUGUCAGUCACAGGCCAAAGAAGAGAAAGAUUACAGACAAACUGUUACACAGCUACAUUAACUAGGUGAUAUACUCUAGCGUAACUGCCUAGUAAAACUUGAAGAAAGAAGCACCUUCGUCGCACACUCUUGCAAUAUUGGGAAGUAUGCAGGAGUAAUACCGGCCUUCUGGAGUUCCUUCAUAGCAUUUUCACCAGUCCAACUGAGGAUUACAAAAGGUUAAAUAAACUGAAUGCAAGACAAAUGUUUAUUCUCAUGCUUUGUUGCAAGCAUGUAGUUAUUCUGGUGAAUUUUACAACUGGAAGUUCAACAUGGAACUCAAUCUUAUUAUGGAUCGGAGGGAAUAAUAUAUUUAAAAAUACUCGCACAAGGUAGCAGGUCAAUGCACUGAAAAUAAAUAGAAAUAGACAUGUACUGCACAAUUUUAUGCAACCUUACGUUAUAUAUUUCAUAAGAGAUUCUGUGGUCCUUGAAAACAUUCUACACAGUCUAAUGACAGGCAACAAAUGUCUGAGAUGCAGUAGUACGUAAUGUUAUUCCACGUGCACAUGAAGUACGUAUUAUUUGUACUAACACUGAAACAUGGUACACAAAUUUCAGAGUAUGGGUAGCUUACUGGUGCAUAUUUAUUCCUAAAUGACUGAAACAUGAUAUACAGAAAUCCUAAAUGACACUGCUUGGCGUGUUCGAGAAAAAAAAGUUUGGUUUGAACAUGGAGAUGGAGAGGAGAAAGAUUAUAACAAUGACAGUGGGAUUAUUUGCAACUUAUUCAAUUUGGGGAUGCUAAAGCUGGGGCCGAUUCAGAGAAAAUAAAAAGAAUCACGAUGCCAAUCUCCCCCCUAAUAAAUUGUGGUACCAGUACCUCAUGAUACUUCUCCCCAUAAAACCGCUCAUAUUUCAAUGAGCUAUGCAGAUCUUUCAGGGGUACGAAGAUGAGAUGGCAAAAACUAGGUAGAUAAAGAUAAAAACAGGUAAGAAACAAUACAGGAUUCCAUAGUACAUACAAUGAAGCAGGAUGUUCAAACUCGUUAUCUCGUAGAUUGCCCACCUGAUCAGUAAUCCAAUUGAUAAGCCCCUGCAUAAUUACUAACAGCUUAAUCCCUGAGACCAAUAUUGCUACCAAAUGUGUAUUCUUCCCUUAUUAAGGAGGAACAGUAGGAUUACAAACUCUUCUCAUUAAAGUACCUCAAUGACCUCAUGCAAGGGUUGGUAUAUCUUUGCAACAGCCUCGUUAGUGGCCAAGUUUGCUAGUUCUCCCGCCAAAGCUUGACCACAGAAAUAAAUAAAUUUAGCUCAGCACAAUUUAACAGAACAAUGCGUUAAGCUCUAAUGGAACAGUGACGAUUGCCUUACUGGUAAGUGAUUCUUCAUCAACAUCAACACUUCCAGCAUCACGUGCUAUAUCUUCUAUGUUGCUGCAAGACAAGUAUUUGAAUAAACACAGGCUGGAAUUCACCGCUUUGUUACUACAACUGCUCUAAAGAGAAAAUAUCAGAUUUGAUAAUUGGUUGAAAAGGUACCACAAGAAACUAGUUUAACAAAGGAAACCAUGGAAGUACAUCAAUCAUGUCAAGAAGGAAAUGAUUGACUGAAAAAGAAACACAAGUCUGGACUUACUGUGCUUCAUCAAGAAUAACAAUUGAGCCACUGAUAUCAAUGUCCAUUGCUCUUCUGACAAUUGGACUAAUUAGGUAGUUGUAUGGACAGAAAACCAGUUGAGCUGUUUCUGCCAUGGUUUGUGCAGCAAAAUAUGGACACCCUGCAGAUAGCAAAAAAGGGGGUAGUUGAACAGAUGUCAAACAUUCAGCGGUGACAUCAUGCACUCCUCAGGAUUCAGAAUUAAAUCCUUUUAACCAAAGAGAUGAACAGACCCUUGACUUGUCGUCCAACUCUAAGAAGAUCCUCAAUAUCGUGAACUUCGUAGCAGCCACCCUUCUGAAGGGAUGGAUGACGACUUAGUUUCUGUGCAUUCCUGCCAAUACAGUUUUCUCAUUGCGUUACUGUCUGUGUGGGGAAGGGGGCGGAGAGGUUCUCCAGGUUAAAUACGUUUUGCCAUGAAAGAAACUAGAAAAUCUCACUUGAAUUCUGGGCAUCCUUGAACCUUGUCAUCCAAGAGCAACUUGCUGAUGAAGGAUAGCACGAUUCAUUAAAUGAUUAGAAAAUGAAUAAUGCAAAAGAUUGGAAAAGUAAUGUCUCUUAUAUGUUACCAUUGCUCAUCAAUGUUGUCACUCAUGCAUACAUUCUUAUUGACACAAUAGUGCUUCCUCGAAGCCUGCAUUGCAUGAUUACUGUACUUGUCAAACAAAAUGCAGUUUAACUUCAGAAUGUGAGAACAAGUUGACCCUAGGAGUGGAACUACAACAACAACCAGUGAUGCAUGAUGAUUGAAUAGCUGUCUUGGCGUCAUUUGUGCCACUGCUACUUAACUUUGGUUGGAUAAUGUAGUUCUUUUAAAGAUGGCAAGAAGUAUACUGAGAUGGAAACACUAGUUACCAAGACGGCCAUGCGCACUCGGUACGAUGUCUUGCGGAGCUCCCGGACCACCUGGGUGAUCUGCGAGUGCGUCCUCCUGCAGAAAAGCAACCGACCAAGAAAUCAAUCAAGAUUCUCAACGGCUCAAGUCAGAGGAGCACAAAUCUUACGUCGCGUAAUAGAUGGUCGGAGCAUUCUUCUUCUUGGCCGCCUUUUCUGGGACGCCUAAACAUCAAGAAUGGCAACUGGGAAAUGAGCGAUAAAGAAGAGCAGAUCGUUCUUGAUCCAAGAAUUGAUGGCAAGAGAAAGAAAGGGGGAAGGUGCGAGCGUAGCGUACCCGGAGUCGCCUGCUGCUGCUGGGUGUCGUCGGGGACGAAUCCGCCGCCGUGGAGGAAGGGGUCGGCAGCGGGCGGGGCCGGGGGCGCACGGAGCGGGUAGUGGCGCUGCCAAGCGAGCGCAGAGCAGAGGAGGGAGAGCGACUUUCCGGUGCCGGUGGGCGACUCGAGGAGCGCGUGCGAGCGGCCCUGCCGCCGGGCGCGGUCCAGCGUAGCGAUAACCCGGCCCAUGAAGGCCAGCUGCGUCCCGUACGGCUUGUAGGGGAACUCCACCGGCACGCCACCGACCUGGUACACGCCGCCUCCGAGACGCGCGGGUGCGGGCGAGGGCGCCGGGGUGGCGAAGUCGUCGGCGGCGGCGGCCAUCGCGUCGGCUCCCAUUGGUAGCGGGCGCACGACUCGUGUUUGUGGUUUUGCCCGUGAAGGGGAGAAAGGGAAAUGUUUUUUUUAGACAGAGAGAGAGAAAGGGGGGAAAGUCCGAAAGGGGUUUGGGCGCGAGGAUUUUGGACGCCGCGCGCCAUCCUAAAUAUUUCGACUCGCGACAGAGGUCCGCUUCCUGGGCGGACCAUUGUUUGGGCCCAUCAGCCCAUCUUGAGUUGGAAGGCUGAGGUUUUACGUUUGCUUUAUGCCGUACAAUUUUAAACUGAUUUAUCAAAAUACUCUUCGAGGUAAACUAAAUCAAGCGUGCCGUCGUCUCACAUAGGCACUAGCAAAAUAGCUUUCGAGCAAUGCCAAGAAGAAGAAAAUGUCAAAUGAAAUGAAAUCAGGUCAACCUAAAGGUUUCAAUCAACCGCAACACCAAACAUAUCCGAUAUCCCUGCUAAGGCUUAGUUGGCGGUUGCUACAACCCUCGGUGCAAAACAUGAACACAAACCAUCUAAAAAAAUGAAUACAAAAGAUAAACUUAUUUUAUAAUCCUCUGGAAAAAUAAACACGCAAAAAAUGAAAAUUUGGUUAACCAAAUAAUAAAGGGUGGAGCAAAAACAUUAUUGUGUUAGUCCGCCACAAUACCAAAUGCAGCCUAAAGUGCAUGGCUUCACCAGAGCCAUAGAAGAAAUUUUCUAUAGGCCAGCAAAGCUAUUAGAUUUUUUCUAUUAAUCCCUCUGCUAGUCUGCUGACCUGGUUAAACCAAGGCGCAUGUUCGUAUUUACAUGAAAAUAAUUGGUUUUCGACAAUCAGAAAACGAAUGGCUACUGUACAGUGUCUAUCACUUCCUACAGAUCACAUUUCGUAGGGCUAUUCGACCUCAUCUUCCUGCUAGCUAGUGGCUACAUCCUACAGGCCGCCACGGCGUAGCCUCCUCAGCUGUUUAAGGCGAGUCUGGGCGCGCUCAAGGCAGGGUCCGUGGUGCGACAGGCCAUGCCAGGGCUCCGUCUGACUCCUCCCGUUCAGCGUCCCAAGCCUCGCGAGCUCGUCGCGGAGGGAUGCAACGUUCACGAUGGGCACUGUGGUCGGACGCCCAUGUGCACACUGCAAGAAACGGAAUGUUCUCGUUUCAUUUACUUUGCAAAACCACAUAGCGGCGACGGAAACAAGGAGUGGGGAUUCUACUGUCUUAUUUUGUUACCUGGAAGCACAGAGAUGUUGCUUUCAGUUCUUCGAUGAUCAGACAGCACUCGGACGGUAGCAAGGGAUCGCCAAACAUAAUUGCUCCUACAAUAGUAAACCAAAGGUGGAACAUCAGCAUCUUGAUUUGGAUCAGAAACGGAACUUACAGAUUGCACAAAAUGCUCGAGGAAAAAGAAUCGCAUUAUGAUUUAAUAGAGGAAAGGAAGAAAUGGUUACCUCUGCAAGCUUUGAAAUUAAGAAUACGGAGAACUGCUGGGGGAAUAGUUGAUGACCCAUCACUCUCAUCGAGCUACAGAGAAUAGCAACAGGUAUGGAACAGAAGGACAGUGAAGUAGCUCAGUAGCUGUAACAGAAACACAACUGCACAUCUGCAUAUUUUGCUAGGCAAAUUGUUAAGUAGACAAGGCAGUCAUAUUCUCCAUCAUUUCAUUACGAAUGACAAGUUGACAAUUUUAUUGCUCUCACUCAUGCUAGUUCCAUACACGUUAUUCUUUAUCUUCCUGGCUGCAUUUUCUUACACAAGAGUAAGACUAGUGUGUCAUGAAAAGCAUUAUAUCUUCAAACAAUUUGACUUCAAAUGAACGAGAAGAACUUAAAAGGAAGUGGAGCAGGAUCAAUCACCUGCUGAAUAAAGUCCAUAAGAUCUUUUCCUGUUAAAUCGACGCCCAAAAUACAUGGAACCUGUGUAGUGUAGAUAAUGUUUAGUGCACGAGAAUACUUGAUGCAGUUUCAUCUGAUAAGAUUUCACCAGAUACCUUUGACACCAUUUGGGGAAAUAAUUGCAUGGAAAACUAAAGACAAACUCAACAAUUGCACUUCUAAGAGGCACUAAGAUAAAAGUGUGCACAGUGUUAACGUAAGGCUCGAGAGCUACCAAUAGCACAACACACAAAAGUUAUUGUCAACUACCAAACUCAGGAAGAGCAGUUACUUCUGAAAAGACAUGGUGAUAUUGAUAUCAUAUACUCCGUAGAAGAUAUGGCCUGAAGAUUACAAGGAAAUAGUAUUUAUUAUGUGUGAAACUUGUCUGUAAUUCUCUUGCAACUUCCAAGAAACCUGCGCUUUGCUUUUCUUUCCAUUUUAACAGUAAUUAAUCCAUGCAUAACUUUAUGGACAUCAAAGAUCAAACCAACAUUGGGUUUCAUGGCAUAACCAUUUACCAAAGAAAUAAUAGGUAGCCAGAAAUAGUACAAACCAAUAGGCCUCCUCAUCCAGUGGAUAGAUUGAAGUAAAAGAUAUACGGGCAGCAAUACUACAAACAUGUUGAAUAAAUAUUGAUGACAGAAAAGGGGCAUACAGCAGUAAGAGCAACUAGACGGGCUUGUCUCCUCAGAAUGUUCAUGUUCCUGAGAAGAAGAAAAACGUAAGUGGUAUAUGUUAGUAUAUAUCCCUCCGAUUCAUAAUAACUGUCGGGGAUUUGGUACAAAUUUGUACCAACUUUGUACUAAAUCCUCGACACUUAUUAUAGAUCGGAGGGAGUACAAAGAAGAUGAUCAGAUGAACAUAUUUUGGUCCUUCUGAUUAUGAUCAACUGAAGCAUACGGACAAUGCUAACUAAAUUACAAAUCUAAACAGAACUAUAAGUCAAGUCUCAGAUUGUUAAAAAUAAGAAAGGGGAGGGAACACUAAUUACAUCAGGGAAUAUAAUAACUAAAAUGAACGCAAGGAGAAACAUGUGCAAGAAAACCUCAUGAAAAUUGCAUAAAAGGUUAAGCAGGCCAAAAAAAGCAGGCCAGAUGAUAAUCAAGCACAUACUUUUUGAAUGAUUGAGAAGAACUGCUAGAACCGUUGAUGAUCCAGCCCCAUUUCUGAAUCUGCUCACUGUACUUCUGGAACAAUUGAAAUCCAGUCUCAGGGAGAGCCUGACACCAUGAGGAGAAUAAAAUAGCAAACAGUAAAUCAUAGUGAUGUUUCCAUAUUUUACAGUAAGACAAUGCCUCGGAUGCCAACUUAUAAAAGAUGAAGUACCAUAUCCUCCUCUGAGUCCAAGUAAGUGAUUCCUCGGUCUUCAUCUGAUAAAACCUGAAAAUCCAAAGGAUAUUAGUACGUAAGAUGAAAAAACAGUGUUAAAGAGAUCUUCCCUGGUAAGUUUAACACUAAAAACCUUGCCACGAAGCUCCUCCAAGCGUAUCCUUUCAUCAGCUGCAUGCUGUACACAAGUAAAAGAGGACAUCACUAGCUAAAACCUUUCAGAAAAGACUUUCUAUCACCAUACAUCUAUUGUCUACUUUUGAAAGUACAUGAACAUAAGAAAUGCAUGAUACACAAUCCAAUACACAAAAUAUAAUCCAAAUACUUUCUAGUAUCGGGCAUAUAUCCCCAAAAAAACUGUGAUCAAGCAUGAUAAACAUCUCCUAUAGGUGGUUGAGUCUAAAACCGUGACUGUGAAAUAGAAUAUCCAGUUCAUGGACUUCAUGAUUUGAUCACUCAAAAUGCACCAAUCAACAUGAUUAGUUCCAAUUCCAUGAAUGAUUGACAUUAAAUAAACAAUAUAUAUACAAACUGUUAAAAAUUCAUUAAUCAAAUAACCAAUUACGAACCUGAUCAACAAGUAGCAGCAUCUCCCCAGAUAUGACAGGAAUAAAUUUCUUAUCUAGCUGAAACAGAACUCUUGCCUCCUCAAAGCACUUUUUAUCAAUAUAUUCUGGAACUAGCGAGCUACAAGAGAGAUUUAAGGGCCCGGAAGAAAUGCUAAGUACGUCGUUGAAGCAUUCAGAAGGAACAUGUGGCAACUUCAAAGCCUACACAAGGAGAUAAGCGGUAAGCAUAGAAAGCAUGCACAGUAACUAGGCCAUAUUGUGAAGUCCAUGAAUGUGAGCAUCUCAAAUUUUUAAUGCAUGCUCAACUGUAUGCUGGUCCGAGUCAUCUCGCCAUUUAGUUAUUUGCGCAGUAGAGUUUUCAAGCCCAUCAGAAUAUGUCUCUUCACACAUUUUCACAUUUCCUUUCAAGCUGGCUCAAAUGAGAGAAGUGCUUAGAAACAGGCCCAGAAAGACUUUUGCAGCAUUAAACAGAUGCGGCAAGAGCAGAAUACCUGAGAUUUAGGGCAGAAAAAUCACUGCUACUAGUCUCAGGAAUAGGCUGGGUUGCACUCAUUUGUGAGAUAUCCUCGGGUGCAGGUGUGGCAUCUGCAUUUAAUUAUAAGAAUACGAACUUAGAUCCAACAAUGGAAUAUAAACGGGAUGGAAAAGAUUAUGAGCAGAAGAACCUUCUUUGUCAUUAAUCGGGAUAGCUUUAUCAUGUUCUGCUGUCAAUUUGGUCAGAUGCUCAUUCAAUCCAGGAAAUUUUCGUUUGCCUCUGUAAAAUGGUGGAGCAGAAUGACUCCUAGAUCUACUACCCUUGGAAAGCCUGGAUCUCCAACCAAAUCCAAAAUUUUGUUGACACAGUUGAUCUUCAAUAAGCGCACUGUCUUUUGCCAUUUGGGGAGAAGAAACAUUCAACUGGCAACCAGAAGUACUUUUCUCGGGAGAAAUAUUGUAUGAUAAUGUUGCAUCAAAUUUUGAUUUCCAGGGUACCUGACAAUCUUCAGAAACAAACUGGCCGACAAAACAAUUAUCAUGAUUGAAGUAAUUAAGCGACUGAGUUUCUUCAUCAAAGUUAUUAAAAUGUUUAGGUCCUUCACUUGUUCUUCGUGAAUCACUGAUAUAUCUUUCCAAAGAAGAUUGAAAAUCACUGUCAAUAUUUUCAGAACUCCAAUAAGCAAAGCUCUUAUUUGAUUCCCCGUGCAAUUCCAAGUCAGUCCUUGCAUGACUGUGACUAUGAGGUGUAUCAGCCAAUGAAAAUGGAUGAGAGAAAUGGAAGUAUGUAUCUUCGAUGGAGGACCUAUCAAUGUCGUCACUUCCCCACCUUGCUUGUAUUUCAGGGAAGUUUAUAUGGGCAACUGUAUUAGCCUCAAGGUCUUCAACAUAUCCCACUGCAUUCCCUAACUUCUUUCUUGCGCUGCACCUUUUCAGGACACUAGAGGUGCUACGAUCUUCAUGAUAGAAUCCAUCACUGGAAUGCGACAUUUCAGGGCAAGAAACAUCAGCUAUUGUCUUCGUAACGUCAUUGAGUAGGCAAUCCUCAUUUAGUUUACAAAAUUCAGCAUAGAACCCAUCAAAGACAGACAUGUUUGCCUUUAUAUUGGUUUCGUUUUGCAUAAAAUCACAGGUAAUUCUGUUUGGUGUACUGAGAACCCCAAAGCAAGGGUCUUGGAGAUCAAUUUCUGGACCAAUUAUCUCAGACUCUUGAUCAUCAGCUGAAAGGCCUAUUGUUUGUACAUCUUUGGACUUGACAAAAUUACAGGAAUAUUCAUGCCCAUGGAAUAUACCUUCCACUCGUCGCUUUUUCCAAACAGUUGGGUUAGCACAUGAAAGAUCACAGUCUUCUAACUGGGAAGAACCACCCUUUAACCACUGAUGACUGAUGCUUUCAGGAACACGUGCUUGUGUAUGCCCAAAUAUCUGAUCAUUACUAUCAACAUUGUCAGAGUGUUUGGAUGCACCGAUGAUCUGGUCAGGGUAGCAGACAUGCCAUGAGGAUGGCUUCAUAUCGAAAGAAAAGGAAUGUGAGUCUUUAGGUCCUGUUGCUGCAUCCAUACAAACAUUGCUUUCUCUGACCACACUCUUCUGCAGAGAGCGUUUGUGUAAGUCAACAUCGUCUUCCUUGUUCUGCACAUUCUGAUGCCUUAGGAGGCUCCCAUUGGACUUCCCUGCAAUGACAACACAUGAACAAAGCUCACAACGAAAAAAAUUCAAAAUAGAACCAAAGAAGUGAAAUAUGUUCACCAAGUCACUAACCAUCACAUUUCAGAGGCACAGAGGUAUCAAUCGCUUUGCCUGCCAAUACGAAAGGAUAACAUAAAACAUUCAUUCAUACCGGUCAGUUCUUCUCUUCAGUUACUAUAUAAAUGCUCGUGUGUUCCUACAGAAGUGAUUAUUUGUCCCAUGAGUGGUUUAAGUGCUUGUGCCAUCAUAAUCCCUAACCUUUUGUUUCUAUUAAAAAAAAUCUCAAAACACACAUCAAUCAAAUCAACUAAUCAGAAGAUUGUGACACAUAUGUCUACUACAUAGAAUGGAUGAAACAUUGUGGUACGCCCUCCAGCCUUUUAUAGUGGGUGUGCACCGCAUUUCGAGAUUCAACUUUGACCACUAAUUAGACCAAUAAUAUGUAGUUUAUGUGUCACAAAAAUUAUACCAUUGUGUUUGUAUUCAAAAGAGUUUUCGAUGGUGUAAUUUUAUGCCACAUAGCUCACAUAUUACUGGUGUAAUUGGUGGUCAAAGUAAAAUUUUGAAAUGUGUUCGCGCUCACUAUAAAGGGACUGAGGGAGUAAUCUUUUAGCAACCUAAGUGGCAAUCUUGCUGAGGGAGAAAAGACUACCAUCAACUAAAAUCUUUAUAAGAAUAAAGAAAGGAUUUAGCUUUUUCGAGACAAUAUAAGGCAAAUAAAGAUCUCAGUCUCUACCUUUGGAUGGUUGUGGUACAUGCUUCUUCCAGUAGUUUAUGAUAGUAUCUUCAAAGAUAAACAAUAUACUUUGCCAGUCCUGAAUAGUGAGAAAAGAAGAGGGAAAUAUAAAAAAACGCAAUAGCUGCAAACGGAAAAACAUAAAAAGACAUUAACAUCUUAUUUCCGGAAGGCUCAAGUCACCUUUAUUAAGUGCUCGUUCUUUUUCUAAUGAAAACUAAGUAUGAGUCCAGGCAAAUGAAGCUUUAUUAGAAAAAAGAAAAAAGGGGACUCAAAAGCAUACAUAUACGUCUAAUCACCUUGAACUCCACAACAGUUUUUGAAGGCUCAUAAUAUAGAUCGUAGCUAGAUCUAGGGCAGAAGAAGUUUAGCAGAUAUGCAGGGUAGACAUCAGUCUUCUGCCUCUUCCGGCUCUGAACAUCGUUUUCUCCAUUCGUCCUUAUCAUGGAAGACUGGAAAGUAGCUGCCAGAUUAUUCAGAAUAUUAUGUAUUGGGCUUCUACUGACGAAUCUUGAGUUGACAUCUUUGAGAAGUCAAGGAUGUCACCAACUCCAAGCAUUUGAAAAAGUUUGAAAAAUGCUAAAUAGAAGUAGAUAACAAAGAACUGUCAAGUAGGAUACACAAGUACUGGAAAUCCUGAAAUGGAGAGGUGCACUUUGCUUUAGAUGGUUUGUCAAAUUUCUGUUUCAAUUGCUUGGAAUACACAGAACUGGCAUUACCUUAUUAGAGAAGACAUCGGUUGGUCCAGAUAUGUGCCCUGAAAGAGCCCAGUUCUGAUCUGAGGUAGAUAUUUCAUGAAGACAACUGGAAACAUCAUUCCCAAAACUGUUUGAUAUAAGAGGCAAAGAGGAUGAUGAAGGAACUGUACAUAGCAACUCAUCUUCGCUGCAUUUAUAGAAAAACAUUCAGAUUACAAAUACAUAAGUAAAUUUAAGAUGCCUGGCAUAGGACAGUGGACUACCUCUACCUGUCAAUGUCAAGAAGUCUGAAUGAAAUCUGUGGAUGAAUAAGUGCAACUCGCAGGACACACUUCUUCACAUUCUGCAGUUCUCUUUUAUGACUAACAAAUAUAAUAUUGAGAAAAAUAUUAAUCAAAUCUUCUUUUGAACAAAACUGUGAAACAAAAGAAAUCUAUCUUAUCCUUCAUAAUAAAAGAAAGAUCACAUGUACCUAGAUUGCAUUUGUUUUCUCCUGACUGGUUGGUUGUAAAAAAGCUCCCGAACAACAACUACAAAGAUAGAAGUGUUCUGAUAAGUAGCUUUCCAAAACAAAAAUAUAGUACACAUGAUUAGUGUCCAAUGCCAUCAUCUCAUUCUUCACAUGCAUCAGGUACAUCUAGUGCGCUUGCUUGGUGAACAUGUGUUGCAUACAUAACACCCGCUCUGCUUUGUUUCAAGGAGAAAUACCCAACUACCUGUUGUGCCAACAGCUUCCCUCUGGUCAUCUAUUCCCAGAUGCGAGCAUUUGGAUCCCUGUGCAGUUGCCACAAGACAUUCAGAUAUGCUAUACAAGGAUAGAUAAAGGAUAUGCACAUUGCACAGCAAUAAAUCGGUAUAGCGAGUGAGUGUUGCCUUUAUUAUCUUGCAGUAUGAAUUUGGUCUCCCACGAGAUUUCGUCCUGACUUCAACCACAGAGAUAUCAGAGAGUGAUGCGAGUGCCUCUCCAUUUAAUCCAAAACUUCUAGAAGCAGAUUCCCCAUCACCCAUGGAAUCAUGGAACUUGGAUGUUGCUGUGGCAGAAGGGAGUUAUACAUCAUUAGCACGUUAAAAGACACUGGAUAUCAUUGAGUACACUCUUUUAAACUUAUACAUAUUUCAGCAGUGAGCCUACAAAAACUUGCACAUAUUUCAGCAGUAAACCUACACUCAAUGAGUGACAAAGAAAUCAUUGAUUCUGAGGGGUUCCUACUUACUAACAAUCAAAAGAACCCUAGAUUUGUUCAAUCCUAAAGAUGAUGAUAGAGCAUGAACUAAAUUGUAUUUUGUAUUGAACAAAGAAACAAGAUGCACAAUAAACAAAAUAGCAAAUUCGCCACCUAGAAGGUACUAAUGCAACUAACAUGUCAUGGCUCGUAGUGAUAUCUAUAUGAACUUAAUGAUGAUUUCAUAACUUUCCAUGCUCUUUUAAUGGAAAUAAAGCAUCCUUAGAAACAGACCCAAGAUCAUUAUGGGUCAUGAGUUUAUGGCUUUAUGCAAGUAACAAUCAGACACACGGGAUACAAUAAACACAUAUCCUUUCAAUAUCAAUCAUCGUUAUCGAGGCCAAAUAUCACAAGAAUGGAUGUCCUUUCCAGUAUUACUCUUUAAAUUUCAUCUGAUUUCAUGGACAAUACUAUUCUGAGGUCAGAAUAGUAUUUCAUGGUCUGAUUUCAAUAUCAAUCAUCGUCAUCGAGACCAAAUAUCACAUGAAAUCAGAGCAAUACUAUUCUCAGGUCCAUGAAAUCAGAUGAACAUCAAGGUCUGGUCCAUUUUGUGAGUGGCAAUAAUGCAAUUUAAGAUGAAGCAAACAGUACUACUGAGUGCAGGAAAAGGCAAGCUUAUAAAUAAGGAGAGCAGAACUUAUGACUUACCAUAUUUUUCUCCCAACAGAACCAAUUCAUCUCGAGUAAUACCACAACCUGCAAUAGAGACACAACUAACAUUUCCUUUCCUAAACACAAAUCCAAGUGAUAAGAAAUUUAAAACAUGAGGUAAGCACAUACCAUCAUCUUCCACUUUAACAUAACAUGAUCUGACAUUUAGUGAGAUGUCAAUCUGAAAUUAUUACAGUUGUAUAAAAAUGUCAAUUCAUCACCAUGGAGAUACUACAUGUAGAUUAUUUUAGCCUUUUGAAAGCAAUACCCAGUAUAGACAUUACAUUUGGAAUUGUGGAUUUUUUGCAUUUAUUCUAUUUUAAUGUAAAAGCCACGCCUAUUGACGACAGUACAUGUAGAUUAUUUUUCCAUUGUUACACGUGAAGGAAAUACCUUUUUCGCAUUUGCAUCAAUGCUAUUAUAUAUCAACUCCUCAACGACCCUAAGUAGGUCAGACAGAACAAUGCUUGAGCGCAAGGAGCUAUGAACACUUUUCGGCAAGCGUUUUAUAGUCUGCAUUGACAUGUUCUGGAGAAAAAACAGGUUAAGCUUAAAUCAGCCAACAUUCAGGAAUCAAACAUAUCCAAGCAAAAUAAAUAGGAAACGUCAGAAAUUUCUUCCAGAAAUAUACAAAAAAAACUUGCUAGUAGGUUGCUUGAUCAAGUGAUGAGUGAGUAGGGUAUGGUUAUAACCGGAAACUUGGUUUGUAAAUUUCCGUUUAUUUUGAAAUUUGGUUAUUAGCAAAUGCUAACCAAAAAUGGUAUCAGAAACCAAGGAACCGAAAAGUAGAUUAACUGACAAUUGGUUUGGUUUUUGGUUAAACAUCGAAUUUGAGGAUCACACCCUCUUACUGUCGUCACCGGCCGGGAAUGGAGCACCUGAUGGCCGUUGGGUCUGUCGGACUGGCGGCAGCUGAUGUCGUGGAGGGAAGCUGGUGGGCGCGGCCGCGUCGCGUGGAGGAGAGGUGCGUCGGCGCGUCGCGUGGAGCUGACAAGAGGCACGGCGGCGCGUGGAGUGGCGUGGAGGAGAGGCGCGUACGCUGCCAAUGGACAAGAGAGUCGACGCCGUCGGUCCGCGCCUCCGUGAGGACGUGGGGUGGAGGCGUAGAGGUAGACCAGUGAAGGCCUGGGUGGCUCGGUCCCCUGCAGGCUGCGGCGGCGCCGGCCGUGGCCCGCGGGAUAGAGACGUACAGGCCUAGAUGGAUGGGUGGCUCGGUCCCCUGUGGGAUGCGGCGGAGCCGACGGCUGGCGGCGGCGGCGAUAGGUCGGUUGGGAGUCGGAGUCGGGGACGAGGCCUCGGCACUUAGACGCGCUAGCGGGCCGAUGUUGUGUACUCAACUGUUAACUAGCAGUUCUUUUGGGCCUCGGGAGUAGUUUUUUUGGGCAUCUUUGGGCCAGGCAUCAUAUCGCGGUUUUCUCUGGUUAACCAGGUCUAAAACUCCCCUAAAAAAAAACAGGUCUAAAACUGAAAAUUCCCUUCAGCUUGAACACCAAAUGGCCAAUGCUGCCCGUGAAACCAAAACACACAUCCCCUUCUCUAUCCUUAUUUUUUUUAAACGGAGGCAAAGUUUGCCUCGUCUCAUUAAUUAAGAAGAAAUUUGUUGUCCGGUUAAUUAACGAAAAACCGAACAAAAACCGUUACAACACUUCUAAGAGCCAUCGUGCAUGACAGCCCUAAAAACACCACAAGCCCAUCUGGCUACCAAACGCACUCCACACGUGCUAUCGAGGAGAAGAUCGUCGUUGACUUUUUUCGCUGGCGUCAUCGUCAUCACACAUCACUCCUCAAGCUAGCAACUCUGACUUCACCGCAAAUGACCCCAAACGAAACCCUCGUCGCAACAGUCGCCUGAAGCCCACGCACCGAGAAAGGGCAAGCCUUGCGCCGGAGAUCGCCGCUCAACGAUCGCAUCAAUCGUGAGGCACCGUUGCCACCAUGCCGCAAGAGACACCCAGCGAACAGAAAGGGGGCAGGCGAGGGCGAUCGAACGAACAAAAGAAGAAGGGUCGGGUCGGGCCGGGCCAGGUCGACGGGCCUAGUCAGACUUCAGGGAGCCAACACGGGCAAUGCUGCGACGGCGGCUCCUCGCCUGAGUGGGUUCUAGCCCGGCAAGCCGUCGAUAGUGCACCUCAGCUGUGCGAGCUCCCGUCGGUGGGGAGGCGGCGAGGCGGUCGUGACGACGGGAGAAGCACACCAAUUUCAUGCAGCAGAUUAUGCGGAGCCGGAGGACGAUUUCGAUGGAAAGAGCACCUAUUUAGUGUCAAUGUGAAGUGGGGGCGUACGAUGAAAUGCUCAAGCAAUGUGGUGUAUGAAUUUGGUGUUCUUGGUUAGCUGCUGGAUCAUAAAGGGAUGUGUUGCGAGAAAAGGUUGCUUCAACUCUUAUCUUUCGCAUCCACUAGAAAAUACUUUUGAACAAUUUCCUAGCAAGGCAUGAACAUUUCACGAUUAAAGAAGACACGGCAUCUUAAUUCUAUGUUUCUUCAUUCCUGCCUUUUUAGAUUUCUACAUACAUGUGAAACAUAGUAAAUCUCAUAUCUCACUCUCAUCAGAUUUAAGUAUUCCACGGUGCAGCCCACGGGUCGAAUCACUGAUGAAUAGCAGCGGCAAGCAAGCCUCUACAGGCUAGCAGCACGCUGGUUCUGAACCCAUGAGGCAGCUUUCCAACCCAGAACCACCCCGAGAAGAAUUGAAACACACUGGACUGCGCUGUACUGCAUCCCACUUUCUCAAAUAGUAAAAGGGAAGGGGAAAAAAAGGCUGAUGGCCAGAUCACAUUACCAAACACCUUACACUUCCUAGUUCAUGCCAGCACAAAUAGGCAGAAUCAACAAUUCAUCAGCUCUGCACCCAAAUCACGCUACUCGCUACAUCAAAACACAGGAUGUUAUGAAGAAAUGCAACGUGACGAUGGUAACCCCACCAUCAUUGCUGCCACUACAAAUAAUUUGUCAAGCUGCGCCAGCAAUACUAGCUCUUGCAGCCCACGUAACACCAGAUAGGUGAACAAAGACCGAAGGCCAUGAUUCGUCGCAAGCGCCAGUCAAAAUGAGCACUCCGACAGAGCCAAAUCUAUAAGCUGUUAUCAGUCAGGCUUCCAGGUCACUGUAUUGUCGAAUCAGUUGAGCCAUGCGUGCUUCAGACACUCCGCGGCAGUGGGCCUAUUUUCUGGAGUAAAAUCUAGGAUCGGUCGAAGAAAGUCAGCAAACCCGUUGGCGUCCGUUUCAGUGAAAUUGUACCUCUCGACAAGUACACGUUCCAAAGGCCAGAACUUGAGCCUUCUGAUCCUCUUUAAAUCUCCAUGUCGGUCGAAGUAAACCUUGGAAUGGGUACCUGAGCUAGCAAUCUGAAAGAUAACAGCAAGAUUAGGGAGCACACUAGGGAGCAUGACAGAGAGAGCAGGAGAGAGUUUAUAAACCUUCUUAGGCAUCUUUCCAAGUGUUUCCAUCAUCAGAGCUAGGUGAUCCUACAAAGGGUUAAGCAAUUGAGAAGAUGAGUUGAAUGGUUGAUAAUAACACUUGCAUCAUUGCAUGGCAUCAGAGUAGACUUUGUAGCUAAGAAUAGACAUCUGAACUUGAUUUGUUAAUGAGUACUAUAAGUGUCACUAUGACAAACAAUCUUACAUAGGUAGACAUGGGAUUCACUUUAAAGGAAAAUCCACCAGGCAGAGUAACAAGCAUUUUAGCUGCCAUUAUUCAAUUUUCACUGGCUACAGAACAGUCUGUUGGUGUUGGUACAUUACCUUGUGCCAGUGUAUUACAUCUGGCAAGGAGAAACAGAACAGCUCAAUUUAGAGUUGCUUUUUAGUACACUGUAGAACCAGAACAGGGCACUUGAAUUUGAACCGUGUAUCACAUUAAGAUGCAAUUUCCUCUGUACAGCAGUCCUAUGAUAUCUGGUAACUGUACAUGAAAUGUUUCUAUAAAUUCAGUUUGGACUUUGCUGCAUCCAGGGAUGUCUGACCAAUCAACAUAACAACUGCUGGAAUUCUAAAAAACAGGUUGACGCCUGCAAUCUAGGCAUUACGAUGAAUAUACUAGCUUGAAUAAACGUCAGACAACCCAGGUACUAACAAAGGUAGUUAAAAAAUAUAUGAAAGAGCCUUCGUUAUCAAAGCUACUAGCAUAUGGAAAACAGUGCUGAAAAUAGAACAUGAAAUUCAUGUUUUUAUACCUCAUCUUCAUUGCAGCCCUGGCAAUUCUUAGGAGCAAACAGCAUGUCACCUGUGGCAAGCUCGAAUACCAUACAAGCGAACGACCACAUAUCGGCUGAAUAAGAGUACACAGAACCGAUGAUAACCUCAGGGGCUCUAUACUCCCUUGUCUGUAUCUCACCAGCAAGCCGCUGGUCAGCCCAGCAGGCAUUCCCGAAAUCGACAAUCUUGCACUUCAUACUAAUGCCAUCUAGACUUCUCUCCUUCUCCACCUCCGCCCCAACUCCACCGAGAGACACCCGCCUCAGUGAAAUCUUAGCCACGGCACGUCUCGCCCGUAUCUUAAGCAUCUUUUCACUGAAACUAGUCACCUUUCCACCAUAUUGGUUUCCCACAGGCCUUUCCAAGAUCGGGGUAAACCCGGAGCGCACUGGGUCCUUCGAUGGGUUUAUUGUCGACACAAGGAGGACAUUCUCUGGCUUCAAAUCCGUGUGGAUGAUGCCAAGCUCCCUGUGCAGGUAAUCAAGACCAACCAGCACUGACCGGCAAAUUUCCCUCACUCUGCUCAGCCCAAUGCCCUUGUUCCUGUUGUACCGUAUCAGCCGCAGCAAGCUGUCGCCAAGGAACUCGGUUACCAGACAAAUGUGCUGACCAUUUGGACCAGAAUGCUUGAAAUGGUCCAGCAAUUGCACAACGCACUUGGAAUUCGUCGGGUCACCCUUGGCUACCGCCGACAGUAACUCGAUCUCAUGGAGGGCCGCAUGCGCAUAAUCCCUCGCGCUCUUCUGUAUCUUGAGCGCCACAAACCUCUGCAGGUUUUACAAUGGCAGUAUCAAAUUAGCAAUUUGUACCGUAUAGAUUGCACAAUACAAAGUUCCAUUCUAGACGGAAAACAGGAAUCAGUUUUGUUCUCAGUUCACACAUAUCAAAAGAGAGACCAAAAACACGAGUUUUCUUCUCUACUUUACCAGUUUUGUAAUCUUGGGAUCAAAAUGAAGAGUUUGUUGAAAUAAAGGUCGGCGGAAAGCUCUACAGAAUCAAAUUUGAACAGAAAAAUGAUGCACAGAAGCUAGCAAUGGAACAGGGGUAAAAGCGACAAAGCGCCAUGUUUCGGAUUGCAGCAAGCUCCCAAACAAGUGAAACAACCUCCACCCAAGUUUGGAAAAUCCAAAAGCAACCGAAAAAAUCGAACAAAUCUCCAACGCCGCAGAAAGAACAAGCCAUGAAAACAAAGCACCAUGGAACAGGAAACAAUUAGCAAGACGCGGGAAGCAGGGAGAUGAGGGGCCGGAGAAGGGACGUGCCUUGAGGAGGGUGUCGUACGCGAGCCAGACGGUGGAGAAGUUGCCCCAGCCAAGCUUCCGCUGCGCGACGAACCUCCCGCCGGCGAACCGGUCCCCGGGCCGCGCGGCGUGGUACCCGCCCUUCCGGUACCCCUCGGGCCCCUCCUCCUCGUCCUCCCCAUCUGACCCGGACGAGUAGCCAUAGCCGCCGUUGCCGAACGCCGCCAUCGAUCGGUCCUCCUCCCUCCGGAUUCGAACUCUUUGCGGGGAGCGAGGGGGCAGGCGGCUAGGCUAGGCUGGGUUUGUAUGCCUUUGUUAAACGAGAGGAUUUUUCUGGUGACUUUGUUCGGUCGGGGAGAAAAGUGGCCAUUCCACCACCACCACCACCUGCUGCGGCGGAGUAGGAAUGGAUGGGAUGGCCGCCGGUCACGCGGUUAAAUUGCAUCAAUUGCUAUCGAAUGCUAAAUUACCGGAAUCUAUCACAUUAGCGCAAACCAAGGUUAAAUCACUUGUAGAAAUACUUUAUUUUUAAAACGCUGUGAAAUUUCUGACGUGUAUGACUAUGACGUCAAUCUUUUUUCUAAAAAUGACUCGCACUUCUUUGCAAGAUUGAAAAAUUAGACAUUGUGAUGUAAUUCAUGAUAUGGUAUUUUUUUUAAAUUGCUCGAAACGAGACAUGAAAACUAUAGUUGGACGACCUUGGGCUGAGAAGGAUUUUCGGCAAACUCUGCCUUAUGUUCUUUUGGUAAAUAUUGAAUUCCCCGCAAAAAAAGAGACACGACAAUAUAUCUGGAAAAUGGUUGUUAAGGAAAAACUUUACGUUGAUGCUAUUUUGAUAUAUAUUUUGUGUAAACAAGCCGGACAUCUUUAUCGUUUUGAUCCUAUCCUACACUUACUUUGGAUCAAGUUUAUAGCAAAAUAAUUGGUCAUAAAAGUAUGAUAACAUAUCUAAUUUUUUUAAAGGAAAAUCUUUAUUGGUGAUUAUGUGAUAUACGUCUCGUGUAAACGUCAUGUAAACAAGGCAUGAUGUUAGAACGACUCUUCAAGUUAUAAAAGAGUCAGGUUGCGUGCAUAAUAAUCUAAACCAGCCGAAAAGAUAUGUCAAAGGACGCAAGUGUCAAUCUUUACUCUUAUAAAAGAGUCAAUUGGUGGCGGCAGUCCGUCACAUCCUUUUGUUGUAAAUAAAAAAUCUUCUCACCUUUUCUAUUGUCAAAAGAAAACUUUUCCUCUUUUUCCAAUGCAAACAGUGAAACCUAUUUGUUCCGUUAUCAGUUGAUAACGGACCGCGGCUAUAAUUUCGGUCGAAUGGGAAAAACAAAAAUUAAAUCUAUUGCAAAAAGCUGACAUGUGGAUAAUGUUUGUCACCAAAAUUAAAAUUAAAUAGACAGUCUUUUGCAGUAGGUCACCAAAAGGCUCACAUGCUAUGAAUUAAAUAUGUAAUAGUGAUUUUAGUCUAACAGUGAGUAGUCUAAUUUAUUUUAUCCAUAGCAACGUAUGGGUAUUUAGCUAGUAAGUGAAAAGGGAGUGAAGAAGGAGGAUAGGCCGUUAGUCAUGAACAAGUAACAAAAUAUGACAGACGAAUCAACAUUGGGUCUAACCGAUGUUCUCUUGAAAUGUCACGAAAUGUUUUCACUGAAAAUGUGAUGUUUUGUAUGUUGUUGAGCGAUUUCUGUUACAACUCGUUUGGCAUCCAUUGUUUCAUUUCAUUUGAAAUGAAAUCCAGAAAAAGUAAUGACUCCUAGAGAGUAUUAAAAAAUCUGGCCAGUAUAAUGCUGCAAAAGCUUGCGAUAUGUUCACGGUUAUUGUAGCCGUUCAAGAAUUUCUUUUACACGUGCACGGGAGAUCUGCUCCAUAGCCGGUGGUCUUUGUUCGUGAGAUCUGCCCUAGUGACUAGUGAGGUCCUGGCCAAUUUUUUUACUCCGAUUGAAUUGGGAUCCUGUCUACCGACGUGACGGUUGGUCAUCGUCUCCUUGGGGAGCACCGGAGCAUGUGUCGUCAGUUGGUAGCUCCCUUUCUUUUCUGUCCGAACAAAAAUAUGCUAGCUGGUGCACUUGCAAAAGCCUGGAUGGGCUUGGCGACCUGCUGGGCUGCCAAAGUGGUGAAGCACGUGUGCACGCGCAGGGCUGCCGGCCACCAAGUCUCGUGGACAUCUAUAAAAAAGAGUUCGUUCGUUCCCGUACAAGAAAAGGAAAUUAUUAAAAGGACCUCGUCAUGGUCUCAUGGACUGCGUCGUCGUUGACGCACGCGGACGGCAUAGUUGCCGGCGCAGCGGCCAGCGCCGACAACAAGCUCAAGCUUAUCGAGUAGGCACCAAAUCCUCUCGGGUUAUGCUCUGCACUAUUCAAAUUCCUAGCUAUGUCACUCAGAUUUUUAUCGUCCGAAUGAGCCGAUAUUACUUCCCUCGUCUCCAUGCAUGAUCAUGUUAGGCUUUGUUAAGACAAUAAAUCUACCCAAAAUUUACUCCAUUAGCAUGUGAAGAUUAUUCACUAUCAUGUGCAAACUUUAAUAGGAGUAGUUAGGGAAUUAUUGUGAAAGUUGCACCCUAGCUUCACAAACUAAAUGAGCAUCAAAAUAAAUACCCAGUGGUCAUACCCAACCAAAGUACUCAUUAGAAAAUGUUCCCUCGACGCUAGUGCUGUAUAUUUUUGAAAAAAGCGGAAGGGGCAGCUAAUUUAUUUAUUUUGUGAGCGGAAGGGGCCGCUAAUAAAACGAACGUUCAUUGCGUAUGUACUAUUGGGUUUUAUCGUUCUUAGUAUUUUAUUCUCACGUAUUGGGCCAAGUAUAUAUCCCGUUCUUAACGUCCGAGCGUAGCUUCUCUCAGCUCGGUUAGGCUUGAUCAACCCGGUACUCAAACAAUUCAACCCGAGUCGGCUUGGUUAGAUUUCGGGCCGGAGUCAGUGUCAAUUCGGGCCAAAUAAAUCUAGCAGGCCGUCGGAAGCCCGCACAGCCCAGUAUCAGCAUCAGUUCGGGUCGAGCACCCUAACUAGCAGCUCCUUCGCGUCGCCGCCGGCCCGCCCGCCCGUGGCCGUGGCAUCCCACCGCGGGCGCGGGCGCCUGCAACUGUGCCGCUGCCCCAUGGCCCAUGCCCAUGCAUCUGUCAAGCCAUGGAGAAGGCGAGAAGCAGAAAUGAUGCUUCCCCUUGUCAGCACGCCUGACGUGCCAGACCCACUUGACAGAGGGCAAGAGACCAGACCGGUUCGGAGGCGUGAGCCGAACCGCAACUUUGCUGGACCCGAGUGGCUGCGCUCUGUCGCUGCAUCAACUACUUAAAGCGCUACCUGUGGCCUGAGAAGAUCAUCUAGUGGAUUACGGAACCGGACGAAAAGGCUUAGUUGUAGUUCAUACAAGUUGAUUGGCUAUUCUUCUUGCUAUCGUCACAGAGUUGGCUUGUAACUGAAUCGAUCUGACACCAUAUUCCUGAGCAAUCGAUCCCCAUCUUCCCCUCCCAACUCGGUACCUAACAUCUGGUAUCAAAGACCACCUACCACCCUUCUCCCUGGCGCCAUUCAUCGAGACGCGUCGUCUUCACCAGAUCCGCGAGCGUAUGGCGACCACGGAUCCUGGAUUUCAGGAGUUCUUCACCAAGCUGACGGACUCAAUCGAUGGGCCGCGCAAGGACAUGCGCGACACUUCAGCCACGGUCCGCUCUCAGUCAGCCAAACUCGACGACCUCAUCGCCUGGCGACCGGAGAUGGAGGCCCGUUUCACCAAGUUGGCUGAGGCGGUCACUGCGCUGCAGCACCAACGCAGCCCGGGUUAGCCGACUGCGGGUGAGGAGACCACGGCCGCGUUCAUUGCGAUGGCCACUACUGCUGCCACCGAUGGCUUCGGUGUCGGCAUGGGCGCGCAGGGUGCUCCCCACGGGCCUACAGGCCACGGCGUCGACACGACUACACGGGGUAUGGCCUCGGCGUUCGGCACGCCGAGCCAUUCCCCGGGCAACGGUCAGUUCAAUACCCCGUCCAUUAUGUUUGCUGGUUCCCCAUUUGCUUUUGCGAGUCAGAUUUUGGCUGGAUUGGGUCAGGCACAUCCGUCGAUCUGUUUUCCCCAAUUCUCUGGUGAAAAUCCCAAUCUUUGGACCACCCUUUGCGAGCAGUAUUUUCAAAUGUUUUCGAUCCAUGAGUCUUAUUGGGUUCCGAUGGCUUCGCUCAAUUUUUCUGGCUCUGCUUCGAUCUAGUUGCAAUCGAUUCGUAAGAAGCUAGCUACUGCUCUUAUUUGCACUCGAUUUGGUCGGGACAAGCAUCAGCUCUUGAUUCCUCAAUUUUACAUGAUUCGUCGGACUUCUUCUGUGGCUGAUUACAUUGAGCGAUUUGAAGAGAUUAUCAACCACUUGACUUCUUAUUGUGAUACAAUUCAUCCUUACUAUUAUCUUACUCGUUUUUUUGAGAGACUUAGGCCGGAUAUCCGGGCGAUUGUGCUGGUCCAGCGGCCGCCAGAUCUGAACACGGCAUGCUCGCUUGCCCUUCUGCAAGAGGAGGCGCUCUCCUACGACCACUUCGAGCACCCCGACCUCCGCCGUACCGACCACCACCACCAACUCGUCCUGCGGUGCCCUUACCACUUCCGGCGCCACCUGUGCGUCAGGGUGCACCGCUGGCGGCGCCAGCCCAGGAUCGGCGUGGCAUGGACGGCGCCCGUGCCGAUGCAUCCAAGGUCAAGGCACUGCGGGAAUAUCGUCGCGCUCGCGGGCUCUGCUUCAAAUGCGGCGAACCGUGGGGACAUGAUCAUGUGUGCCCCACCACUGUGCAGCUCCACGUGGUGGAGGAACUUCUUCAACUAUUUGGCAUCGACACUGUCUUGGAUACAGAUUCCGGCGAUCUCCAUGAAGCAUGGGAGGUCGUCUGUGUGAUUUCACGGCACGCCUUGGAAGGGCAUCCUUCCCCGCGUGCAGUUCAGUUGCAGGCAUGGAUUCAAGGGCGUGAAGUUCUCAUUUUGGUGGAUUCCGGUAGCACCGCAUCUUUCCUCAAUCAACGUUUGGCGUCUCAGUUGGAAGGAGUGCAGGCCAUGUCCAGAACUUGCCGUGUCAAAGUCGUUGACGGUGCUGAUCUCAUUUUCUCUCACAUGAUUCCUAAUUGCGCCUGGACAUCUCAGGGGAAUGAAUUCAGCAACGAUUUCAAGAUUUUAUCUUUGGGUGUGUAUGAUGCAAUUUUGGGAAUGGAUUGGUUGGAGCUUAUCAAUCCUUUGAUCGACUGGGUUGCCAAGCGUUUCUGCAUCCUGACGGACAGUGGGCCUAUCUAUCCGCAAGGUCACUUAUCUGCUUCAGCAACCAGCACUGUGAUCAACUCGUUACAGCUCAGUGGGUUAUGUCGUCAGGGAGCCUUGUCUCAUUUUGUGCACCUAUGUUUCGUUGCUUCCAUUUCGGAAGAAUCUGCACCUGUCCCAGCUUGUGUUCAGCACAUCUUAUCCCGGUUCAGUGACCUCUUUACUGAACCCACGGAGUUGCCGCCUCGCCGUGCUUGUGAUCAUCGGAUCCCUUUGAUGCCAGGAGCUCAGCCUGUUAAUAUCCGGCCAUAUCGACACAAGCCUGAAUUGAAGAAUGAAAUUGAACAACAGGUUGCAGAACUGCUUCGCUCCGGCAUCAUACAGCGCAGCUCCAGUCCUUUCUCAUCGCCGGCCAUUUUGGUUACGAAGAAGGACGGCACCUGGCGUUUGUGCAUUGAUUACCGACACCUCAACUCCAUGACAGUUAUCAGCAAGUUUCUUGUGCCCAUAAUCGAAGAACUUCUGGAUGAGCUAUCCGGUGCCAAGUGGUUCUCUAAACUUGAUUUAAGAGCAGGCUAUCAUCAGAUUCGUUUGGUCGAGGGUGAGGAGUUCAAGACAGCUUUCCAGACACACUCCGGACACUUUGAAUACAAGGUUAUGUCCUUCGGGCUUGCCGGCGCCCCUGCCACGUUCCUUGGCGCCAUGAACGCCACGCUGCAACCUUUACUCCGCAAAUGUGUUCUCGUCUUCUUCGACGACAUUUUGGUUUAUAGUCCUACCUUGGAGGCUCAUGCACAACACUUGCAGCAGGUGCUCCAGUUGCUUCGUCGAGAUCAGUGGAAAGUGAAGCAAUCAAAGUGUGCUUUCGGACAUCAGCAAUUGUCUUACCUCGGGCACAUUAUCAGUGGCAAAGGCGUUGCCACCGAACCUUCUAAAAUUCAAUCAUUCCAAGCUUGGCCAACCCCGUCUGAUGCUAAGGAGGUUCACAAGUUCCUCGGUUUAGCCGGCUACUAUCGCCGUUUCGUGCCACAGUUUGGCAUCAUCGCACGUCCCCUGUUCAACUUACUGAAGAAGGGCAACCCAUUCGUGUGGACUGCGGUGCAGGAUGAGGCAUUCCAAUUACUGAAGCACGGGCUCACUACAGCUCCAGUCCUUGCUCUGCCGAACUUUGCGAAGCCGCUCACUGUAACUACGGACGCCUGCGACACUGGAGUGGGUGCCAUUCUGCAGCAAGAUGGCCAUACAAUCGCUUACUUGAGUAAGGCUCUGAGCCCACGCUAUCGUGGCCUGUCCACAUACGAGAAGGAGUAUCUUGCCGUUCUCAUUGCCGUGGAGCAGUGGCGCCCGUACCUGAUCCAUUCGGAAUUUAUCAUUCAAACAUACCAGAAGAGCUUGGUUCAUUUGGAGGAACAACGCCUCACCACGCCAUGGCAGUAGAAGGCUUUCACCAAGCUCCUCGGCCUUCAAUACAAGAUUUGUUACAAGAAGGGAACCAACAACGGCGCUGCCGACGCUCUAUCUUGAGCCUCUCAUUCUGAACAGCUCCUGGCAAUUUCUUCGUGUCAACCAUCUUGGUUGGAGGAUAUUGUUUCCAGUUACGAUUCAAACCCACAGGCCCUGAAAUUACUUGAGCAACUGGCCGUUGUUCCUGAUGCCAAAGGUCGCUUCACCCUGGAACACGGCAUCUUGCGUUUCCGAGGGCGUAUAUGGCUGGGCGGCAGUACAUCGAUGCAGCAGCGCAUCAUCGCAGCAUUCCACGACAGCCCCAUGGGCGGGCACUCUGGAUUUCCCGUGACCUAUUGUCGUGUCCAGCGUUUGUUCACAUGGCCAAAGAUGAAGCACCAUGUCCAUCAGUAUGUCCGUUGCUGUCAAAUCUGUCAACAGGCUAAGCAGGAGCAUGUGGCCUACCCUGGCUUACUCGUUCCUCUCCCAGUUCCAAGCGAAUCGUGGGAGAUCAUCUCUAUGGAUUUUAUCGAGGGCCUCCCACAAUCAGGUCAGUUCAACUGUCUACUUGUGGUGGUUGACAAAUUUACUAAGUUUGCCCAUUUCUUGCCGCUGGCACAUCCCUAUACUGCCUCCAAAGUUGCUUUGCUAUAUAUGAACAACAUCUACAAGCUUCACGGCCUGCCCAGUUCCAUCAUUUCGGACAGGGACCCGUCUUCACUAGCCAUUUCUGGAGUGAACUGUGCAGGCACGCCGGCACGGCUCUCAACAUGAGCUCUGCUUACCAUCUGCAGAGUGAUGGUCAGACCGAACGAGUUAAUCAGUGCCUAGAGACUUAUUUGCGCUGCUUCACUCAUGCUUGCCCAAGACACUGGAGCUACUGGAUUCCACUGGCUCAAUUUUGGUACAACGCUUCUCAUCAUAGUACCAUUGGGAUGUCACCAUUCAAAACUAUGUACGGGCAUGAACCUCGCCAUUGGGGGAUUUCCUCGUCAAGUAUGGUUUCUGUUCCUGCUCUGCAUACUUGGCUGGAGGAACGGUCUGUUAUGCAACAACUAUUACAGCAACACCUCAAUCGAGCUCGUCAGCGCAUGAAGACCCAAGCUGACAAGAAGCGCACGCCUCAUUCUUUUGCUGUCGGCGAUCAGGUGUUUCUCAAACUGCAGCCCUAUGUUCAAUCUUCAGUGGCUACUCAUUCUCAUCACAAAUUGGCUUUUUGCUACUUCGGCCCGUAUCCAAUCGUGGAACAAAUCAACGAGGUGUCUUAUAAGCUGGAUCUUCCACCUGGCUCUUCGGUGCACCCCGUCUUCCAUGUAUCACAGCUCCGUCGCGCCCUCCUCUCAGGUACACAGGUCGAGUCAGAGCUUCCUUUCCAUACUGACAUUCCCGCUAUUCCUGUAUUGGUGCUCAAGACCUGUUGGCGCAAGUCCCACGGCGCCAUGGUGGAGCGAGUUCGUGUUCUCUGAUCCAAUCCAGCGGCUCUGGCGGACACUUGGGAGGACAAGCUCACCCUUCAAGCUCGUUCCCUGGAGCUGAGGCUUGGGGUCAAGCCUCUUCGCAAGGAGGAGGGGAUGUCAGCACCCCUGACAUGCUAGACCCACCUGACAGUGGGCAAGAGACCAGGCCGGUUUGGAGGCGUGAGCCGAACCGCAACUUUGCUGGACCUGAGUGGCUGCGCUCUGUCGCUGCAUCAACUACUUAAAGCGCUACCUGUGGCCUGAGAAGAUCAUCCAGUGGAUCACGGAACCGGGCGGAAAGGCUUAGUUGUAGUUCAUACAAGUUGCUUGGCUAUUCUUCUUGCUAUCGCCACAAAGUGCUUGUAACUGAAUCGAUCUGACACCAUAUUCCUGAGCAAUCGAUCCCCAUCUUCCCCUCCCAACUCGGUACCUAACACCCCUAAAAAAAAGCAGAAAAGGAUGCGAAGGAGAAGGAGCGGUCGUGCUGCUUCUGCUGCCUGCCUGAUGCUCUCGCUUGCGAUUUGUGUGUACUGCUACCAGAGCAGGGACGGAGCCAGGAGGCAGGGGCCCAGGACUAGAAGUCUAGAACUACUCGUAGAAGCGUAGAGAAAAUCCGGCAGACGUAGCAACACCAAAAAACCCGGCGGAAAAACGAUCCAUCGGGCGACCAGCGACGUGCGCUCUGCCGGCAAGGCGUAUCUUUUUCGGCCCAACUACCCAACAGUCGAAGGACAAAUAUGGCUUUUAUUCUGGCCCAACUAGACUGCCAUUUUUUGUUGCUGGACUUUGUAUACGCUAGCCCGAGGGGGGGGGGGGGGGCGAAAACGGCUUACGAAAUCGCCGCCAGUCUCCUGAAUCUAGCGGUGCCGUUACCUUUGCGUCAGACUUCGUUCACAUGUGAAUUGUGCGGGUGGAAUGGAUGGUCGAGCAAACACCGAGACAUGCCGGCACCGGUAGAAUGGACUUUCACUCCCUAACAUCUGCAGUGUUAAGCACAAUCUACUGAUGCUUUUGUGCUUGUGUGUGCAUGCCGGUGAGCUAGACCGAGCUGAGGGAAAGCUCGGUCCGAGCCAUCAACCUGAGACCGUCAACACCUCGAGUCGAUCGAACCAGGCCCCGUUUUCUAUUCAUCAAGCUAGCUUGGCUCGAGCCUGGCUUGGCCCAUGUAUGGUUCGUGUCUAGGGUUUAUAUGUCCUACAAAAUCCGGUGUGAUUGCGACAACAAAAGGUAAUCAUGUCAUAUUUUGCAGAUAAACCAUUGUUUGGUUUGCAAUCAUAUGUCUAGUUUAUAUUGCAAAUCUAUGUAUGGAAUUAAUGUAUGUCACCACAAUAAUGGUCUAGCAAGAAUUUAUGCAUGGAAAUUAAGCAACCUUAACCUCUGUUUUUUCGUGUUUUGCAUGCUUGUCGUUUUUGUUCAGCAAUUGUAUCCUCACUUGCCCUACCCAACCAGAAAUCUUUCCCACCCAAAAAGACACGUGGCUUGCCCGCCUCGCCCAAACAUGUACAAUCAUCACCACUGCCCCUAGCCGUGCCUCAAGACCCUAGAGUCACAAAUUCUUCUUCAGCGCUGGUGUCCCACACUCCCAGCCCUAACAAACAAAACUUGACCAAUAGUGUCGCCCCGCUGUCGCCACCACCACGUCUUGGCCGCUUCUGCUAUGAAUCUUACCUUUCAUCUUUGUUGCACCGCCAUUGCACGUCGUCGUCGCCCUGACACUUCUUGUCGACAUGGUUCCGCUCUAUACUUCCUCCUUUCUCGUCUCUACCAAAAGAAACUUAGGCAAUUGAAGACUAGAAAAUAUGUCCUUUUGCCGGUUUACAUAUUUUUCAGACUAAAAAUUUGAGUUCUCUCAAAAUGAAAUAACAACCCAUGCUUGAUCUAGAGGGUAAUGCCAAAGAAUCAGUUAACGUUUUGCCUGGCGUCCUAGUUUGCUGAGCUUGGUUAUUUCGCUUCUUGCAUAUAUAGAUUAGGUGCUCCCGUCAAGGCCAAUCCCGUCUCAACUCCACCCGUUAAUUUCCAUCCUUAGACGACAAAUUAAGCUUUGGCGUCUAGAACCUCAGAACGUUGUUGGUGGACCAUGCAGAGCAGAAUCAGAGAUUUCAGAGACGCCAUGAAAUGACAACAUACACCUUAACAAAAAUUUGACAAAACUUUGCUGAUGUAUAGGGGUCGAACAGAAGACCUUAAUUUACAUUGACCGCUCAAACAAAAGACCAUCCACUUAUUAAAUAUUCAAAUUUUGAAGCGCAGAAACAUGCAUGAUCACUUCAUUCAGAAAUCAGAACCAACGAAAAGAAACAAAAUUCACAUAUAAAAAACAGAACAUAGUAAAAAGAAAUAAUAGAUCACAAGUUUCAAGAUGAAAAGCAGGUACCAAAGCAAUACACCGGAACCAAAAUGGUUCAAUGCAUGCAAAAAGAAUUUAAAUUAAUACUGAUAUGGAAAUGGAGGACAAUUAAUCUGACAAUUAAUAGGCAGAGCAGGUCGAUGAGGUGUAACCGUGUAAAGUGGGCUGGCUCCUGGCUCGCACGCCCAAAAUCCACCCGGCCUGUACUACUCUUCCGUUCCGAAUUUCGCAUCCAUGACUGGCGAGGAGCGUGACUGGAGCGGGGGCCUCCCGCAGGAGCUCCUGGAGACCAUCGGCCGCAAGAUCCCGCCGGGCCCCGACGCUGGCGCUUUCCGGUUGACCUGCCCUGCCUGGCGCGCGGCGCUGCCCUUCUCGGAGCGCUUCACGCCGGUCGUCAUGCUGCCCUUCGACCCGAAGUCGUCGGCGGAGGUCACCUUCUACAGGGCGACAUCCGGGGAGCUCUUCACCACCAACCUCCCGGCGGUGCGAGGCAGGGCGCUCUGCGGGUCCUCGCGCGGAUGGCUGGCGCUGGUCGACGAGGCCACCGCCGUGACGCUCCUCAACCCCCUCACCGGCGCCACCAAGAGCCUCCCGCCGCUCGACGAGUACGUCACGUCGGUGAUGUUGAGCCCCGCUUUGAUGGUCGAUGGCCGUUGGAUGGUCUCUUCCGUGGACGGCGCCCUGCGCCCCGUCAGGCUAGAGGACAUGAGGAGCGUCUUCUUCGGCAACGUGGUGCUGUCCGCGCCGCCCGAGUCGGGCGAGUUCGUGGCCAUGGUCGCGGUCCCAGGCGCCACGGAGGUCGCGUUCUGCCACGUCGGGCCCGGGGCCGACGCGCCCGCUCCCACGUGGACGUUGCUGGACACGAAGCUCGAGUGCUGCGUCAGCACCGUGGUUCACUGCAUCGGCAGAUUCGUGGCCGUCGGAUGCACCGGCGAGAUCUCUGUCUGCGACGUCGCCCGUGGCACGGCGACGCUGGUGCCGUCCUUGGAUCCGCCUGGCAAGAUCCUGGCUCGCGGCUACCUUGAAUGGAACGGGGACCUGCUCCUGGUCGGCAGCAUGGUGCGGACGCACGACAAGACGAAGCGCAUCUGCUACCGCAACAGGGUGUACAGGUGCGGGGAUAUCCUCGCCGAGAAGCCGGUUUGGUCCAGGGUGAUGGAAAUGCGCGAUACGACCUUGUUCGUGUCCAACAAUUGCAUGGUGAGCUUUGGUGGAGCCAGCGUGUCUGGUCUCCGAGGGGAUUCUGUUUAUUUCUCUGAGCCCCUGUAUGGACUCCCGGAAGAUCCGGCCUAUAUAUGCUGGGCAUGUUAAUUCCUUUGGUUCAUUCUUCUUCAAUAUAGAUACACCUACUUGGGUGUAUUCUAGAAAAAAAUCCUUUGGUUCAAGGUCACAGCGAUAACAAAAGAUUAGGAUGAUAUGCCAUAUGUUCAGUUUUAUGCAGACUAGCUAGCUAUCCCGUUUGCAAUAUGCAGUUAUAUGUUCUAACAGCCCCAAAUUCCGACUAAACCCCAGUUUCAUGCAUUGUCACAACUCACAAGGUGAUGACACAAAAGAUUAGACAUGCCAUGUGUCUGUCAGACAGAUUGCGGUAGUCUUUGUUAAUUUGUCUAUUACUUGAACGCUCAACAAAGUUUAAUUUUCUUUGCUAAACCACACUACAAGAGUCUCCUAGCUUGCCUGCGAUUUUUUCUAUGGGGAACAGAAGAUAAAUUUAUUGAUUGCAAUUUAGAUCAUCACAUCGUUGGCGAGAGUAGCUCAACAAGGGUGAUUCGAGACACAAAACACCAACCUACAAUAAAAAAAUCAACAAGGGUGAUUCGAGACACAAAACAUCUUGCUUUUAGCUAGUUGAAUGAGCUUUCGUACAUGAUUAAUCAACUAACAAUUGUGACAAUAAUUCAUAUGCAAAACAGUCUAUAAAGAAUUAAAACAAGAAAAGAAAAGAAAUCUCUUGAUCGAAGCACAAUCAAGAAUUUGGCAGUUGCUAUAGAGUAGCUCCCUCAUCUGGAAUUUUGGCCAACAUAUAACACAUCAGCUUAAUUGCCUGAGAGAGUAGUUUCCCGAGUCUUUCACGUAGUGUGGAUUCUAUAUAGGCCGUAGAAGUCACUUCGUCCUCGACUCAUGGUCACAUCUCACUGCAUGACAACAAAAAGAAGAGAUUUGAUAUAUUUGGCGGACACAAUGUUACAAAAGAAGAGAUUUGAUAUAUUUGGCGGACACAAUGUUACAACUAUAGUACUGGCAAGCACCCUGAAUUUAUGAACUGAAGCAUAUGGCUCAUUACUGAUCCAUGAUGGUCUUGCUUACAGAAAUGAUAUGAUUGUAGAUUUUGUUGGAAAAGUUUCAACUGGACAAAAAAGGGAAAUCAUCACAUGACCCCCCCCCCCCUGUUGCAAUUGUAUUUUACAUUUUAUGUCAUGUAUAUAUAUUUAGACACAAUGUUUGCAUGAACACGAGACAUGCGCCAGGAUGCCAGGACUGAACUCUUGAUCCCUAGUUGUAAACAAGAAUGUAAUACCAUACAGGCCGGGUAGCUCCCCUGUUGAAAAUAGUGAACACAAGAUCUGAACUCAAUUGCCUGAGAAAGUAUGAUGUUUCGGACCCUAACAACUCAUAACUAAUUAAGUACUAUGAUCCAAAAUUUCCAGCAAUUGUCUUUUGUACAAUUUAUGUUACUUGCAUAUAUAUAUUUUCUGGUGUACAACAUUACAUUUUAUCAAGAUUAUUUUAGAAUAUAUUGUUUGCCCUUUUCCAGGACAGAAUAAUGCUUGCACGGUUCAAGAUCAUCGCUCAGAAGAGAAGCACCUCCCAAGCAUGAUGUGUGAUGCAGCAAGAAGAUUAUAUAUAUAGACUAUACUGGCUGUGUUUAUGCAAGGAUUCAGUUCUGUUUAAUUGUCUACCUCUGCUAUUUCCUGUACCAACAACAUUUUAUUUUAUCUAUUAUGAGGCUAUGAAGAACACAUGACAAUAAUUCUGAAGUGUUAAUUUUUUGACUGUUGUUUCUUUUACUUUUGUGUUAUCAUUACAAUAUAUUUCUCAAAAAUAGUUCAGAGAUGAAGUUGGCACACCCACAAUAGUGGAGGGACAAAAAAGGCACUUAUCUCUAUUUUAAAACUAUUCUUUCUGUGUUGUCAUUACAAUCUGAUUUUCCAAAUAGAUCAACUGUAAUCUCUUUUCCCGGCCGGCGGCCCAGCAUGUUGCAUGCUCAACCAUGCAUGCAUGUCAAACUUCUAAAUUUUGGGGAUUUUUUUAUUGUAGGUUAUGCUAGAUGUUACAAAAAUAUUCCAAAAAAAAUCAUCUGUAGCUUAUUCUCACAUCUACACAUCAUUGUUUUUUGUAAUAGUAAUUUUUUGUAACAUGUAAAUGUAUUUAAAAGAUCAAAAUAAAGAUUUGACUGGACCUCAGAAGCCAAAAACAAUUGUAGUAAAUUAAUUAGAGUAUCUCACAAACACGCUAGAAUGACACAGACCGAGGAUAUGCAUAGAUAAUUAUGAGUACCAAAACUCGAAUCUCAUGUGUGAAGUCAUGCUCUCACGACUCCAGUACCCGACAAAGGGGCGUGGGUGUCCUGCUCAUGCCCAGCAUAAAAAUGAAGAGCGCGAUACUAUUCACGGAUGUUCUUGUUGUUUGUCCAAAGAUUGUGAAAUCUUUAUUUAUGAGAGACAAUAGUUCCACCUUGAGAAUAAAUAAUUGUAUCCCUUUAUUUCAUAAUAGUGGAAGAAAGAUUUGUGGGGCUUUGGCCUGUGGUGUUUACCUUGAUAUAUUUAGUCACUUUUCCACGUUAUUUUUUUUUCUAAUGUUCAUGUGUAAAUAUUGCCACUGCAAUUUUGAGUGGUUGGAGGCACUCAGGACUUCCUAGGUGUGGUUGAUGCAUAUGCUUUGUUUCCUGAUAAGUAAUGAUUAUUGAAUUAGUGCAUAUAAGUGGUGGUAAAAUUAUACUUUGCCCGCAAUUUUAAAAUAGGUUAUGCUAGUGGUUGCUGCCACGAGCAGAGUUCAACGAGAUCGUAUUAUUAUUGGGAAUGGUUAUAUGAGUCCAACAAGAAUUACUAGCAAUAAAUGUCAUAAAUGUAUUCGCUCAAAAAGCAUAUCAACAUUUGAUAUGCAUAAUCAUAUAAAAUAAAUGUGUACCCCCAAUAAAUAUUCAACAUUAAAUGUUCUCAUGCAACAAAUCUUUUUGGAUAUGCACAACAUAUUGCACACAUUAAUUCCAUCCCCUCCUGCUCACAAGAAUUUCCUCUACCUGUUCUGCAUAUAUACGACGAGAUGGACGCCCACGAGGUCCAUUCGCUCCGGCCGUAUCUGCUCAUCUAGAGUUCCAGACCCAGCUAGCAAUCCCCUCAUCACCAAUUUUGCCUCUCUUGGCCAUGACGCGGCGACCAUCUCCUAGGACAAGCCUCCCGGCCAAGGCGUCGCAGCCAGCUCGUCGGAGAAGCCGAAGGCUGCAGGUCGACUGGAGAGCCCUGCCGAAGGAUCUGGUUGAGUUCAUCGCCGGGAAGCUCCCGUCGGCCCGCGACGCUUGCGCCUUCCGGGUUGUCUGCCGCGCCUGGUACUUCGCGCUAUCGUUCGCGAAGACCGUUGCGCCGGUCCUGCUGCUCCCAUUCAACCCCUACUCCACGGAGGACGCCGCGACAUUCUACAGAAUGACGGCCGACAAGGGCGACGGGAAGUUCUUCACCAGGAACGGCCUCUCGGAGCUCCGUGGAAAGGUGAUGUGCGGAUCGUCACGAGGGUGGCUUGCUCUGGCCGACGAGGUGGCGAACGUGAAGCUGCUGAAUCCGUUCAACGGCGCCACGGCCGACCUGCCGCCGGGCG
This 121449-nucleotide long non-coding RNA is filed under the name Brachypodium distachyon (stiff brome). Its description in RNAcentral is "long non-coding RNA (BDIS_LNC005261)". The stretch from base 8995 to 9119 matches the Rfam family "MIR1120/MIR1122 microRNA precursor family". Lineage: Eukaryota; Viridiplantae; Streptophyta; Magnoliopsida; Poales; Poaceae. The record is from RNAcentral.